This 90860-nucleotide long non-coding RNA is filed under the name Vitis vinifera (wine grape). RNAcentral's name for it is "long non-coding RNA (VVIN_LNC000686)". Lineage: Eukaryota; Viridiplantae; Streptophyta; Magnoliopsida; Vitales; Vitaceae. The record is from RNAcentral.
CAUUCUCCAUCGGUUUUUCGCUUUACUUCCAACCCUCCGACAUCAUCCUGGCCAAGGAUGGUUAAGGCUCCGGGAUCCUUGUGGCGACCAACGCCCAGAGCUAGGUGAGGGACAGGGCAAGGUGGGUAGUGAUUGAGGCGGACGAAGCUCGUUGAUUCUUCAAAGAAAAGAUUGAAUCUGUUUUCUGGCAAACCUAAGCUCAGAGAGAUGAGUCCCAUCAGCUUGAAAGCUAGUUUUUCCGUUUCUCUAGCAUAUUCUUCACAGAUCUCCCUGUAUAAAUCAGUUCAAUUAGAAUAAAAAAAACCAAGUAAUUCACUGAAGUGACUGUGCCUUAGCUGGUGAAAUUUGUACCUUAAUUCAGGAGGGUACUGAGGCCACCGAUUGGUCAGCUCUAUGAGCUCCUUGUCGUCAGGAUCAUCCGAAGCAGGGCCGAAGGCGAGGGUUCUCACCACGAAAUCAAAGACUUCUUUCCAGUCCCUAACGUUCUUGGUAUGCUCAAUAUCAAAGUACCCCAUAGGAUUCACCUCAUCUCUACUCACCUUCCUCUUCUCCUCCGCUGGCAGAGCGAAGAACUUCCUCGCGGCAUCCAAAAUUUUCCGGCGAGACUCCGAGGGCACCCCAUGGUUGAUGACUUGAAAAAAGCCCCAGUUCUUGCAUGCAUCAGCUAUUUGAGAAACAUGAUUGGAAGCAUUGGCGGAAGAGAGAUCAAUGAGGGGGAUGCCUUCAGCUUCGAUAACAGCGAGCUUAGGCCUAUGUUGGGCGUCUUGGACGAAGGCUGGAUCGACCUCUCCCAUGGCUGUGGUAGUGGUUAGAACUUAGAAAUGGCAAUUAUGCACUGGUAGCUGCAGGUGAAGAUGGUUACAGGACUUGGGCAACUCGGCAGGUGGUUUUUAUAGCUUAGGGGUGUUGGUUUAAUACCUUGAACCUGGACAUAAUAUGGGUUACGUGUUAAGUUUUAGUUCGGGGUGUGAGCUCAUGGAUUGCGCAUAUGUUAAUGAGAUUUGGUCAAGUGAUACCUAGCUAUUUCCAAAAUCUCUGUCAAUGAUUUAUUCACGGCACCCUCAAUUUUCAAAUAUUUCAUCCGUACUUGAUUUGGAAGGUUGAUUAGUAAAUCUGAUGGUGUAAUGUCUAUUUUUGAAUUCAAUGCUUUAUAUUUAACGGUGGAGAUAAGAAAAAUAGAAGAGUUGAUAACGUUGAAGAAAAAAUGCCAAAGUUUUAAGAAGGUAGAGUUUUGAUGAGAAAUAGGUAAAAUUAAAAUUGCAUUAUAAUAAUAUAAUUGAAUCAAAUCGUUAAUCACCCAUUUCAUCUCAUUCUUAUUCACAAUUGUUGAUAGUUGAUUCCUACAAAAUUCUAAAAAAAUCUUCCACAAAGACAAAUCACAAGAUGUUCAAUAACUAUGCUUUUGCACCAAAAAUUGUAUAAGGGAAAAAAAAAUGAUGCACAAAUAAUAAUAAUAAUAAUAAUAAUUGCUAUAUCUAAUAUUAUUUCAUAAGAAAACUAACUACAAUAAAUUUUAAAAGCAAAUAGCGUUUAACCAUAUUUUGAUUCUUUCAAAUAAUUUUUAAAAUUAAUAUUUUUUCAAUAUAAAAUUUUAAGAGUCUUUGUAUUUUAUAUAUAAAUUACUAAUAUUCUCUUAUUUUAAACAUAGAAAAUAAAAAUGUAACCAAAUGAAUUAGAAAAUAACAAAGUUGAAUAAAAAUUAGUCUAACCAUAUUAAUGCUAAUUAAUAAUGUUUGAUAGAAAACGCUUAAAUAUACCUUGUAUUUUUCCUCACUGGUCAACUCCUCCGAAGGCUUCACAUUCACCUGGUGUGUCGGUAAGAAGAAGAAUGGAAUCGAAACCCUUUUCUUCUUGUGUUGACCCACAUCGAGAUCGAGCUGUGUCUUUACAUCUUUAGUUGAGUUUGUUCGACUUUAAGUUGUGCCUUUAUGUUUCGAGUUUAGUUUGUUCAAUUUCGAGUUGUGCCUUUAUGUUUUGAGUUGAGUCUAUUUGGCUUCGAGUCACACCUUUAUGUUUCGAGUUAAGUCUCGCUUCGAGUCACACCUUUACGUUUCAAGUUGAGUCUCUUUAGCUUUGAACUGCACCUUUAUAUAUCUAGUUGAGUUUGUUUGACUUUUGAGUCGUGCCUUUGAGUUUUUAGUUUAGUCUGUGCGGCUUCGAGCCACACCUUUAUGUCUCUUGUUAAGUCAUAUUUGGCUUCGUUCUACACCUUUAUUGUUCAGCUUUGAGUCAUGCCUAUCUUUUCAAGUUUGUUAUGCUUCGAGCCACAUCUUUAUCCUUAAAAAGUUUGUUUGAGUUUAGUUGUGCCCUCACCCAUAUCCUUAGUUUUAAGUUUAUUUAGCUUCAAGCCAUGCGUUUGUCCUUGUUAAGUCAGUUCGGCUUUGAGCCAUGUCCUAGUUUUGAGUUUGUUCAUCCUCGAGCUGUAUCUUCCUUUCUUUUUUAGUUCAUUUAGGGUUUUCUCCUUUUGAGUUGAUCACUCCUUAUCUUGGUCGUCCUUAAAUUGUUCAUUGUGUCAUGAUUCAGUGUUUUUCAUUGCAUAUAUACUCCCCACAUUGUCUAUAUCUUUAUCUUGAUGAGUUUCUUCUCCAAUACAUGACCUCGAUCUUCGAGUUUAGCAUGUCAUGUGCUAAGACAAUUUCAAGUGCUCUUUUGUUCUUUGAUGCAAUUCACUUCAUACUAUUCAUCACUCAUGUUUCACUAUUAAUGCUCAUUUCAUUUGUGAUCUACAUCGGAGAGAGGCAUAUUUGUAGGUCCUUUAUUUUGUCCUAUAACACAUAUUUUCACAUUUUUUUUAUUUUUUUCUUGCCUUGUAUUUAUUUUUGGUGCUAGUUUUGGAUCAUUCUUACUUGAUCAUUCAUGGUCCCUUUCUUGUCCACUUUUACUCGACUCAUUAUUCAUUUUUUAGCCACAUUUUAGAGGCCAUGUUGGAGGAAUUUUGAGUCCAAGCUUAUUGUUUUUUAGAGACCCUUAGUAGGUGGCUCAUAUGAGGACACGUGUCCUCAUUGGGUAGGUUUUUUCAUUUUUUAAGAGGGGUUUUCUAGAGGCUUCUAGGGUACUGAGGACACUGUUCUCAUCUUGGCCCCCUUUUUUUUUUUUUCUUUUUUUUGUCCCUUGUUAGAGGGGUUUUCUAGAGGCUUCUAGGAUCAGCUAGGAGAGCACGUUGAUUGAUGCUUUGAUAUGGGUAACAGAUGCCACAUUUCAUCUUGCUGAACACCGGUUAGCUAUGGACUUGUUACUACUUUUCUCUUCUGUUUCGAGUUAACUUUGGAAAUGAAUCUGAAUAUAGACUGGUAUUUGCAGCUUGAUGUUUAGAGAAUCAUAUUUUAGCUGUUGUUUAAAAUUCAUUUUGGCAUGUUCGGUUGCUUCAAGCUCAUUGAUACAAUAAUGAAAUGAAGCUUUAUAUAUUUGUUACUGGGUUGGCUCUCUGUUUGGUUAUCUUUAAGUUCUGCAUCUUUUCUUUUCUCGUUGCCUUAUCUUCUCUAGGGGGUGUCGUUUGAGAAAUACAUAGUGGAAGAAAUGGGAAGCUGAAGGCUUAUCCUGGCAUCGACCUCGCGUUAGGGAACGACUUGAUCGAAGAACAUAUGAGUUUUUCAGAUACCCAGAACUCACAUCAAAAGAAGCCUCGGAGUUUAGGUCAAACACAUCAUCUGACAAGGAGUAUACCUUUGCCUCUGGUGAUUUUAUUGACUUCUGCAUGAUGGACAUCCGAGGGUGGGGACUGGAAGAGAAAUGAUGAAUCUGCCCGGCCAAGAUAGUUUGUCUAGAAAGGAACUUGUAUUAAAUGAUGGUUACCCACUAUGUUAGAUGCUGAAAUUUGGGUAUGAGUACUCCCGGUGGCAUCAGAAAGAUGAGUUGCACAAUCCUUCUCACAGUAGAAAGCCUGAACUCCGAAGUUGGGCUUUUUCAUGGCCGGACAAGAGGAGUGAUCACAAUAGUGCGAGCAAAGCCUGUCACGACCCAAAUUCUGGGUGAACUUAAGGUUUGACUUUUAAGGGUUGUACCUAUUCAAUCUACCAAUCAACCUUUGAUAACUUGAUUUUUUUUUCUCGAUAAAACAAUAUCUAAUCCCAAAUCAAUUUAUUAAGCUAAUAACUUGAUUUUUUUUUUUUUCAAUAAAACAACAUCUAAUCCCAAAUUAAUUUAUUAAGUUAAGAUUUACACUAUCAUAUUAUUUUAUUUUAUUUUUCAAAAAUCAAUCAUUACACUAUCACUUAUUCACAAGUAUAAUAAAUCUCUCAAACAUCUUAUCACCCAAAAUGAUAAGCCAAACAUUUACAAAAAAAAAGUUUUACAAAUUAAUAAAAUAUAGUGUAAGUUAUAAAAGUUCUUAUAAAUCAAAUUAAUAGUGCUAAAAUAUAAUAUAAUUGAAAAACAACUAUUAUUAUGGUUCUUUUACUUUUUGGAAUACUUCUUAUGGUUCCUUAAAAACUAUAUCUGCAUCUAAAAAUUUUAGAAAAUAAAAGGAUGAGUAUUUCCACAUUACUUAGUAAGGUGUUUUACGCCCACACAAAAUAUAAAUUCUAAUUCAAUAAAACACAAUCAUAUAUCAAAGUGUAAUUUUACAUCUAAUGUACUACAACUAUAUACAUUUAAACUAUUCAAAAUUAUCACUAACUAUAAUCAGACUCCAAAUAAUAUAAAUAAUAUUUAUUUUCUCCCAAAAACAUAAUAUGUAAUUUUGUUUCAAAAAAAAAUAUUAAAUAAAAGUUUUAGGGUUAAACCACCCUACAUUAAAUCUGAAAAUCUAACUGUUAAAACUAAAAUCAGAUUCCGUGAAAAUGUUCUUUACGUUAAAUAGAGUGUUCUAAAAUCUCAUACAAAACGGAGCUCAUUAUUUCUUCUCUUCCUUUGUGUUUCCGUUUGCGCUCUCUCUUUUAUAUUCUUCUUUCUUACCCCACAAGACAUUCCUAUUAUUAUUAUUUUUUUUCAUUUUUCUUUUCUCUCUCUUUUCAACUUUAAGCCACCGUUUUGCCCCUUUUUUUUUUUUUUUUAUUAUUCUUUAUCAACCAUACCUUGUUAAGAAAUUUAUUUAUUUUAAUCCAAAAAUCUACUUAAAUAUAAUUUCACAUUUUUCUUAAUAAAUUAUAUAUAUAUAUAUAUAUAUAUAUAUAUAUAUAUAUAUAUAUAUAUAUAUAUAUUAUUUCUUAUUAUAACAAAUUUAAAAUGUCACGCGUAUCAUUUUUUUAAUGAAUCAAAUUAUUAUUAUUUAUUUCAUAUUCUAUAAUUAUAAAUUAUACUCAAUAUAUGAUUUACUGUCUUACAAAAAAUAUUAUUAUAUUCUUAAUUAAAUUUACUACAAGUCUACUUUUUUUAAAAAAAAUAAUUUGACUUUAAUCACUUAAAAUAUUUUUAUUAUGAAAUUCAUUUAGGACAUGAUUUCAUUAAUUAUAUAUUAAAAAAAAAUUCAAUUUUAGAAAAAAUCUAAAGCAUAAAAUAAUUCUUCAACAUUAAGAAGCUAGAAUUCAUAAUAAUAUUUAAUCCUUUAAUUUUACCAAUAUUUAUUUACCAAUAAAAUUUAAGCAAUAUUCUAAAACUUAAUUCCAUUAGUUAUUUAGUCAUUCAAUUUAUACAAAUCAUAUUCUCAACCUUUGAUAUAACUUUUAUUUAAUUUACUUUAUUUUUCAAAUUUCUCAAUUGAAUCAAAAUUUCAAAAGUUAAAUUCACUAAGUAUUUAAUUAAUUUAGCCUUUUAUAUUCCCUAAAUUCAUAUAUCAUAAUUUACUCUUAAUUUAAUUUCAAUUCAAUUUUAUUUGAUGUUUUUUUAAUUCUAUAAGAUUUAAUUCUAAUUAUAAAAUUAUUGAUUUGUUAUAAAAUUAAAUUCGAUUUUUUUUAAUUAUCCAUUAUAACCAUUUGAUAUGAUAUAAAUUUUUACCAAGUUUUUCUCACUACAAUUCUCUAUAAUUAAAUUAAUGCUCAUAAUAUACUUAAUAUUCAAUUUUUCAAAAAUAAUAUCAAUAAUUAUUUGAUGGUUGAAUUUUUCUCCAAAUUUAAAUUUAUUUUUUAAAAUUUCUACUCUUUGCAUCUUACCUAAGAAAAUUUUAUACUAUUGACUUUUUAUUAACUUUUUCAAAAUAUUAACACUUGGAUUUUCGCCAUUCUUUUUUACUAUUCGACUAUAUGAUAACUUUGCUGAUCCUGAAUCUGACAUGUCAUUAAAACCCCGGUUGUUAUAGCGCCAGUCAAAUUAAGCCUGUUAUCCGAGGAGUGAAGCCACUGCCUUGUUCUUUCUCCGAUGGCCUGCUCAGCUCAUUCAAUCCCCAUCGCUCUCCUCUUUCCAAGUUCUCCAUUGUCAGUCUAGAGCCAACAAGGGUCGCAGAAAUCCUAAAGAUUGACCUACAUGGUAUUGUGAGUACCGCGAUGUGGAUGUUCUUAAUGUGUUGUCUACUAGAGCCAAAUGGGUGUUUGAUAAAACCCAGUAAAGGUGUAAAAAUUAUAUGACGAAGCUUGCAGAAAGACUUAGAGUUGAGGGAAGGCAUCUCAACGAAGUUGGGCUUUUGUAUUGUGAAUCUGGCAAAUUACCUAUAUUGCAUGGAUCAUCACUCUUUUCACGUGGAGGUAAACAGGUCCUUUGUAAUGUGACACUUGGGGCAUCACAAGCUGGUGAUGCUCAACGACUGGCUUCUCUGGACGGUCCUGCAACAAAGCGCUUCAUGCUUCACUGAAAUUUCCCGGAGUUCUCAAUUAAUGAAGUUGGCCAACUCCUUAACCUGCACUGUUCCGCAGCAGUCACAUAAAGAUUUGACAUUGAAAUUGAUCUGGUUUUUCCUUUGCCAAUGGUGGUGGGCGCUUUGUAUGUAGAUUCCGAAGGAACUUCCCAACUUGAUGGCUGUGAGUGGUAAGGUUGGAGAAGAUACUACUGGGUCUGCCCCAUUAGUUUUCCAUUGUUAAGGUAGUUUGGUGCACAGGUUCCUGGAUCAUCUACACCACUAGCACUUCCGGCCGCCUGUUUUGAUCAGUUUCUGGAUUUCCAUCUCCAAAUUGUGCAAGCAGUGACUGAUAUGGUGUCCAUACAAGCGGCUACUGAAAUGGUUCAAUCCCCAAAUGCUGAAGGGAAAGGAGCUUUUGGAAAAUAUCAUGAAGAAGACUCAUCCAUCUUACAUGAAAUUAUACACAACUCCAUGGACCAGAACCGGAACUCAGACUUAAAUUUGUCCACGAGAAGAUCAGUGUUAUACAAGUCAACUGCAGUCAUUCCUGAAAGAAGUGAUCAGAAGAGUAAACCUGGAAAAGCAGUGAGUGUAACAAGUUUUGUGACAUUGAACAAUUUGCAGAUGGUGUUCCCACAAGCUCCUUUCCCCUCUUCCCACGUGCAUGAAAUUCCUACGUGCAUGGGCCACCUUCUUAGGUGUGCAAUUCUGCGCAUAAUGCUCAAGUGUACUACCACCCUCUUCUUUUUUGAAAAAUUGAUUUUAAAUUUAAAUUUUUGACAAAAUUCAUUCCCCUUUUAAAAUCCCUCCUCAGUAAUUCUCUUCAAAUUAAUAAAAUCUAUUUUCAAUAAAUUUUUGCUGCCAUUUUCCUUUCGGCAUGGACCCUUUUUCUAUUUUCUUUGAUUUUUAAUAAUUUUCCAAUUUUUUUUAAUAAAUAUGAAUAAAUUCUAUGUUUUUAAAAAUAAUGGAAUUUUCUCCAAAUUUCUAUUAUCUUUUUCUCCAUGAUCAUUAGGAAGAUGAAAUUCCUAAAAUUAAUUCAUGCAAAUAAAUUGGACAUUGGUAGGCCCAACAUAUGAUUUUUUCUCCUUUGAUUAUUGUUUUUAAUUGCUAGGCUUGAUUGACUAACGAUUGAUCUUUGCCUUCUCCCUUAGCUUACUGCUCAAGUACGUUCGUCCUUUCUUUGCCUCUUUGUUUAAUUAUAGUCAAUGUUUUCAAAAUCGGACCGAUCAUUGAAUCGGAAAAGUUACUGGUUCACAGUUCACUAGUCGAAUCGGUGGUCGAACUGCGGUCGAAUCGAUGACGUCAUAAAUAUAUAAUUUAUAAAUUAUUAAAAUUAAAAAUAAUUAUAAAAAUAAAAAAAAUAAUUUAUAUGUUAUUUGAAAAUUUAAAUUUUAUUUAAAAAUAAGAAAAUUAGUUUCAAAUUAGAAAUUAAAAUUAAAAUCAUAAUUUUAAAUUUAAUUUUAAAAUUUUAAAAUUCAUUUUUAAAUAAAAACUUAUUUUAAAAUCAUGAAUUUAUUUAAAAUUAUAAUGUUUUCAUUAAUUUAAAUUAAAAUCAUAAGUUUUAAACAUCAUGAAAUAAAAAUAAUAAAUAUAAAAGAAAAUAAAUAAUAAUGAAAUGAGGUAAUAAAUAAUUAAAAAAAAAAUGGAAAAAGAGAGGAGAGGAGCACACAAAAAAGGGUUCCAACGGGGUUUUGGGGGGUGGGGUUUCCACUUUUAGGGCUAGGUGGGGGGGCCUUCCGAUGGGCAAAAAGGGGAAGAGCUUUUCGGCUUUUCCAGCGCGCGCGGGUGGGGGUGGCGACAAUGGGAAAAAAAAAAGUUGAAUCGGACGAUUCCAUCUGAAUAAUCCGGUUCAUUGGUCGGACCACCGAUUUAAUUGGUCCAAUUCUGGUCUAACCACUUUCUAGCCCAAUUGAUCAGACCAGACCGAAAUCAUGACUGAUUGAUUCGGUCCAAUUUUUAAAACCAUAAUUAUAACUCAAUCAUAAUACAUCAUUGAUCAUUACUUGGUAUUUGUUGACUUUCUAAUCAAUUGUCAUUCUUAUAUUAACUUGAUUAUUAGAGACUUGAUUUUAGGGUAUAGAGGGGUGUUAUGACUAAUCAUCCUACCUUCUCGAUAAGUAACCUGACCCUUGAACCCAAAUUCAGUUUUUCAUAAACUUGUCUUUUUCUUUCAAGUUUCAUACUUAGAAUUUUCAUUUUUAUUUUGUUUUCCAUUUAAAAAUAAAAUAAAGAUAAGUGGCCUAAAACCAUUUUCUAAAAAUCAAUUUUUCAUCAAUGCAAAGUGAGUCUUGUCCUUUUUUUUUCAAGUACGAACACGAUCGCAGGUUUACAAUACUAUUUUAAUAUAUAUAAUGAAAUAUAGAUAUUAACGCCAUCUUAAAGAUAUAAUUAAAUUUUUUGUUUAAAAUAAAUUAUAAUAAUUUAAAAAUAAUAUUUUAUUUAAAAUAAAUUUUAGAAUAAGCAAAGUUGAUAUGUGGACAUAGAGAAUCGUGAACCAUUGUAAAUGUAUUGAUUAUAUCUCUUUCUUCCCAUUUCAUUUUUACUUUAGUUUUUAUUAUUCGUAUCUUUUUCUACUAAAAUUUGAAAAAGAAAUUCACAUUCAAUUCAUUCACUUCUUCUUGGGUGUAUAUCAUAGGAUUCAAAAUGUUUUUAAAAAUUAUUAAAUUUGUUAAUUGUGACUACAUGCUUAUUUAGGAUCCAUUGAUCUUAAUAACUUUCUUCCCGAUAAAGGAGGAAAAUGACUAUUCCAUUAAUGCAGCAUGCAUUGCUGCUUAUUUAUCAAGCAAAUUACAUUAUUUUUUUCACACCAAACCUCAAAAUUCUCCAUGCAUAUACGCAUCCUAUACUGCAUGGCCAACUUCAGAGAGCUAAAAGAAGCUCUUAUUGAAUACAUGAUAGAUAAUGUCCCACUGACCCUUUUACUCUGAUACCUUGAAAUGAGAAAUUUGGAGGUUUUCCACAUCAAGCUUCUUGAAAUUAUUGCGCCUUCUCGUAACAAAGAACUUUCCCCAGUUGUAUGCUCUAUACUUUGGCUUUUCCCCCUUCGUCAGCUCCUCCAAGGGCUUCACCCAAACAUGGUGCCCGGGACUCAAAACGAACGGAAUCGAGAACCUUUACCUCUCUGAAUUCUCCAUCACCCUGUGCUCCACACUUUCAUAAGUAUCGUUGCUCCAGACCUGGUUUAAUAUCAGUAGAAUUAGCCAAAUGAGUGUAAAAUUCCUUGAGCCAAACAGUACUGAUAAGCAUGUACUUAUAAUUCAAAGUUCUUGGGUGGUACCUGAACUAUAUCCCCAACAUUGAUGAUAUAAGCAUCUGGGGUGGGCUUAACUCGAACCCAUUCUCCAUCGGUUUUUCGAUUUACUUCCAACCCUCCAACAUCAUCCUGAGCAAGGAAAGUUAAGGCUCCGGAAUCCUUGUGGCGACCAACGCCCAGAGCUAGGUGAGGAAUGGAGCAAGGUGGGUAGUGAUUGAGGCGGAUGAAGUUUGUUGAUUCUUCAUUCAGGGAUUAUUUCAUCCCUUUUAACCAAAUAUUUAACAUGAUCAAAGACUAUUCCCUAAAUGAAGGCAUACUGUAGCAAAUACCCUUAAUCUGAACAUUGAAAGUACAACUUAAACUAGUAUCAAACACUCUGUUUUUAAACCCAUAGCUACUCCAAAUAUCCCAAAUACUCUUUUCUAUGUAACCUCUCUUUGUCUCUUUCUCGCUCACACACACAUGCUUCCCCACAAAAAUACAUACACACAUAGAGAAGAACACAAUCUCUUAUCCGAUUCCCUUCCGAUUUAUGAUUCUAAGCUGGCGGGUCACUCUCUUAUUCUUUUGCUUUCUUGCGAUGGAGCUCCAUGCUCUCCUUUCCUCAUUUUUUUUCUUGGAUAAAUACUCUAUAAAACAUCCUCUCUCGAUGCUCUAUCUAAACUCACUUGCUCAUUUCACAUUUUUUUCUUUUUGGAUGCUUUCUUUAUGCUCCCAGGCAUAUGCCAGUUUUUUAUGACUAUUUUUGAAGUUGGGAUUCAGAAUUCACUAAAAUCUUUUCUCAAACUUGGAUUUUUCUCAACUCAACCCUAACUUCUUUUCUAUCAGUACCAAGGCUAGAGAAUAUAGUUUAUACCCUUGUAUUUCGUUAUGUACCAAGCCCACAAGAUGAUCAAUAAGUUUCUCUCUAGAUUUUACAUUGGAGUUGAUUGAUGACAUACCCUUAUUAGGUACUAUAUUCUCUUCCUUAGGUAUUGCUUUUUCCUUCCUUAGAUACUACCUUUGCAACCUUGGGUGCACGAUCGAAUCCAUCGUUUCAUGGCCACUUCAAGUAAGUCAGGAACUUAUGUACAUGUGUGCUACAUGUCUUAUAGGUAUUACCUUUACAUUCUGUAGGUACUACCUUUACCUUCCAUAGGUACAAAUAUGAUUAAUAAUAAGAAUUUUAACAUAAAAAAGGGAAAAAUCAUGUCUGAUAAUAAAAUUGCAUAUAUUUUCUUUCUUGCUUUUUUUUUUUUUUUUGGGUCUUUGCUUUGGUUUUUAUUUAUGUGUUUGUUUCUUUUAGUCUUUGUGUGUGUGUGUGUUUUAUUUUAUUUUAUUUUUUUCAUCCCUAUGCAGAAGAUGUAGAGGAAGCAACAUCACAUCAUAAGGUGCAUUUUUCUGUUCAUUUAAGCCUAAAGGUUCUGGAUUCACAAAAUGGUGGGAACUAAGGGUGAGAAACUGGAAAAAAAAAUGUUGGAUUGAGCUACAUUUGAUCAAUAGUGAAUUUGCAAAAAAGAUUGUAGGAGAGGUUUCUUGAGGUGGACAAGGUCAGAAGCAAGGAGCCUUUUCCUAGUUUUUGGGAAGAACUUAUUGUUAACGUGUGAAUUCAUUAAGGGUAAUUUAUGUAAGAUUUUCUAGAUUUUGCAAGUGAAUGCACCUUAGCUUUUCCUAUUGUAUUUGUGUUUUUUUAGGUUGAUUAUUUUAUUGAUCGUCACCACUCAAGGAAUGGAAGCAAUAGGGUCUCUAGAUGUACUGCGUAAAGGCGGGCAUACAGGCGUUGUUAGGAAUGUGUUUCCCAUGUCCAACAAGCAUAUUGACACCACCUAAAGCCAAGGCAUCUUUGGACGAGGAGUUCUAGCUUCUACUUCUGUGGACUUUGUAGAUGUCGUCUGGCUCUUCUAAAUAUUUAUUGUUAUGUAGUAGUUAUACACAUGUACUUUGUUUAAGUGAAUUGAUUAUUGGAUUUUUAGUUAAAUCAAAUUUAAGGGUAUGUUGUUUAAUUUACUAGUGAUCUCUUGUUUGUAAUUCUCGUUAUCAUAUAUAAAUCUUUGUUAGCAUUUUCCAAUUUCCUCAAUAGCAACUAUAUUAGUUUUCAGUGGAAUGAAUCUUGAGUAACUUGUAGUAUCAUUUUUGGUUUUGAAUUGACUAAUCUGUUUUGGAAGGAUGAAUUAGAUAUAUGAGCUUGAUUGCUAACAGUAGUUGAGUUUGUUUUGAUCUCGGGAUAUUUGCCUUGUUGAAUAGGACGUAGAUUUUGGGUCCAAAGAGUUGAAAAUUGAUGAGCUUAACCAAGACAUAGGAGAACCACAUGCAACACUAACCAGAGUUCCUACAACAAGCUAAUAACCAUGAUUUAGAAAUGUGAUUUCGUUAAAGGGAAGCAUUUCUAAUCUUAUUUGAAAGGAAACUUUGAUGUCUUCCCUAAUACACUAGAAUAUUAAUUUAAAAACAACAAUUAAGGUUAUAUUAACUAUUAUAAUAAUUUAUAAAUUAUAUAAAUAUGAUAAUAACUAUUAAAAUGAAAGUAUUAAAUGUAAAAAAGUUUAAUCUUGUUGGGUAAAAACUUCAUCAAUCUUUUAUUAUUGAACUUCUAUUAUAUAAUCAAACAUAGUGAUGAUCCUCGGUUGGAUUAAUCAACACUUGUUUCAUAAAUUGAACAACAUAUAACAUGAUCAACCAUAAACAAACAAGUAAACAUCAUACUAGAUAAAACUAUCUCUUAAGAUUUCUAUUAUUACAUGUUUAAAUUACAAAUCAUAUUUUUGCAACUUUCGUAAAAUUAUGCAAUAGAUAUGAUUAAAAUUACGAAACAUCGGAAAUGUAUAUUGAUUCAUUAUUCAGAUUCAUCAUAUCAUAUAUAUCCUUUAGUAGUCCAUAAGAUCAAAUAAUAACCAAAAUUCAAAAAAUAUGUUUUAUGAUCCAAAAUUGAUUGACACUAAUAUCAUUUGUUAAAUAAACUUUAUGUGAAAUAAUUAUUUUGGAAAAUCAAUUUGGAUGCAUAAUGCAUAAUAGGUAUAAGAAAUAAAGAAAUGACAAAAUAAUAAUUAUAUUCUUGUCUUAAUCCAUGAUACUGAUAACACUUGUAAUGUGAAUUUGAGUCAUUUUGUGAAUUGUUGGGUCAAGGUCUUCAACUCACCAUUCUCAUUUAGUAGAUGAGUCAAUUGUGUGGUAUAUGUUGUUAUAAGUAAAACAACUAAAAACAUAAGAAUGCAAUGUGACUUAGGACCUUAACUUUAUAAAAAAGAUUUAUAACUCUUAAUAUUCUCAUAAAAGAUUAUAUGAAAGUUAUACUCAUUAUUUAUAAACAUUAUACACAGAUUAAUGGACAAUGGUAAACUACCAACUUGAAUACAUUCAUGUAAUUGUAUAAAUUACACUUUUUCAUCUUCCUCUAUUAGUCAUAAACUUUAUGUACAAAUGAAAUCUCAUAAAGAUGGAGUUACACAAGUUGUAAUACCAUAUUCUUAUAAAUGAAAUUUUUCUAACUCUGUAUUUAUAAUUUUAAUCUUCUAUGUUAGAAGUUGAAUUUGUUCCACGUCGCCAAGUUAUUGGGUUAUUAUGUUGUUCAUAUAUGUAGAUUGGUCACCUCUCCAAGCUAGCUUUUGGGAAUGAAUUCUAUUCAAACCCAUUUAACAUGGUAUCAGAGCUUGGUUUGACUGUGGGUUGUGGGUUCGAGCCACCUCUCUGCAAUUCGCAUGUUUGUUCCUUAUUUGCAUGUUUGGAAGUCUAGAAAAGGUUAUUUGCAUUUGUUUGUCUCUUCACGUGUGGAUAUGGGACCACACAUAAGAGAGGGUGUUAAAAAGCUUGAUAUGUACGUAUAUUGAACCUAAAUCUUAUAAGUUUAAGCUUUUAGGAAAAUUAGUAAUUCAACAUUCUAUACAUAAAAUUAUUUGAUGUCCAAUCAAUUGAUUCACCUACCUAUCAAUUAAUAUACUUUUAAAUAAAAUAUAUUUCAAUCCAUUACACAAAUAUAAUUAAAACAAAAUACUAUAGUAAUGUGAGUAUGUGAUAAAUAAAUAAAAUAAAAAUAAUCACGUGUUACAUGUAAACUAUAUUCAAAGGAAAAACCCACUAUUAAACAAUCCAUUGUAUAAUGAUCAAUUACAAAGACCAAGUAUUACCAAACUUAAAAGUAUCUAAAUCAUACUCACUUUGCACAUUUUCUUUAUACUUGGAUCCUUUAAACACAUUUAUCCCAAUGUGGAUGCAUCUUGAGUUCUAAUCAAGGAAAUCAACCUUUGAGUAAAAUUUUCAUCAAGUUAAAGUCUCUUUAUAUCAUUGAGAACCAUAUCAAGAUUUCUUUUUGUUGGUUGCUUUCAAAGUCCCACUAGAAUUAGAAUGAACAUUUUAUAAAUUCUAGGACUUUAACAUAUGAAUUCUUCAAUGAGUCAAUCAAAUAUUAAAUUUUAUCUCCAUAGAUGGACCUCAAUGAAUUUUUCAACAAAUUAAAGGUGUUAACACUAAUUUCAUAUUAGAAAAAAAAAAAAAAUCAUGUGACACAUAUUGAUAUAUAUAUAUAUAUAUAUAUAUAUAUAUAUAUAGGUGUUGUCUGGGAUAAAUAGAUUGAAUUCAUGAGAAAAUUAUUCUUAAUUUUGUAAAAAUUAUAUAUAUAAGAAAGUUUUUAGACUUACUAAAACACAUUACUAAUCAAGUGGUAAUAUUUAUAUCUCAUUAUUUUGUAAUCAAGUCUCAUUCAUUUGUAUCACAUAUGAGUCCUAUUAUUUUAUACCUUACUCUUAUUAUAUUGUACUUUGAUCUUAUUUGUUUAUACAUCGAUUUCAUUUCUUUAUAUGUUCAUCAUAUUUAUUUAUAUCUCGAUCUUAAUUAUUUAUAUCUUUCAAUAGUUUAGAUUUCAAUACAUAUUUUUAAAUAUUUUAAUUGGAAAUUCAAUAUCUUACUAUUUUUCUAAAUAGCUACCUAUAAUCCUUUGUAGACUCAAAAUUCACUUCAAGCCAUCAAAAAAAUCGACCUCUCUUUGUAAGUUGCUAUACUCAUUGCUAAACUAUAAUUCCAAAAAUAGCAGAACUUUUCAUACUUAUUCUAGGCAAUUAGAGUCGAGAUGUUCCAGGCAUAUACCAUUGUCUUUCAAGAUUUGAAAGAAAUGUUACGAUUUCAGCAUGAAAUAAUGCAUGUCGAUUAACAAUAUUGCUCAGAUUCUUUAGGCAAAGGUCCCAGCCUAGAGAUUGAUAAUGUUUCUUUGAAGCAAAAUGACAAAAUGGAAUAACACAAGAAAGCCAGAACCAAUUAAGUGUCCACAGACAAAAAAAUUUAUUUAUUUAUUUUCUGAACCACCCCUGAAAUUGACACCUCCCAUACAGUCUGCAUUUCUGUGGCACUAUUUCCCUUAUUCCUAACCAUAAAUCUGCUGCCAUCUCAAUAAUUCACAUCCUUAUCCACUCCUUAUCUAGGGUUGUAACACUUUUUUCAAAAAGAUUUUUUUUUUUUUUUUUCUAAGGGGUGGAUAAGGGUCCUGAGACAAGCUGUGGAAUAAUUAUAAACCCACUUGGGUAAUGGUUUCAUUGUCAGGGUAAUACUAUUUAAGGUGAAAAUCAGCUGGGUCUAUCAUUCUUGUUUCCAUAUGACUGUUUCCAAGGAUAACUCAACCUUCAAAUCCAUCGAGCAGUCAUAUAAAAAUACACGCAGAUUUCAUAUUUUGAAGCUUGUCCUGUGUUCAGAUCGGAUAACUCACUCAUAUGCCUAAUCACCAAUCGCCAACUUGAGCGUAAAAAAAGCGUGGGGCGAUAUUAUUUGUAUAUGGGUUUGACUGUUUGAGAGAGAAAGGUGGGGUGUCCCUUGGAGGAGUCCAAAGGCCAUUUUUGAACCUGCCUUUGAUUAUCGCCAUGGCAAAUCAACAGCUUGUAGUGUAUAUAUAUAUAUAUAUAUAUAUUAAUGGAGACCAAGACUCAAAUAGAGAGAGAGACGCGGGAUGCGAUAAAGAGAACAGUAUAGCCAAGAGUAUAUAAGCAUUUCUAUUGCUGUAAUGGUGAUUCAGAGACUGGAAAUGUGUAUAUCACUGCUGAAAAUGGCAGUAGAGUUUGUGCUUGUUUUCGCGGAGGCAGUCGGGCUAGUCAUCAACCACAAUGCCACGCCGCUUUUGGCAAACUCAGCCUCAGUUGGCAAUGAUGUUUCUGUCCCUUUUAUCGGUUUUCUUCUUUGAAUUCUUCGUCUUGUAGUUUCCUUCCUUAGCAGAAUGCCCAUUGGCCAUUGUAUACGUUGAGGUUUCAUUUUUGUCUUGAUAGAUUUUGCCUUGGAAAGUGUCUGUACUACCAGCUAAAAGAUGUGAAUGUUUGAUAGGAGAGAGUACAUAUAACAUCUUUGUAAACUUCGAUUAAUUUUGGUUCUGGGUGAGCUUCAUCUUCUGCAAAUUCAUUUGCUGGUAGCUUUGGAAAUGAAUCUUCAGUGGUUUGGGUGGUGAUUAUUUGCUUGCUUCACACGAUUUUAUGUGUUGUUCCUUUGGUAAUAAUCUUGUUGGAUGGAUCAAGGAGGAGCGAUGAUCAGGAAAAUAAAGUCGGGAGAAAGAAAAGAUAUAAUGAUGAUUAAGAAAGGCUUUAAUAUACUUGCAAGAUCAGGAAAAAAUAUUUCUUGGUUAAUCAAUUAUUUUCUUGCUUGAUAUGGGUUUGAUACUUUUUGUCAAUUGGUGAUCAUUCUGGGAAGAUCAGGAAGAAGAAAAUGGGGUCUAGAUGAAGAAAAGCUAUAAUGGUGAUUAUUAAUUGAAAUCAGAUGAAAUAAAAGUCUGUUUCCAUCAUUCUUAAUAGGGUUUCAUAGUCCCCGCAGGACUUUAGUACUCAUCAAACUCAUAAAUUUUGAACAACUUUGAGCUAACCUUCUGCAUUAAUUUGGUGCAUCUGCGCAGUUGCAGAGUAUGAACACCCACAAAAUCUUAAUAUGAAUCUUUUGGGGCAAUAGCUUCUAUAUAUGAUGGAUGAUAAGAACAAAGCAAAUCUUGGGUUCUCCAUGGCCACGAUCAUUUAUCCGCCAUAUAAAAUGCAGAUUUUCCUAACACCAACCCCUUAUUUUAAUAAAGUCAAGUUAUUUUAAGGCCCCCAUUAUUAGACAUGCCCUAGAAGCAUUGGGUCUGUGAUUAAAAAAAUGUAGUAAUAUCAUUUAAAAUAUCUAACACUGAAAUUUUGAUAAUUUUGAAUGUCAUAGUGUGGAUUUGAAGAAAGAAAUCGUAUCCAAGAUCUCUUCCUUUUCCUGGGAAACAUUAGUCUUGGUCAAUUAUGAACUGUUACACGUUACCUAUCAUGAUCAUAUUUAUAUUAGCUUUGAUUUCUAUGGGGGUUAUAAUUUAUUUGUAUGCUAAUCAUAGAGGUGAUACAUGUGAUCCACAUGUCAUAUUUGGACUUGGAACCAAUCAUUGGAUUCCUUUGAUGAACUGGCAAUGGAAGAAUACUAAUUGCUCCGGUCCCUUUCUUUUUUCAACGUAGGAUGAUCAGGUCCUUUGAUCUCUUCCACACCCACUGGCUGUUUUUCUUUGUUCCUUUUUCAAUCAUCCAUAGCUGAAAAGCCUUGAUGCCCUCCUUGACUUUCCCAAGAUAAAACACCUUAUCUUCACUUUCUUUCUUUUCCCUUUAAAUUUGAUUUUAGAUCUGAAAUCCAGGGCUUAUGACCCUGUAGAAGAAAGACAGAUAUGAAGCUUGGGAUGAUUUGAACUUCAGUUUGAUUUUCUGCACACUGUUUAAAACUCCUGAAAUAUAGUUGUAUAUUGCAAUACAUUUAUAAUUGAUACAACUGAACCAUGAUGUUUCUAUUAGUAAAAAUUUCUUUGAAUCAAUCCACAGUUCAAAGUACCAAUUUCAAUUGAAACUUUUUUCUUUUCCUGCUUAUUCAAUUGUUUCGUUUUCCACAUAAUGGUAUGACAACAUCAAGAAUACUUCUCAGCAAUUGCCUGCAGGUGAACCCAAAGCUCUUUUGGCUGAGACAUCAUGACCAUGUGAUCAGAUCCUUUAAUCUCUUUAACAGCAUCAGGUGGGUUUUCUUCGAUCAUCCAGAGUUGAAAAUCCUUUUUCGCCAGCUUGUCUUCCUCAGAAAUAAUAAAGACACGUUUAACCGAGGCAUAUUUCUUCGACAACAUGAGAUCCUUUGACAUGUCUUCUUCACUGAACAAGCGUAAGGGUCUCAUCAACAUAGUCCCUAGUGCCAAGUCCUGGAAAAUUUGUGCCCAAAAUGAUAUAACAACAACAAUGAAAAGUCUCAUGAUUUUGGCUGUAAGGCCUGAAUUAAUGAAGUUCUCACCUCAGUUGGGCUCAACUGAUACACAUUCAGUGAUGAGAACAAGGGGCCAAAGGUGAAAGUGGUGGGAGGAUUGUUGGGGCCAUUAUCAUAUGUGAACUGGCUGUCUAGUAGAGGACCUUGUCUCCUGAGUGACUUCAAUAAGAAGUAGAAACCAGGCUAAAAGUCAGAAACAGGGGAAGCCUUCCCCUCUUAAUCAACAAGUAAAUUUCUGUAAAAGAAAAAUAGUAUGUAUGAAGUACCUCUUGAUUGAGAGUGGAAAUGUUGAGAGUGGGACCAGGCAUUGAGGCAGUAACAAAAACAGCUACAGAAACCUUUUCUGGGAACUUCUCCAUGGCCUGAGAAAUGGCCAACCCACCCAAGCUGUGUCCAACGAGAACCACCCUUUCAUCUGCAGGGAGUGACUCCAUGAAGUCCCUCAGUGGCUGGAAAUACUCAGAAAUAGAUCGCAGAUCACCCACUUGUUUUGGGUUAAUUCCAGAAGCAGCCAAGUCCAGAGCAGUGACUUUGUGGCCAGAUGAUUUUAGUAGUGCCACAAUCUUGUACCAAGACCAGGCACCAUGGCAAGACCCAUGAACUAGAACAUAGUGCUUGACGGGAUUAGCCUGUCUCCCCUCUGAUGCCAUUGAAUACACUGAAGAAACAAGAAAAAUCAGAAAGGAAACUAAAAUCGUAUGCUUCUUCCUUUCCUGCGUACUCCUUUCCUGUUACAGAGAUGGUCAGCACCCAAGCAUUUUAAAGGGCACAAUUGGCUUUCACUACAACUACUAAUCUAAUGGAUUAAAAUUUUUCCUGUGAAAUUGACUCUAGAAAUAAAAUAAGGAUUAAGGAUUCAAGAAUAUGUACACAUAGACUGCCAGGGUUUAAAAGAUGACACAUGCACCUGCGUCACACUCUUUUUCAAUGAUAAAGAAGUUAUGCAAAGGAAGAAAGAAUGAAAUAUACAGAGUCUAGUAGUUAACUCCUCCCCUUGAAUUCUUCUGUUGCCCGGAUUGGUUUGUAACUGCAAACAUUUUCUUUUCCCAAUGUGAUCUGUGGAUUGAGUUCUGAUCUCAAUUUGUUUUUGGCAUUUUUGGUUUUGCUUCUGCAAAUCUUGAGAUGUAUCUUUCAAUUAAUAUAAGUAAGUUAUGCAGUAAAGGUUUUUGGACAUAUAAAAUGUUAGCCAAACCUUUCCCAUGGCGGGUUGAAGGUACUUUGGGGUAGGCUUGGUCACGCUUGAUACCUCAAUCGGACUGAAACAUGAUGUUUUCACCCAUUUGAAUUGGUCAAAGCUGUGUUGACUGGCAUGAUUCCUUUAAUAAAGAAGUUGUUUUUGGAUUAAGGCCUACAACACCAAUUUCACUUAAAUACAUCUAUUUAAUAAUUAUGUAUUAACAUAAUUAUAAUCAAUUGAGUCGAAAACAAUUAAAUUAAAAAGUUAAUUAUAUUGACUUAAAUAAAAUCUGACUCAACCAGAUUAUUAAAUAAAUUACUCAACUUAUUACAUGUUUAAUAAUUAAGUCGUAUUUGGGUUUAUACUUUUAACUCAAUUAUUAUUCAUGUUAUAUUUGUGUUGACUUAUUAAGUCACAGUAUCUAAAUUUAAUUUGAUAUGACAUGAACACUACCCACCAACAUUAAUUGUAUCCCCUGUUUUAAGUUCCGGUGGCAUCAUGAGUUUGGCCUCUGUUUUGAGUGUUGAAUUAACCUUUCCCAUGGUUGUCAAGUUCUUCAUAAAUUAUUGGUGAUUGUAAUAAUUUCCUCAUAAAUUAAUGGCGCUAUAUGCUUCUUUAGGAUCCAUUGAUCUUACUAAUUCUCUUCCUGGUAUGGGAAGAAAAUGACUCUUCCAUUAAUGCAGCAUGCAUUGCUACUUAUUUAUCAAGCAAAUUACAUUAUUAUUUUCACACCAAACCUCCAAAUUCAUCAUGUACUUAUCCUAUAUACUACAUGGUGAACUUUAGAGAGCUAAAACAAGCUCUUCUUGAUUAAAGAUAGAUAAUGUCCUAUUGACCUUUUUACUUUGAUGCCUUGAAAUGAGAAAUUUGGAUGUUUUCUACAUCAAGCUUCUUGAAAUUAUUGUGCUUUCUCGUAGUAAAGAAUUUUCCCAAGUUGUGUACUUUGGCUUUUCCCCCUUUGUCAUCUCCUCCAAGGGUUGCACCCAAACACGGUGUUCGGGAUUGAAAAAGAACGGAAUCAAAAACCUUUCCCUCUCUGAAUUCACCAUCACCCUAUGCUCCACACUCUCAUAAGUAUCGUUGCUCCAUACCUGAUUUAAUAUCAAGAUAAUUAGACAAAUGGGUGUGUAAAAUUCCUUGAGCCAAACUGUACUGAUAAGCAAGUACUAAAGACGAUACAGGCUUUGAGAGUUAAAGGUCGUUCUUUCUAUAAAUCAAGGCAAUAAGUAUAUAUACAACAUACAACAUAGUUGCUGUUACAGGCUUACCAAAUUAAUUCCACAAUAAAGGAAACUAUACAUGGUUGGUUACCAAAACAAAAAUAGGAGAUUAGCUAUACAUAUUACUAAAAUAUAGGAUUUGAUAAAGAUUGAAGUGGACUUUCAAAUGAACCAUUUUCCUUAUCAUGACCCCUCAAGAUAGACUUCGAUUGAAUGCCUAGCUUGACGCACAAGUGUUGUAGAUGAGCUAAGGAUUGUGGCUUUGUUAAGGCAUCAACAAGUUGAUCCGCGAAAGCAAAAUGAGGCACGCGAAAAGUGUAAUCUUGAACUCACAAAAUGAAAAUAAAUAGCAAUAUGCUUCAUCCAAAAUGUAAAAUUAGGUUGGCGCAUAAGUAGGUGGUACCGACAUUAUCACAAUAGAUUGGCAUGGGUUUGGGAACUGAAAUACCCAACUCAAGUAAUAGGGAGUUAAGCCAAAGAAGUUUGGAAGAAGUUGUAGCUACAACAUGAUACUCUACCUCAGUUGAGGAACGGGCAACAAAUGUUGCUUCUUUGAACUCCAAGAAAUGACAUUAUGACCUAAAAACACAACAUGAGCACUAGUUAAAGUACGAUCAUCACGAUCACCAAUCCAAUCUACAUCGGAGAAGGCAUGAAGGCUAAGAGGGGAUCCUUUUCGAAGAAACAAACAAUGAUGCGUUGUACCUUUAAGAUAACGGAGAAGAUGUUUGAGUGCCAACCAGUGAGUGGUAGUAAGUCUAUGCAUGAAUUGAGAGAGUUUAUUGAUUGAGAAAGCAAUGUUUGGUUGAGUGAAGAAGAGGUACCGAAGACCACCAACAAUAGAUCGAUACUUAGUCGAAUUGGUCAAGGAUGUGCCAUCCACAAGGCUAGGUAUCUGAGAUGUUGACAUAGGAGUUGUGAAUGACUUGGAAUCCAUCAUUUUUGUGUGCUCCAAAAGAUCUAAAACAUAUUUGUGUUGAGAAAGAAAGAGACCAAAUGAGCUUGGAAUAACUUCAACCCCUAAAAAAUAAGAGGCAACACCUAAAUCUUUAAUGGAGAACCGAGUAGCAAGUGUGUGAACAAAAUGAUUGAGAGUACCAUCAUCAUUGCUAGUAACAAUAAUAUCAUCAACAUACACAAGUAGGAAAAUGGUAAAUAGAGACUUCUUAUGGAUGGACAAUGAAGUGUCAAAUUUGGGGUAGAAACUGCUUCACAAACCCUUGAUGGAGUAGAAACUGCUUCAGUUCUUGAUACAAGGCACAUGGUGCUUGUUUGAGGCUAUAAAUAGCUUUCUUAAGAUGACACACAUGGCUUGGAAACUAAGGAUCAACAAACCUUGGUGGUUGAGCCAUAAACACAUUUUUGGCAAAAGUCCCAUGAAGAAAAAGCAUUGUUCACAUCAAGUUGACAAAGUGACCAAUUGAAGGAAAAUGCAAGACUAAGAAUGAGUAGACCAGUAGUAGGUUUCACAACCGGGCUGAAUGUCUUAGCAUAGUCAAUACCAGGGAGUUGAUGAAAACCCUUGGCGACAAGAGGAGCCUUGUAUUGAGCAAUAGAGCCAUCAGGAUUGCGUUUGAUUCGGAAAAUCCAUUUGCAACCAACUAGAUUCUGUGACUUAGUAGAAGGAUUCAACUCCCAUGUGCCAUUAUGAAGAAGAGCAUCAAAUUCUUCAAACAUAGCUUAACACCACUCAAGAAGCUUUAAAGUUUGGGUAACAUAGGCAGGUGCAACAUCAGGAGUGGUAGAGACAAAAGCAUACUUGGUGGAUGGUUUGAAGACAUUAUUCUUGGAUCUUGUAACCAUGGGAUGGGUGUUGAGGGUAGGGGGUCGAGUGGGUGGGAUGGGGGAAGGGGUAGGAUGUGGGGUUGAAAGCAAGAUUGGGCUUGGAGGGAAACUAUGUUGGGAUUGUGUAGUCUCAGCAUUGGGGGGUAAUAUAAUUGACUGGCCAGCAAGAGUGGUAUCAUGAAUGGUCGAAUGCUUAACUGGAGUGGUACCUAAGAUUGUAUUGUCCUGUGAUGAGGGAAUUGAUACGAGAGGGAAUGGAAUAGAUGGGACUAUGGUGGGUGGAGGUUUCUCGGCAGUUGAAGAAAAGAGGACCAUUAUCUCAACAAAGGUGACAUGAUGAGAGGUGAAUAACUUGUGGGAAACUCGAUCAAGGCAAAGGUAUGCACUUUGUGUAAGAGAGUAACCUAAGAAGACACAUGGACGAGAUUUGGAUUGAAGUUUGUGGUCAUUAUAUGGGAGUAACUAAGGAUAACAAAGACAACCAAACAUUCAUAAUUUGUCAAGAAUUAGGUUUGUGAUUGAAUAAUUUCUCAUAGGAAGAGAGGAAUGAGAGGUUUGGUUUAAGCAUUCGAUUAAUAAGAUAGACUAUAGCUUAAAAGGCAAAGGGCCAAAAAGAAGUAGGAAUGGAUGCAUGAUGGAAAAGGAUGAGUCUGGUUUUGACAAUGUGUCUAUGAUGACGUUUGGAGUAACCAUUAUGCUUAGGAGUAUGAGGUGGGGUGGUGAGAUGAGUAAUGCUAGCAAGAGCAAAAUAAUCUUUUAACGCUAGAAAUUCACCACUAUUGUCAUAAUAGAUUUGAAUUAUUUUGGAACUGAAGUAGUUUUCAACUAGAGCUUUAAAUCGAACAAAAACAUCAUAGACAUUAGAUUUCUUUUGAAGUGGAUAUAACCAGACAUAUUUGGUGAAGUGAUCGACAAAGAUAACAUAGUAUUUAAAGUUAUCAUUUGAUACAAUGGGAGAACUCCAAACAUUUGAGUAAAUAGUUUGUAAAUGAGAUGAACUUGUAAUAGAUGAUGUAGAGAAAGGUAGUUUAUGACUUUUAUUGCACUUACAAGAAUUACAAGCAAAAGUAGAAAUAUCAUUAGAUGAUAAAGAAUGACUCUUAGAGGAAACUAAAUAUUGAAGAACUUUGGAAGAGGGAUGACCAAGUCGAUGAUGCCAAUUUGGAAGUGAAGUCUUAACAUUGGAAAAUACAAUCAAAGGUUUUUUCGUAGUAGGAGAAUUCAACCAUACAUAAAAACCACCACUAUAGAAUAUAGAAUAUAAUUUUAUAUUUAAUUAAUUUUGCAUUUAAAUAAUAUAUGAUAAAGAUAUUACUUUUAUAUUUAAAUAAUAUAAGAUGGUAAUGAGAUAAAAAUGAAUGUUUUUAUGGUUAUAGGAAUAAAGAAAAAUAAAAUAAAAAAGAUUUCAAUUACUUAAUUAAUAGUAAUCCUAAUUUAAUUUCAAUUAAUAUUAAUCUUAUUUAUAUCUUUCCUUUCUUGAAUAUACCAUAAAAAGAUUUAAGUAGUAAAUAAAUACAUGGGUAGAAGGAUACAUCCAGUCAUGAGGUGUACCUAUAUAUUAAUUUUAUAUUUAAAUAUUAUAGAAUAUAAUUUUAUAUUUAAUUAAUUUUGCAUUUAAAUAAUAUAUGAUAAAGAUAUUAGUUUUAUAUUUAAAUAAUAUAAGAUGGUAAUAAGAUAAAAAUGAAUGUUUUAUGGUUAUAGGAAUAAAGAAAAAUAAAAUAAAAAAGAUUUCAAUUACUAAAUCAAUAGUAAUCCUAAUUUAAUUCCAAUUAAUAUUAAUAUUAUUUAUAUCUUUCCUUUCUUGAAUAUACCAUAAAAAGAUUUAAGUAGUAAUCUGGGAUAGAUAUUAAUUUUAUAUUUAAGAAAUAUAGGAUAUAAUGUAGAGAAUAGAGAUACACAAACAUAUUUUAUAUUUAAGUAGUAAUCUUCAUGAGCUUUACACAAACAAAAAACUUAGAUGUUUACAUCAUCUAGAAGCCCCACUUCGCCUCUCUCUCAGCCCUCAGCCCUCAGGCUUAAGAAGUUGUCAUGAGAAACCUAACACAAACCUUUCUUAUAAUUAUUGUUCAUAGUCGUAGCUACCAAGAAUUCCAAGUUAGGAAGAAAAAAAGAAUCAUAAAUACAGCAAAAAUAACUUCCACUACAUGCGGCAGCAGGGGUACCAAAUUAGGGAAAUUAAGAAGUAAACCAUGCCCAAUCAAUUGCUGGGAAAUAUUAUUUGGAUAUCAAAUUAGGGAAGCUAUUAAGUGUGGUUUUUGUAGUGUUAAAUCAGAGAGAAAUUUAAUUAUAUUAUGAAUUUCAAAUUUAAUUAUUCUAAGAACAAUGAAUUACUCUAAUAGAAUUUAAUGUAUAAAAACAUUUCAAACACUCGCAACAUAUAUCAUUUUCAUUUUUUCCAAAAGCACCAAAACCCUAUAACAAUGAAAAUAAACCCAAUAACAAUGGAAAUAAACCAAAUAACAAUGGAAUCUCAAACCUAAUCACAAACAUUUCCAAAAUACCAACUAACAAAACCCAAAAAAAAAAAAAAAUUCCCAAAACUCACCAAAACCUAGAGAGAUGAUUUUCACGGGAGUUUCUUGGAGGUGGCUUCAGCUUUACCGACCAUAGCUUCCAUGGGGCUUCUUCAGCAUGGCUUCCAUAAGCUUUUUUUGACAAUAGCUUCCUCCAAGCAAUGGGGGUUGUGGGUAGGUUUUGUGGGUUUUAUGGCCGUGGGUUUUGGAGAGGAAGAGAAAAUGGGUUGGCAGGAGAGAGAAAGAAAGGCUUUAUAUUCGAUUAGGAAAGUGAUGUGGCCGUGGGGUAUACCCACAUGGUUAAAAGAAAGACAUUUUUCCAUUAGAAAAAAAUGUCUCAUGGCUUUUUUUAUUGUUAUUGUUAUACCCAAAAAAAAUAAUUUAAUUUUAUUGUUAUACCCUAAAAUUUUUUUAUUGUUAUUGUUAUUGUUCUGUGUUCAGAACUAUUAAUUUAAAAAGUUUUUCAAGUUUUAAAAUUAUCAAAUUUUUAAAAUUUACAAUUAUUUUAAAAUUUUAAAUUUACAAUUAUUUUUAAAAUUUUAAAUUUAAAUUAAUUUUGAAAGUUCAAUGUUUUACUCAAAGUGUUAUUCUAAAAUUUUUAUUAAGUUUUAUCAAGUUUUUUAAGUUUUAAAAUUAUCAAGUUUAAAAUUUAAAAAUUUUAUAUAAAUACAAAGAAUAAUUAAAAAUAAAAUAUAACAUAUAAAUGUUAUUUUUUAAAACAUAUUUAAAAACAUAAAAAAUAUAUAUUAAGAAUAUUUUAGGUUUCUAAAUCAACUUUUAUUUUAAAAUACAUCGGCAAAAAAAUUUUUAAAAAUGUUUUAAAAAACCGUUUUUUGUAUAAUUGUUUAUGAAAAUGUCAAAAUACUUCACAAAUAAACCAGUUCGAGUCCCCUCAGGGCCUCGUGGGAUUAGUCGAGAUGUGCUUAAGCUGGUCCGGACAUCCACGGUUAUAAAUAAAAAAUAAAAAUAAAAAAAUAAAAAAUACUUCACAAAUAAAACUAUAAUUUAUUGGUAUUUUUGUGGGCCUUAGGUGUUAGGAAAUGUUAUAUGUGCAUCCUACUCCUACUCUGUCUUCAUUAUUUUCAGUCCCUUUAUAUCUUAUACCAAUCUACUAUUAUUUUAUCAUAUGGUAUCAGUUUUUCAUAUUUGAUGAUAUUAAUUUCUACCUUAUCCCAUAUGCUUGUAGCUUAAUUUCAUUAUACAUUUGGACAACAGAAUUUCAGACUUCCAUUUGGUACUAAAUAUAAUAAACAUAAACAGAGAAUGAUGCAUUUAAGAAUAUUUUUCCAUGAAUUUUAACUUUAUAAAUUUGUUAAUUUUACAAAUUUAAGAAUUAUAAAAGUUUAGAACUUUUAUUUUUAAUCAUAAACAGAGGAUGUUAUUUUUGUAGUUAUAAAUUGUUUUUGUAUUGCAAAAAUCAUAAAGAUUAAAUAAUAUUUUAUGAUUGAAAAUUAAAUAAAACUAUAAACAAUUUUACUAGUAAUUGUUCAUAGUAAAAUUUAGUUAUCAUGACUAUUGAUACUUUAAAUAUAAUAAGAAUUAUUUAUCAUAUAUAAAAUCAAAAUUGUUUUUUAAUUUGCUAACUCACUUGCAUUUAAACUUUUUAUCAAAUAAUAUCAAAUUGAACCAUCAUAUUUUUAAACUAAUUUAUUAAACUUUAUUUUGCUUCUUAUUAAAACAUUAAUUAUAACAAGGAAAUUAAAUAAUUUUAACUAAAGAAAAAUAGGUAACACACUAAUUUGUUUCUUAACUUAAAAAAAAAUAGUAAUAUAACUUUAAACUUUUUAUAAUUAAUAAGAACUAUUAUUAUUACUAUUAAUGAUAAUUUCUAUUUAUGAUAUAUAUAUAUAUAUAUAUAUAAGAUUUUCUAAAAAAUUAUAAUAGGUAACCCAAAAAUUGUUUAAAAUAAAUAAUAGACUUUGGUCACGAUUGUGUGAACCCCGUGGCCAUAGGUUCAAAAUAUUUAAAAAAAACUCUAUGCAUUGGUAAUGGUCAAGCGAAAUUUGUAACUACAGGUUCUUAUACAGUCACGGUCAAUCAAUGGCGUGACUAAAAGUCACGGUCAAUCAAUCACGUCACUCAAAGUCACAAAAUAUCUAUUUAGUGACGGUUUCACAAAAACCUGUGACUAAAACAUCUUUUUCAUUACACUUUUUGUCACGGAUGAUAAAAUAACCGUGACUAAAGUUAUUGGCGCCAAAAUUUCCCUCCAUAAAUUUACAAAUAGUCACAGUUUUAAAUAAAUCCGUGACUAAAAUACCUCUUAUUAAUCCUUUUGGUGACGGUUGAUAAAAUCACCGUGACUAAACAUGUUUUUUUUUUUUUCCAAAUUUGAUUUAACACAUAUAGUCACAACCUUACCCAAUAAUAUCUUUGGUGGGCCGUGACUAAAGAUUCGUCAUUAAAAAUCUAUUUUUUUGUAGUGCUAGUUGGUCCAUGCAAAAUUCUUGCCCCCGUACAUAGACCAUUCACAUAAAAACAAGUGGGUAAGAAUUCAAUGAAAACAUUAUUUGUUAAGCAAAAUUGGGAAAUUGAAAUCAAGUUCUUUUUCAUGGUGAGAACACAAGGGAUAUUAUUAAGUUGAAGUAGCUUUAAUGCAGUUGGGAGGGUGGUGGAUCCUGUGUGUGUGAUUUCUAGACCUUUACCAUCACCAAUAAUUAUGUCGUCUGGGCCAGCAUAGUCGGAAUGCAAAGAUAGAUUCUGAAGAUCAUUAGAUAUGUGGUGUGAGGCACCAAAAUCCAAGACCCAAUUUGGAGAGACAACAGUUGGUUGAGUUGUCGCAUGUGUUUGUGCAGAAGAGGGGCGGUAACUGUAAUUGGGUGGAACACCAUGAUGUUGACUGGCAAUAUAUCGAAAUGAUGGACAUCUUUUCGCUGAGUGUCCUUGAACACCACACAAUUGACAAGUCCCCUUAUAUGGAUGAGGGGUGUGAUUCGAAGUAUUCGAGGUAGUCAUUGGUUGAGGUUGUUUGGAUGUACGGUAUUGAGACGAAGAGUAAGGCUGUUGAUUGAAGAAUCGAUGCGAUUGUGGUUGUUUGGUAGCAGCAUUGGUGGAAGCAGGCAAUGAGACAUUCCAAGAAGAAUACUUGGCAGAUUCUCAUAAAGUUUGAGCCUCAAGAGGAAGCAAUUUCUCAUAAAGUUCCUCAAAGGAAAAACAGUUUCAUGGGCAUGGAUGGUUGAGUGUAAAUCUUUGUACAUCUCAGGCAAACCAUGAAAUAUUUGAAUAAUGAAGUCCUCAGGGUCUAUGGUGACGUUCAUGAGAUAGAGAACAUCAACGCAAAUUUUAACAAAUUGCAUAUACUGUGUUAUGGACUGAGUGCCUUUGGACAAGUUGUCGAGUUGAGUCCGAUAAUGAAUUAUUCGGCUUCGAGAUGCUUUAGCAUAGGUGUUGUGAAGUGUAGACCAAGCCUCAAGGGAGGUUGUGGCUGAUGCAAUGAAUGAGAAAAUUGUUGGACUAAGUGAUGAAACAAUAGCAUUAAGAAGAUGGUCUUGACGAAUCCAAUGGGUGUAAGCUGGGUUUGGGGUUGUAGUACCCUUUUCAGAAGUAAGAGUGCUAGAAGGACAUGGUAAAGUGCCAUUGACAUAUCCCAGUAAAUCAUAACCGACUAGGAGAGUGUAAAAUUGGAGUCUCCAUGCAGAAAAAUUGUGUUGAGUGAGUUUGAUGGGGGUUUGGGAAGAGGCGUUUAUGGCUAUGAGGUUUUGAGUAGUGUAUAUAGAGAUGUUGGCAGCAGUGUCGAUGGAGGAAACAAUUGAGGGGGAAGGGCUAGAGCCUUCGUUGGUUUAUGGGUUUGGUGAGGCAUGAGAAUCAACUAUGUGAGCUAUGGUUGCUCUGAUACCAUAAAGACGAUACAGGCUUUGAGAGUUAAAGAUUGUUCUUUCUAUAGAUCAAGGCAAGAAGUAUAUAUAUAGUAUACAACCUAGCGUUACAGACUUACCAAAUUAACUCCACAAUAAAGGGAACUAUACAUGGUUGGUUACCAAAACAAAUAUAGGAGAUUAGCUGUACAUAUUACUGAAAUAUAGAGACGAUCACGGAGGAUUUGAUAGAGAUUGAAGUUGACUUUCAAACGAACCAUUUUCCUUAUCAGGUACUAAUUCAAAGUUCUUGGGUGGUACUUGAAUUAUAUCCCCAACAUUGAUGAUAUAUGCAUCUAGGGUGGGCUUAACUCGAAUCCAUUCUCCAUCAGUUUUUUGCUUUACUUCCAACCCUCUGACAUCAUCCUGGGCAAGGAUGGUUAAGGCUUCGGCAUCCUUUUGGCAACGAACACCCAGAGCUAGGUGAGGGAUGGGGCAUGGUGGGUAGUGAUUGAGGCGGAUGAAGGUAGUUGAUUCUUCAAAGAAAAGAUUGAAUCUGUUUUCCGGCAAACCUAAGCUCAGAGAGAUGAGUCCCAACAUCUUGAAAGCUAGUUUUUCCAUUUCUCUAGCAUAUUCUUCACAUACCUCCCUGUAUAAAUUGGUUCAAUUAGAACCAAAAAACCAAGUAAAUCAUUGAAGUGACUCUGCCUUAGCUGGUGGAAUUUGUACCUUAAUUCAGGAGAGUACUGAGGCCACUGAUUGAUCAACUCUUUGAGCUCCUUGUCGUCAGGAUCAGGCGAAGCAGGGAUGAAGGCGGGGGAUGACACCACGAAAUCAAAGACUUCCUUCCAGUCCCUAACGUUCUUGGUAUGCUCAGUAUCAAAAUACCACAAAGGAUUCACCCCAUCUCUACUCACCUUCCUCUUCUCCUACAAUGGCAGAGCGAAGAACUUCCUCGCCGCAUCCUCAAUUUUCCGGCGAGACUCCGAGGGCAUCCCAUGGUUGAUGACUUGAAAGAAGCCUCGAUUCUUGGAUGCAUCAGCUAUUUGAGAAACAUGGUUAGAGGCAUUGGCGGAAGAGAGAUCAAUGAGUGGGAUGCCUUCAGCUUCGAUAACAACGAGCUUAGGCCCAUGUUGGGUGUCUUGGAUGAAGGCUGGAUCGACCUCUCCCAUGGCUGUGGUAGUGAUUAGAACCUAGAAAUGGUGGUUAUGCACUGGUAGCUGCAGGUUGAGAUUGUGAAGGGGACUUGGGCCACUUGGCAGGUGAUUUUUGUAGUGUAGUGGGGUUGGUUUGGUUCAUUGAACCUUGACAUAAUGACAUAAAUGGGAUACGUUUUAUAAGUUCAAGGAAUCAUGGUAUUUGGAAAAUAUGAAUGAGUUGAAAAUUUUAAAAAAUAGGUUUAUAGGAGUAUAUUUUAAGGAAAAUAAUUUUCAAAUCAUAUCAUGUAUAGGAUAGUGACUUUGUACAUGUUUGAGGGGAAUCAUGUCAAAGUGCACUAUUUGAAAAACAUGGCUAAAUUGUAAACUUAAAAAAGUGGUUUCAUGGAGAGUACAUUAUGAGAAAAAUAAUUUCCAAAUCAUGUACUAAAAUAAUAACUGUAUCCAUGCUUCCAAAACUACUAUUCAACAUAUUUUCAUCAUGUCACAUUUUCCUAUGACGUCAUUGCCCUCAUUUCUUAGAAGAAAAACCCUUUCUGUUCUACUUUACUUUACACUGUUUGUUCCUAUAACCCUUUCCUUUUUUUAAUUUUAAUUUUUUUAAAAAAAUAUUUCUCAUCUAUUUUCUCGAUUUUUAAAAUUCUAUUUAAUUAAAAAAAUUAGAAUUUUUUUUAAAGUACAAUUCAUUUAUUUAUUUUUUCAUUUUAUUUAAAUGUGAUGUAUAAUUAAUACAUUAACAUAAAUUAGUUUUUAAUAUAAAAAUAUAUUCAUCUAUAAUAAUUAAAAAUCUAAUAAAUAAAUAAAUAAAUAAAUAUUAGUAUUUUAAAUAAUAUUGAUUUCGUAUAUACAAUAUUUUAUUUUGUUUCAUUAUUAUAGAUCUCAUUUUCUAUAUUUUUUAUUUCUAAUUUUUCUUAUAGAAUUUUAAACCUAGAUUUUUUAAAAAUGAAAUUUAAAAAAACACUAGAAAUUAAAGUUUUUGUUUUCUUCAAAAUAAAAACAAAAAAAAAAUAAUAUACAAAAAAAAAAUAUUAGUUUACCUUUAAUUUCAUUCAACAAAAAAUUAGUAAUGAUAAUUUUUUAAGAGUAUUUAAUUUUAAAAGUAAUAUUUGAAGAUAGGUAAAAUAAAAAUUUUAAAAGUGUUUGUAUUAAAAUUUUGAAUAUAAAUUCACAACUCCCAUCAUAAUACAUUGAUAUUUAAAAUAAAAAAAACCCCUAAUGAUUUUUUUUUAUUAUAUUAAACAUGUAAAAAAAGUACAUUUUUGUUUAAUUAAAAAUUUAAACCAUUAAAAUUGUUUUUUUCUUUAAUAAAUAAUGUUUUUAAAGAGUACAUUAUACCUAUUUUUUUGGGCAUGUUAUUUAAUAAUUGCUACCAAAGUCAUAACAAUGACAAUAAAAAACUAAAUAUAAUAGUGCAUAUUUGCUAUCUAUAGUGGUACUUUUAGUUACUAACAUUAUUAUUUUUAAGUAAAAAUAAUGUUAUUAUUUCCUGACAUAUUUGAUGUAGAGGUUGAAGUGAUGACAGUGCUAAAUAAGUUAGUACAUCCUAUUAUCUACAGUGAUAUUUUUAGUUACUAUUAUUAUUAUUUUUAGGUAAAGACAAUGUUACUAUCUCUAGUGAUACAUUUGAUGUAUGGAUUGGAGUGGUGAUAGAUGAUGUAACAACUGUGUAUAUGGGGUCAAUCAAGUGUAAUUGUCCUCUUAUUUGUAUAGAUCGCAACCCACCUCCGACAGUGGUUGAAAAGUAGUCUUGGAAGCAUAUCACCAAAGGGACAUUUUGAAUAAUAAUUUGGGAAAAAGCGUUCAUCAGACAUAGCCUAAAAAGUAUAUCCCAACAUUGCUGUUUAUUUAUCAAGCAAAUUACAUUAUUAUUGUCACACCAAACCUCCAAAUUCAACAUGUACUUAGCCUAUAUACUGGAUGGUGAACGGGCUAAAACAAGCUCUUACUGAUUACAGAUAGAUACUGUCCUACUGACACUUUUACUCUGAUACCUUGAAAUGAGAAAUUUGGAGGUUUUCCACAUCAAGCUUCUUGAAAUUGCUGCGCCUUCUCGCAGAAAAGAACUUUCCCCAGUUGUAUGCUCUGUAAUUUUGCUUUUCCCCCUUCGUCAGCUCCUCCAAGGGCUUCACCCAAACAUGCUGCCCGGGAUUGAAAGAGAACGGAAUCGAAAACCUUUCCCUCUCUGAAUUCACAGUCACCCUGUGCUCCACACUUUCAUAAGUAUCAUUGCUCCAGGCCUGGUUUAAUAUCAGUAUAAUUAGCCAAAUGGGUGUAACUGAGCCAAACAGUACUGAUAAGCAUGUACUUAUAAUUCGAAGUUCUUGGGUGGUACCUGAAUUAUAUCCCCAACAUUGAUGAUAUAAGCAUCUGGGGUGGGCUUAACUCGAAUCCAUUCUCCAUCGGUUUUUCGCUUUACUUCCAACCCUCCGACAUCAUCCUGAGCAAGGAUGGUUAAGGCUCCGCCAUCCUUGUGGCGACCAACGCCCAGAGCUAGGUGAGGGAUGGGGCAAGGUGGGUAGUGUUUGAGGCGGAUGAAGUUCGUUGAUUCUUCAAAGAAAAGAUUGAAUCUGUUUUCCGGCAAACCUAAACUCAACGAGAUGAGUCCCAAUAGCUUGAAAGCUAAUUUUUCCAUUUCUCUAGCAUACUCUUCACAUACCUCCCUAUAUAAAUCAGUUCAAUUAGAACAAAAAAGAUAAGUAAUUCACUGUAGUUAUUGUGCCUUAGCUGGUGAAAUUUGUACCUUAAUUCAGGAGGGUACUGAGGCCACUGAUUGGUCAGCUCUUUGAGCUCCUUGUCGUCAGGAUCAGGCGAAACAGGGAUCACGGUGGGGGUUGACACCACGAAAUCAAAGACUUCCUUCCAGUCCCUAACGUUCUUGGUAAGCUCCGAAUCAAAAUACCCCAAAGGAUUCACCUCAUCUCUACUCACCUUCCUCUUCUCCUCCAAUGGCAGAGCGAAGAAUUUCCUCGCCGCACCCUCAAUUUUCCGGCGAGACUCCGAGGGCACCCCAUGGUUGAUGACUUGAAAGAAGCCCCAAUUCUUGGAUGCGUCAGCUAUUUGAGAAACAUGGUUGGAAGCAUUGGCGGAAGAGAGAUCAAUGAGGGGGAUGCCUUCAGCUUCGAUAACAGCGAGCUUAGGCCUAUGUUGGGUGUCUUGGAUGAAGGCUGGAUCGACCUCUCCCAUGGCUGUGGUAGUGGUUGGAAGUUAGAAAUGGGGGUUAAGCACUGGUGGCAGCAGGUGUAGAUGGUGACGGGAAAUUGGGCCACACGGCAGGUGGUUUUUGUAGUGUGGUGGGGUUGGUUUAGUACAUUGAACCUGGGCAUAAUUUGGGUUACUUUUUAAGGUUUGGUUGAGGGUGUGACCUCAUGGAUUGCGCAUAUAUUAAUGAUAAUUGGUCAAGUGAUACUGCAGUCCCAAAGGGAAUCUCUCUCAAUGAUUUUGCCGACAGCUCCCUCCACAUUAAAAUGUUUCAUCCGUAUUUGAAUUGGAGUCUAAUGCUCUGAUCAAAGAUACCUUUCGCUUAGUCGAUCAGUGUUUGAUUACUAAAUAAGAUGGUGUCACAAAUAUUUUUGAAUUCUAGGUCAAAGUUAACGAGUGCAAAGGUUAUCAAUUUGAUAAGAUAAAUUGUUUAGAAACACUUUUAAAAAUGAUUCUUGAAAAAAUAUUUUUUUAAGUUUAAAAACCAUUUUUAAAUUUAGAAUAAAGGUUUAUUUAAAAACUUAUAUUAUUAUAAACUUAUUUUUUAUAUUUUUAAAAAAUAAUUUUUAUAUAUAAUAUUUUAUUUUCAAUCAUUUUUUACAUUUUUUUUAAAAAGGUAAAACUACUAAAAAAAAUACUUAAAAUAAGUUAUCAACAAAUGUCUUAUUGUCAUGACAAUUUUCAAAAACAUGUUUUAGAAACAAUUGAAAAUCAAAGUAUUUUCAUAUUCCUUUAUUCCCAAAAACAAAAAAUUAUUCUUGGUAACGGUUCCAAAUGUAUCCUUCAUUUGUUUAUCUUAUUAUAUAAGUUUUAAAAUAAAAUACAAAAAAUAAUUUUCAAUGAUAAUUUGUUACGGUUUUAUCCAAAAUUUUUAUAUUUUUAAUCAAUUAAUUUAUUGAUACGUAUAUUUCUCAUGAGACCUUUUUCUCACUAAAAACAUUACUUUUUUAUAAGACAUUUUUAAUAAAUUAAUUUUGAUACGUAGAUUAAAAAUGUCUUAUAACAAUAUAAAUUAAUUAAAUCAUUAGUUGGCCAUUUGGUCUCAUGCUUACACAACGACUUCUCUCAUGGCUGCCUAACAUGAAUGAACAACUCUCUACAACAAGUAAGGUACACUUAAUUAAAAAAUUAUUUAAUUUAAAGAUGUUCGAGAAUGAGAAUUUCAAGUAGCACUUGAAUGAAUUUAAUGAGACCACAAAUUAAUUAAAUUCGAUGGUUAUUAAAUUUGAUGAUAAGAUUCAAGCCUUAUUAAUCCUCGGUUAAUUGCUUGAGAGUUGGAAAGACACAAUCACCUCAAUCAAUAGUUCAUCCAAAAAAUCAAAAUUGGUGUUUUCGAAUGUAGUAGACAUGAUUAUAACCGAGGAGAUCAAGAAGCAUGAAGAAGGUUUUUCAAAUUCAUGAUCAACAUUAAAUAUGGAGAGCAAAGCUAGAAAUCAUAAUAAAGGUAAUAGGCGUGAUAAAUCCAAAUCGAGGAAUGAUAGGUUGAAAUACAAAAAUUCCAUAAAUUCCUAACAUCAGACGAGUAAGAACAAUAUCAAAUGUUGGAAUUGUGAUUGGAGCUAAAAUAUGUGCUCAAAUGACAUAUAUUUGAUAUGAUUUAUAUAUCAUAAGACACUCAAAUCAUCUGACUCUACCCAAAUUGAUACUAAGGUCCUAGCCAUGAGUUUAACUUGUAUUUUGGAGAUUUAUCUCAGGUUUAAGAAAAGAAAAUGGUGUAAGGUGAAUCAAUUUAGAUUUUGAAAGAAUAAGAAGGGGUUAAAUGAGAAAAUGAACAAGUCAAGACUCAUGAAAUAUGAAGAAAGGAAAGACGAGGAUAUCGUGAGUUUGGGAGAUGAGGAAUGACCAUUAUCAUGAAGUAAGAAAUAAGGCAUACAAACAUAGAAAAUGAGGCAUGAAACAAAAUUCAUCAAGUUUGCAUGGAAAUUUGGGACUCAAAAUCUGGUAAUAACAUAUACUCUGACUUUAAAAUGAAAUUUGGAGCAUUUCCCAAAGUCCAUUUUAGGCAAGCUAUAUAUUGUUUUGAAGCAUGGGAAGUUAGGAAUUCAAAGCUUCAAACAAUGUCCAAAUUAGAGCUAAAUAAGGAAGUUAUGCACAUUUAAAGCAAACUAGUUAGAGAGAAAAACUGAGUUCGAAAUUGGUCACUUGGAUUUGAAAUGGUUUUUGUCCAUUUAAAACUCAAAGAAAUGAAAGAAAACUUUUGGCAUUGGCUAAGUUUGAAUCUCUUUACCUAUUUCAAACAAGAGGCAUACAUUUCAAAGUCAAAUGAACAUACAUGGGCAGUGAGUGAGUUCAAAAUUCACUAUGAAUUUUGAACUCACCUUGUUGAUUUCAAAUUGGACCAUUUAUUUCCCACUUAUGAGUUCAAAAUUGAUUUGAACUCACCCAAAUUUCGAACUCAACCAUUAGUGACCGAUUUUAGGCUCUGAGACAUGUCAAAACGAGUUUCAAAUGCCUUUAUCCAAUUCAAAACGCAUCAUACUCAUUUAGAACUCGUAAUUUUUGGGGUUUUUUUUAAAGGUUAUUUAUGACUUUUCGUUACAAUAAGUGGCCAAUGAGAGUGUACCACAUGUUAGGUCAUUGAAGUUACUAUAAAAACUCUUUUAGUUAUAGUGUUUAGGUGAUCUUCCAAGAGUUAGACAUUUCGUGGGGAAGAAUACGAGAACUUUUGGUUUAUUUAUUUUCUUCUUUAUUGAAUGUAUUGUUUUUAGUUUCCUUUAUUUCAAAUUAUGAAUUUUUACUUUAUUAUGGAUUGUGAAUGUGACAUUACCCCCAUGAGAGGAUAAAAAGCUAACUUGGGGCUUAAACAUAAAAACUAACGGUUAGAAAACUUAUAGGGACAUUAGGUAAAUUAUUAUAACAAUAAGAUUAAUUAAUGGUUGAGUUACAAUUUAUUAAUUUUUUAUCCUAUCAUUGUGAGUUAGUUUAGAGAAUAAUAUAGUAGGUGAUUAUUCGAUACUAGUGAUUCUUGGUAACUCUUGAUCAUUAGUAAUCCUGAUUUUUCUUAUAGUUAUCUGCCCCAAAACGAAGUUAGAAGGAGUAGGAAAUGUUAAAAAGCCAAACCUUAAAUUGAUAAUAAUUUCAUUCAUUUGAUGUGUUGACAAAUCAGAGGGUUGGCUGCAUCCAUCAACUCUCUUUGUGUUCGCCGUGAGCACUUGGGUGAAUGCACUAUAAGGUUAGAGUAUGCACAUUUCUUAACAGCAAUUGCUUUUAGGAGAAUUGGUAGUGCCUGAGGUCCUACAUGAUAGUUUUAAGAACUUGUUUUAAAAAGAAAAAUUAAGUUUUAGAUGUACUUUUGAGUUAUAGGGCUCAAGUUGAUUGCAAGCGGCCAAGAAUCCCAAAACCCUAAGAUCACUCUAGUUAAGAAACCUUUGUUAUCUCUAUUUCUAUACCUUAAGUUAUAUUGUGGAAAACCUCAAACUUAAAUCAAUUAAAUUAAAAAUCAAUAUUCGUUUUGUUAUUAAUUUAGUUUUUUUUUUUUUUUACUUAGUUUCACUUCAUAAAAGUUAAUUCACAUAUUGUUUUUCGCUUUAGGAUUUAAAUAAAAACAAUUCAUUUAUCCUAGUAUUGAAAAAUUCCAUAUGUUAGUCCCUAAGGAUGAUACCCAAAGAAUUACAAAAACCAUAGUGACUAUUUCUCUAGUUUUUUCUUAACCAAAGUUACUAUGUAAAAAGGCUUAGUAUUUUACAUAAGAGAGAAGAUUGAUCAAAUUGUGGAAAGAAGAGACAUUAUAAAAAUGAGUGUAAGGCUGCCAAGAAGGAUAAGGAUGGUGACAACAAGACCAAUGCAAAUGUUGUGUCAAAAGAAUUAGAUGAUGCUCUUAUCUGCUAUUUAGAGAGAACAACAUAAUCGUGGGUAUUAGAUUCAGGGGCAUCGUUCCAUGCUACCUCAAGUGGAGAAUUAUUUGAGAAUUAUGUCUCAGGUAAUCUAGGGAAGAAGUAUCUAGGUGAUGACCAAGCAUGUGUUGUUAUUGGCAUAAGUGAAGUGCAUAUCAAAUAUUUGAAUGGAUUUGUAUGGAAUUUGGACAAUGUGAGGCACAUUUCAAACCUGAGAGAUAAUUUUAUUUCCAUUGGGUAGUUAACAAAAGAUAGUUAUGUGACAACUUUUUUAGGUGACACAUGGAAUAUCUCAAAGGGAGCUAUUUGCCAUGGCAAGAAGAAUGAUACUCUUUACAUGACAAUGAAUGGUUGUGGGUUUAUUACAAUUGUUGAGAGCAAAGAAGAUUCGAAUUUAUGGCAUUAAAGGCUUGGUCACAUGAGCAAUGAGGGGUUGGAAAUUAUACACUCAAAUGGGAAGUUGUCAAGUUUGAAAUAAGUUGACAUUGACAUGUGUGAAAAUUGCAUACUUGGGAAACAAAGAAGGGUUAGCUUUAAGAAAGUUGGAAAAACUCCAAAAGAAGUAAAACUGAAGUUAGUUUAUACAAAUGUUUGGGGACUUGCUUCAAUUUCAUCUAUCGGUAGAAGAUUUUUUUUUGUGACCUUCAUUGAUGAUCAUUUGAGGAAAGUGUGGGUAUACUUUAUGAUACACAAAUGAGAAGUGUUUGAUGUAUUCAAGAGACGGAAAACAAUGGUGGAGAAUAAGACAUGUAUGAGAGUCAAGAAGUUACGGUUUGAUAAUGGUAGGGAGGAUGAAGAAUUUGAGUUCAAGAAGAUCUAUUAUGAAAAUGGAAUUAAAUUAGAGAAGACCGUGCCAAGGACACCUUACCAGAAUGGUAUAGCAUAAUGAAUGAACAAGACAUUGACUGAAAGAGAAAAAAAACGUGUAUACAAGCAAGGUUGUCAAAGGAGUUCUUGGCAAAAGCAAUCAACAAAACAACUUACUUGAUCACAAAAUACUGGAAAAAGUGUGAACUAAAAAAAAGGUAAAGUUUUCUCAUUUGAGGGUAUUUGGUUGUGUAUCAUAUAUAUAUAUAUAUAUGUGUGUGUGUGUGUGUGUGUGUGUGUGUGUGUGUGUGUGUGUGUGUGUAUACAUAUUAGUGAUCAUGACAUAAACAUACUUGAUGCUAAAUCACUAAAAUGUACUUUCUUAGCUAUGGUGUUGAUAAUUUUGGUUAUUAGUUUUGGGAUGACCAGAGUAAGAAAGUGAUUAGAAGUAAGGAUGUCGAUUAGAAGUAAGGAUGUCAUAUUUAAUGAGAAAGUUUUGUAUAUGUAGAGAGAUGCAACACAUUCCAAUAGUCUGGUACAACUUGAACCUAUUUACUUUGAGCCAAAUGAUGUCCCAUUGAAUAACAUGACAAAUAAGACAGGUCAUAAUCAUUAGAUUGAGGAAAAUACUGCAUAAGAUGUUAAUAUAUCACAAGAUCUAGUUUCAAUUCCUACUUUGAGGAGAUCUAACAAGCCACAUGUACCAAAUAGGAAGUAUUUAAAUUAUUUGCUACUAAUAGAUGGAGGUGAACCUAAAUGUUAUGAUGAGGCAUGUCAGAUGGAAGAUAAUAGAAAGUGGGAGCUUACGAUGAAAAAUGAAAUGAAGUCCCUUAUUCUUAACCAGACUUGGAAGCUAGUCGAGUUACCAAUGGGUAAGAAAGUUUUUCAUAAUAAGUGGGUGUAUUAAAUUAAGUAGGAGCAUGGUGGUUCUAAGAGAUAUAAGGCUAGAUUGGUGGUCAAAGGGUUUCAAUAGAAGAAAAAUGAUUGACUAUACAUACAUUUUCUCUCUAGUUGUGAAACUAACUAUUAUUCAAUAUGUUUUGAGUAUUGUAGCAAUAAAGAGUUUACAUAUAGAACGGUUAGAUGUGAAGAUAGCUUUCCUCUAUGGUGAUUUUGAUGGGGAAAUUAGUAUAUAUGCAACAACUAGAGGGUUUUGUAGUGAAGGGUAAAGAGAAUCUGGUGUGCAAAUUAACUAACAGUCUGUAUGAUUUAAAACAAGCCCCAAGACAAUGGUAUAGAAUAUUUGGUAGUUUCAUGCAAAAGAAUAGGCAUCUCAAGUGCAAUGCAGACCAUUGUUGUUACUUUAAGAGAGUUGGUUCUAUCUAUAUUAUUUUGUUACUUUAUGUUGAUGGCAUGUUAGUAGUUGACGCAAAUCUAGAUGAAAUUAACAAGUUGAAGAAAUAGUUGUCUAGUGAAUUUGAAAUGAAGGACUUGGGAGCAACAAAGUAGGUACUUGGGAUGAAGAUUAGCAAAGACAAAUAAACGAGCAUCUUAUGGUUAUCUUAGGCUAAGUAUAUAUACUCAUAAAGUAUUGCAAAUAUUCGACAUGAGUAAUGUAAGGCAAUUAGAACAUCAUUAGCAAAUCAUUUCAGGUUGUCUAAUUAAGCAUUGCCCAUGGGCAGAUGAGGAAAAAGACUUCAUGGCUAAGGUUUCAUAUGCCUUAGCCAUUGGAAGUUUGAUGUAUGUUAUGAUAUGCACGACACUAGACAUUGCCUAUGCAGUGGAAGUUGUGAGCAAAUUUAUGUCAAAUCUAAGUAAGUAGCAUUAUGAAGUAGUGAAAUGGAUGCUUAGGUACUUACAGGGUACUACAAAAAAAUGUCUAUGUUUCGAAAGGGGUGAGUUAAAAUUGCAAGGAUAUGUGGAUGUUGAUUUUGCCAAUGAGAUAGAUAAUUGGAAAAGUACUACAUGGUAUGUGCUCACUUUGGGUACUAUUGCUAUUAGUUUGAUUUCUCAAUUGUAGAAGAUUGUUAUUUUAUCUACAAUUGAAGUAAAAUAUGUGGCUAUCACAGAAGCUAGAAAAGAAAUGAUUUGGCUAUAGAGUUUGUUAGCAAAGUUAGGAUUCAAAUAAGAUAUGAAUGUUUUGCAUAGUAAUGGCCAAAGUGCAAUACAUUUGGCUAAGUAUUCAACAUUUCAUUCAAGAACUAAUUAUAUUACACUUCAUUAUCACUCCAUCAGGUUUUUGCUUGAAGAUAGGGUGUUAACAUUUGUGAAGAUACAAGGUAGCAAGAAUCCGGUUAACAUGUUAACUAAAAUAGUGAUAAUAGAAAAAUUGGAGUUGUGUGCAACUUCAAUUGGUCAAUAAUGAGAAUAGGUUGUUUGAGUGCACCCUCAUACCCAUUAAUCAUUGAAAGAGAAUGUUUACUUGUGUUUUAGUCUUCAAGUGGAAGAUUGUUGGAUUGUGAAGCUUGAAUCAGUUUUAUUAUGCCCCGAUCAACUUGUAGGGAUUGAAGGGCGCAAUGCUCUAUGGAGAAUUUAUUUAUUUAUUUUUAUGUAAUGAUUGACAGGUUUAAUCUUAUUAUAUAUUUUAACCCUUUUAUGUUUUAAGGUUUUGUUUUUUAAUGUGUAGUUGCAAUUGAGAGGUUUUUUGAGAGCUUUGCUAUUCCACUCCUUCUCAUCCCUUUUAUAGUGAAUUGUUGUAUGUUGGUGUACUCCAUUGAUGUAGGGAUCAAAUUGAUCGUAAAACCAUUUUUUUUUUUUUUUUGUUUCUAUUUAUACAUGAGUGUGUGCGUGAUUUGGUUAACAUCAGUUAUCUUAAUAAUUCUAUUCCUGGAAUAGGAAGAAAAUGAUGAUUCCAUUAAUGUAGCAUGCAUUGCUGCUUAUUUAUCAAGCAAAUUACAUUAUUAUUACACCAAACCUCCAAAUUCACCACGUACGUAUCGUAUAUACCGCAUGAUAAGAUUUAGAGAGGUAAAACAAGCGCUUAUUGUUUACGGAUAGAUAAUGUCCCACCGACCUUUUACUCUGAUACCUUGAAAUGAGAAAUUUGGAGGUUUUCCACACCAAGCUUCUUGAGAUUACCGCGCUUUCUCGUAGCGAAGAACUUUCCCCAGUUGUAUGCUCUAUACUUUGGUUUUUCCCCCUUCGUCAGCUCCUCCAAGGGCUGCACCCAAAGAUGGUGCGCGGGAUUGAAAAAGAACGGAAUCGAGAACCUUUCCCUCUCUGAAUUCAGUAUCACUCUGUGCUCCACACUCUCAUAAGUUUCGUUGCUCCAAACCUGGUUUAAUAUCAGUAUAAUUAGCCAAAUAGGUGCAAAAUUCGGUGAGCGAAAUAACUGAUAAGCAGGUGCUUAUAAUUCAAAGUUCUUGGGUGGUACCUGAAUUAUAUCCCCAACAUUGAUGAUUUAAGCAUCUGGGGUGGGCUUCACUCGAACCCAUUCUCCGUCGGUUUUUCGCUUUACUUCCAACCCUCCGACAUCAUCCUGGGCAAGGAUGGUUAAGGCUCCGGCAUCCUUGUGGUGACCAACGCCCAGAGCUAGGUGAGGGACAGGGCAAGGUGGGUAGUGAUUGAAGCGGACGAAGCUCGUUGAUUCUUCAAAGAAAAGAUUGAAUCUGUUUUCUGGCAAACCUAAGCUCAGAGAGAUGAGUCCCAUCAGCUUGAAAGCUAGUUUUUCCGUUUCUCUCGCAUAUUCUUCACAGACCUCCCUGUAUAAAUCAGUUCAAUUAGAACAAAACAAACUAAGUAAUUUACUGUAGUGACUGUGCCUUAGCUGGUGAAAUUUGUACCUUAAUUCAGGAGGGUACUGAGGCCACCGAUUGGUCAGCUCUAUGAGCUCCUUGUCCUCAGGAUCAUCCGAAGCAGGGCCGAAGGCGGGGGUUCUCACCACGAAAUCAAAGACUUCUUUCCAGUCCCUAACGUUCUUGGUAUGCUCAGUAUCAAAGUACCCAAAAGGAUUCACCUCAUCUCUACUCACCUUCCUCUUCUCCUCCACUGGCAGAGCGAAGAACGUCCUCGCGGCAUCCCAAAUUUUCCGGCGAGACUCCAAGGGCACCCCAUGGUUGAUGACUUGAAAAAAGCCCCAGUUCUUGCAUGCAUCAGCUAUUUGAGAAACAUGAUUGGAAGCAUUGGCGGAAGAGAGAUCAAUGAGGGGGAUGCCUUCAGCUUCGAUAACAGCGAGCUUAGGCCUAUGUUGGGCGUCUUGGAUGAAGGCUGGAUUGACCUCUCCCAUGGCUGUGGUAGUGAUUAGAACUUAGAAAUGGCAAUUAUGCUCUGGUAGCUGCAGGUGAAGAUGGUUACAGGACUUGGGCAACUCGGCAGGUGGUUUUUAUAGCAUAAUAGGGGUGUUGGUUUAAUACCUUGAACCUGGACAUAAUAUGGGUUACGUGUUAAGUUUUAGUUCGGGGUGUGAGCUCAUGGGUUGCGCAUAUGUUAAUGAGAUUUGGUCAAGUGAUACCUAGCUAUUUCCACGGCACCCUCAAUAUUCAAAUAUUUCAUCCGUACUCGAUUUGGAAGGUUGAUUAGUAAAUCUGAUGGUGUAAUGUCUAUUUUUGAAUUCAAUGCUAUAUAUUUAACGGUGAAGAUAAGAAAAAUAGAAGAGUUGAUAACGUUGAAGAAAAAAUGCCAAAGUUUUAAGAAGGUAGAGUUUUGAUGAGAAAUAGGUAAAAUUAAAAUUGCAUUAUAAUAAUAUAAAUUAAUUAAAUCGGUAAUCACCCAUUUAAUCUCAUUCUUAUCCACAAUUGUUGAUAGUUGAUCCUACAAAAUUCUAAAAAAAUCUUCCACAAAGACAAAUCACAAGAUGUUCAAUAACAUAUAUGCUUUUGCACCAAAAAUUGUAUAAGGGAAAAAAAAAUGAUGCACAAAAAAAAAAAAAAAAAAAUUCUAUAUCUAAUAUUAUUUCAUAGGAAAACUAACUAUAAUAAAUUUUAAAAGCAAAGAGCGUUUUACCAUAUCUAAAUAAUAGAUUAUUAAAUUCUUUAUUUUUCAAUUGGAUAUUUUUUUUUAAAUUAGAAACAUCUAUAUAAAAAUAAAAAUCACUUUAAAAAAAUUUUAAAUUUAAGAUAAUAAAUUUUUUAUAAUAUUUUAAUUCUUUUAAAUAAUUUUUAAAAUUAUUAUUUUUUCAAUAUAAAAUUUUAAGAGUUUUUGUAUUUUAUAUAUAAGUUACUAAUAUUCUCUUAUUUUAAACAUAGAAAAUAAAAAAUGUAACCAAAUGAAUUAGAAAAUAAAAAAGUUGAAUAAAAAUAGUCUAACCAUCUUAAACCUAAUAAUGUUUGACAGAAAACACUUAAAUAUACCUUGUAAUUUUCCUCACUGGUCAGCUCCUCCGAAGGCUUCACAUUCACAUGGUGCGCCAGUAAGAAGAAGAAUGGAAUCGAAACCCUUUCCUUCUUGUGUCGACCCACACUGAGAGCGAGCUCCAGCCACGAGCACGAUGGAUGGUGAUUGAGUCGGAUGAAGCAUUAGCCUUCAAAGAAUUCAUUCAACCGAUCCCCCACCAAGCCUAAGCUUAAGGAGAUGAGUUCCAAGAACUUGUAAGCUAAUUUUUCUAUUUCUCUAAUAUAGUUUUUCCAAAUUUUCCUGAAAAUAAAUCAUUAUAUAAAAUAUAUCAAUACUCAAAAUAAAUUUAAUAAAAUCUUGUCUUGCCUUUAUGUCUCUAGUUGAGUCUGUUUGGCUUCAAGCUGUGCAUUUAUGUCUCCGGUUGAGUUUGUUAGGCUUUGAGUCGCACCUUUACACCUCUAGUUGAAUAUGUUCGACUUUGAGCCAUGCCUUUACGUUUUGAGUUGAGUCUAUUCGGCUUUGAGCCACGCCUUUACAUUUUAGUUGAAUCUGUUCGAUUUCAAGCCGUGCAUUUACAUCUAUAAUUGAGUCUAUUCAGCUUCAAAUUGCAUCUUCACAUUUUUUGUUGAAUCUGUUCAGCUUCAAGCCACUCCUUUAUGUCUCUAAUUAAAUUUGUUUGGCUUUAAGUUUCACCUUUAUGCCUUUAAUUGAGUUUGUUCGGCUUUUAGUUGCGCUUUUACGUUUUGAGUUGAGACUAUUUGGCAUCGAGUUGCAACUUUAUGUUUCAAGUUGAAUUUGUUUAGCUUCAAAUCGUGCCUUUACAUCUCUAGUUGAGUUUGUUCGACUUCAAGUCAUGCCUUUAAGUCUCUAGUUGAGUUUUUUUAGCUUUGAGCUGCGCCUCUACAUCUCUAGUUGAAUUUGUUUGGCUUCGUAUCACAUCUUAUGUUUCGAAUUGAGUUUAUUCGACUUCGAGUUGUGCCUUUAUGUUUCUAGUUGAGUCUAUUCAGCUUCAAGCUGCACCUUUACUUUUUGAAUUGAGUUUGUUCGGCUAUGAGCAAUGCUUUUACAUUUCAAGUUAAGUCUGUUUGGCUUUGAGUUAAGCCUUUACGUCUCUAGUUAAGUCUAUUCAACUUCGAGCCGCAUCUUUCAUUUUUGAGUUGAGUGUGUUUGGCUUUGAACCACACCUCUAUGUUUCAAAUUAAGUCUAUUCAUCUUCAAGUCGCACUUUUAUGUCUUUAGUUAAGUUUGUUCAGCUUCGAGCAAUGCCUUUAGGUUUGAAGUUGAGCCUAUUUGACUUCAAGCCACACCUUUACAUCUCUAGUAGAGUUUGUUUGGCUUCAAGCUAUGCCUUUUUGUUUCGAGUUUAGUCUGUUCAGUUUUGAGCCAUGCCCUUACGUUUCAAGUUAAGCCUAUCCGGCUUCAAGUCGCGUCUUUACAUUUUGAGUUAAGACUAUUCGACUUCAAGCUAUGUCUUUACAUCUUUAGUUGAGUUUGUUCAACUUCAAGCUACGCCUUUACGUUUUGAGUUAAGUCUAUUCGGUUUCAAGUUGUGUCUUUAUGUUUUGAGUUGAGUCUGUUUGGCUUUAAGUCACACUUUUACGUUUUGAGUUGAGUCUCUUCAACUUUGAACUACACCUUUAUAUAUCCAGUUGAGUCUGUUCGAAUUUGAGUCACACCUUUGAGUUUUGAGUUUAGUCUGUUCGGCUUUGAGCCACACUUUUACAUCUCUUGUUGAGUCAUAUUUAGCUUCAUUCUACGCCUUUACAUUUCCAAUUGAGUUUAUUUAGCUUUGAGUUGUGCCUAUGUUUUAAAGUUUGUUCAAUUUCGAGCCACAUCUUUAGCCUUAUUAAGUUUGUUCAAGUUUAGUUGUGCCCUCACCCAUAUCCUUAGUUUUAAGUUUAUUCAGCUUCAAGCCAUGCGUUUGUCCUUGUUAAGUAAGUUCGGCUUCGAGCCACGUCUUAGUUUUGAAGUUGUUUAUCCUUGAGCCACACCUUCCUUUCUUUUUUAGUUCACUUAGGGUUUUCUCCUUCCUCGAGUUUAUUAGUGCAUUCGAGUUCAUUUUUCUUUAAGUUGAUCACUCUUUAUCUUUGUUGUCCUUGAAUUGUUCAUUGUGUCACAAUUCAGUGUUUUUCAUUGCAUAUAUACUCCCCACAUUGUCUAUAUUUUAUCCUGAUGAGUUUCUUUCCCAAUACGUGACCUCGAUCUUUGAGUUUAGCAUGCCAUGUGCUAAGACAAUUUCGAGUGCUCUUUUGUUCUUCAAUGCAAUUCACUUCAUACCAUUCAUCACUCAUGUUUCACUGUUUGUGUUCAUUUCAUUCGUGAUCUACAUCGGAGAGAGACAUAUUUGUUGGCCCUUUACUUUGUCCUAUAAUACAUAUUUUCACAUUUUUUUAUUUUCCUCUUGCCCCAUACUCAUUUUUGGUGCUCGUUUUGGAUCCUUCUUGUUUGAUCAUUCAUGGUCCCUUAUUGGUCCACGUUUACUUGACUCAUUAUUCAUUUUUUAGUCGCAUUUUAGAGGCCAUGUAGGAGGAAUUUUGAGUACAUGCAAGCUUAUUUUUUAGAGACCCUUAGUAGUUGGCUCAUAUGAGGACACGCCUCCUCACACUACUACAAAAAUCAUUUAUGGUGUCACUAUUUAUAGUGACACUUUUAAAAUAAUGACACCAUAUAGCUUAAAAUCCACAAAGGUGACACAUCAUAUAAAAAUUUUCAAUUAGGAUCAAUGAUAUUAAUUUUAGGUUUAUAAUGUCAGUUGCCAAAAAAUGACACCAUAUAAAAUAUUUUUUUUCUAAAUAUUAUAACUCAAUUGGCCCACUUUGAGAAUAAUGAUAGUAUAUAAAAAAAUCAUUGUUUCCACAUACCCACAAUCCAAAAAAAUUUCAUUCCAUAACCCUAACCAAAAUUUUUUUCUACCUCUUCUCACACCCAUAGUUAACACACAACUGUUCUUCUCUGCUUUGUGGACUCUCAGGUAACCCAAAAUCUCUUAGAUCUAUCAUUUUCAUUUAUUUUUUUAUUAAUGUCAAAAUCUUUAUGAACACAAUUGAUUUAUGUUUAUUGAUUUAAUAUAUUUGUAAUAUGGAUUGUGUAAAUAGUGUUUUUUUAUUGAGUUGUAGGAAAGUAAAAACUAGGUUUAACAUUCCACCAUAUCUUCUGGUUCAUUGUUAAACCCAUAAACCCCAAAAUGAAUGAAAAUAAGAAAAAUGAAUUAUUUUUAAAUAUCUUUUAUACUCAAGAUAAUAUAUAAACAUUUUACAAUACAAAAUUUUUUUUUGAUCUUGUAGGAAAUUUCCUUUGAUAGGAUUUUCUGUUUGUUUUCAAGGAAUAUUGUAGUAUAUUGUGAUGAAGAUAUUGAUUGGUGUUAUUUGAAAAAUAAUUUUUUAGAAAAUUAUUCUCAAUAUUAUCAUCUCCCACAAAAUGAAAAAUGAAAUAGUUUUCAUAUCAUAUUGGAGUCGGUUUGGAAUGUUGGAAUUAACAAUGAGAAAUUAAUUUUAUUUUUUAUUUAUUAAUGUAAAUGAAUUGUUUUUUUUUUAAAUUUAAAUAGGAAUGAAAAUUUUUAUAAUUAUAAAAAUGAUCAAAUAUUAUAUUUUGAUUUUUUUUUCUAUUCUUUUACAUGGUAUUAUGGUUAAUAUCUCAUCUUGUUCUAUAUAUAUUUUUUAUAUUCUUAAAAUAUGUUUUUUGCUUUUUGUUUUUACUUUCUUUUCUUAUUGUUUUUAUAUGUGUUGACCAAAAUUUAGAGUAAUUUGAGAUUGGCGAUAAAAUUUUCCUUUCAAGGUUAGAAAAUUUCUAUAAAAUCAUUUUAUUACAUAAUUUUUUCAAUUCCUUCCAUAAAACUCUUCCUUUUUCCUUUUUUAAGAAGAUGUUUGAUAAUUUUCUUUUGAUUUCUAUGAAAUUUCCUUUUAUUGGACUGUUUGUUUAUUUUCUAAGAAUAUUAUAGUAUGUUAUGAUGAGGAUAUUGGUUGGUGAUAUUUGAAAAUUAAUUUUUGAGAAAAUUAUUCUCAAUAUUGUCAUCUGCCACAAAAGGAUUUUAAAAGUAUGUUUUAUUUUUGCCUUCUUUUCUUAUUGUUUUUAUAUGCAUUGACCAAACUUUGGAGUAAUUUGAGAUUGAUGAUGAAAUUUUCCUUUCAAGGCUAGGAAAUUUCUAUAAAAUCCUUUUAUUACAAUUUUUUUUUUUUUCCUAUUCCUUCCAUAAAACUCUUCCUUUUCUUCAUUUUUCUUUUUUGAUGUUUGAUAAUUUAUUGAUCUAAAGAAUAUUAAAAGUAAAAAAUUUAAAAUAUUGAAUAUUUUUUCCUUUGAUGUUGUUAUUUUAUUAUUAUUUUUAUUUGAACAUAUUUUUCAUAUCCAAAUUUUCUAUUAAUUAUUUUACUUUUAAAAAAAAUAUCAAUUGAAGUUAUGACUGAAAAAUCAAUAAUUUUUAUGAAAGGUUCUUUAAUUCUUUCUCAUACUAAUUUUUCUCUUAACAUUUCUUAAUAGUGAAUUAGGUUUUUUUGUUUUAUAUACACAAUUUUCAUGCUUGUUAUAAUAUCAUGUCCUAUCAUAUUAGUAGUUGAAAACAUUUUUAUAUUUUGUUACUAAAAUUUUAUUUUAUAUAAUUUACAUGAAUUUUAAUGGACAUUGUUAUUUCACAAAAUGAACAUUAAAAAAAAUAUUGAAAUUAAGAAAAUCCUUCCAAGAAAUAAAAAAAUAUAAAAAGAAUUGGAUGUUAAAAAUGAUUUUUAAAAGCAUUAUGAAUUAUAAAAAAUAAAUUUAAAAGAUUAGUAUUUUCUAAAAUUUUAGAUUUAUAUUUUGAUUUUGUAGUUUUGAUUUAUUUCAUAUUUUCUUGAAUUGUUUUUAUUUGAGUUCAAAUGUGACUACUUUGUUAUGAGAUUCAUUAAAAGGAUAAUUGUUGAUUCUACAGUUAUUGCAUUAAAGGUUUUACUCAUUUAAUGAAUUGUACAUAGUUUCAUACUUCUAAUUAUUGUGAUAUUAAUGUUAUUUUCAUUUGAUUUUAGUUUGAUGACAAAAAACAUAUUCUCAAGUAGACUUUGAUGAAAUAAGAGGAGAAUGGAUUGCUUUUGUGUUAUAACUAAUCAUGAAUCAUGUUGAUGUAUCGUGAUCAUGCAUGGUGAGUCCCUUAGUUGUUAUAUAAAUUUUCCAUUGGUAUUGUAUAACAUUACUUAUUCUUUAUGAACUAUUUUUAUAUCAAAAUAGGAAAAAGAAAAAAGGAAACAUUAGUACUUAGAUUUGUUUAUUUUUUUAUAACAUCACUAUGGACCCCGCAUUUUCGGCUCGAUGCGUUUCCCACUCGAUGGCGAGCUCGAUUUUUAAUUUUGAAAAAUGAUUUUUAUUCAUUAAAAAUGACUUGGAGUCGCCACUUAUUUUUGUUUUAUUUUUAAAGGGUAAACAAAAUAAGAAAAAAAAACCCUAAGUGUGACUCCUUAUUUUAGAAAAGGCGAUCUACGAAAAAACCGGAUUGGGCUCGGGGGUUAGGUUACUUAUCGGGAAGGUACGGUAAAGACCGUAGCACCCCUCUAAGUCCCUAAAAUCGGGUCUUUACUAAUAGAAUGAAGCUGACGUGGCAGUCAACAAGAAAAUCGAUGAAUAGUCAAAUCAAUCAUGCACAAUAUGAGAAGCAAAACAUGUAUAAAGAAUGAGCGAAAUAUGAAUAGAUGCGUACCUGGACGGCAAUCACGAACGCGCUAUCAUGAAACAUGGUUAGUGAACAAUGAACAGAUAUAAUUAAGCGCAUAUCAAGGAAUAGAGUAAAUCAAUCAUGCAUAGCAAAUAAAUAAAUCAAUUAGUUAAUCGAUUAUAAAUCACAUAUGUGGGGCCCCACCAAAGUCCAUUUAUUUUGCAUGAUUUAAUUCCAAUAACUCCAUUACUUGGAAUUACGGAAAUGAAUUCUUGCUUAUUUUAAAACGUUUUAAAACGAAGGAGAUGUGGAAAUUAUUUGCUAGAAGGAAAGAUGACAACAAAAUUUUAUUGGAAAUGAGAUUUUUGAGUGAUCCUAAAAAUUCUAAAGAUGAAAAUUUGAAAAAUAAAUAAAUAAAUAAGAAUAAAAUAAAAUUAUUUGAAAAUCUAGAAAUUGGAAACUAUUUGAAAACGGGAAAUUUGGAAAUUAAUUUAAAAUUGAAGAUAAAGAAAUAAAUAGAUAAAUAAAAAAAUAAAUAAAGGACACGUGACUCAAAAUGUGGUCAUGCAUAGUUGCUUGUAAAUUGGACAGCCAGUUGCUUCUCAUACUCUCAGCGUCAAGAUGUUCCUUGAUGUAGUUGCCCCAUGUGUCAUCCUUAGCCGUGAUAAUGCAUGUGUUUUCAUCCCAAUUAAAGUCACUUUGAUCAAGAAGUGCCUUGAUAGUGACAUAUUGCAUCCUCAAGACAUCAUACCGAUUCCUCAGUUGGUCCUUAUCCAUGGAUUCCCGCGAAAUAAAUCUGUUACCAGAACAUUGUAACCAUUGCAUGCAACGCGAUAUGCGGAGUCCCUUGUGGAUGAAUUUUCGAAGCCAAAGGCAUCAAACAAGAGCAGUAUCCCUGCCAACUGCGUGUUCAUCCAGCCGCUCAAUCACGCCACUAACAUGGGCACAGCGGAAAGCAUCAACACAACCUUAAUUCCUCUCUUGUAGCUGUUUAGCAGAUCCAAGUCUGUACAAGACUUGAUCUAUGGCAACGUCAUGAGGAUAUAGCCGCGGGGUAGCAUAUGAAUCCAAUCAAUGGGAAAUGGGCAUUAGGAAUGGUGGUCAGGCUUUGCAUGAUUUCAUACACGUGAAUGAGUGAUGCUGGGACCUUCAUGGAGGCUUUGAGUGGAUCUUUGGGCGGCGGUGUAGAAAGAGAAAGGUAGCAGGAAGAAAAGAAUGGGUGUGGGCUUGGUGGUAUGAAACGUGUGGUGUUAAAGAGGAAUGUGGCGUACAUGAGGAAAGACAUGGUGAGUGGAAUGAGCUAUGGGCAUGAGAGAAAUAGAGAAAAUGGGUAUGAAGGUUAAUGAGAGAGAACGGGCGUGUGAGGGUGGUAAAGGAAAAUGGAUGAUGGAUGCACAUAGGUGGAAAUGGGAAUGGAUUUGAUAAAGCAUGAAGGUAGGAAUGGGAUUCGGGUGAUAUUAGAUUACCAUGCAUGGAGAAUGUAUACGUGGAGGUCUAUUAUGCAAAGGAACUAAAAACGGGUCAAGUGAAGGGCUGUUUAGGGAAUAUGGCAUCAGUUUCAGGUUGAGGGGAUGGGGCCCUUGGGCCAUUUGGCUACCCACAAGUAUGAUCUACAAAAUAGGGUCCUUAUGUCAGGGUCAACUUUCGGAUUUUUGCAAAGCUGAUGCUACCAAUUUAAACUCUGAUCAAUCAGUGUCCGCGAUCUUGAGUCCUUCAAGCUGAUGCAACGCGUCUUUAGGAAGGUAGAGCCUCCAAUGAAUACUUUAGAUUUCGAUUUUUGAACAAUCAUGGCAGAACCCUUCAUCGAUUGGCAUUAUCAUUACCCUGGGAUUGCAGCAAGAUGCAUGGAAGGCUUCUUCACUAUUAUCACAAAUGAGCAUAUACAAUAUAUUUUCUGAAUGACCACACGAUUUACAUGGUUGGGAUGAGUUGCUAUUCCCACUAACUCCCAGAACUUCAAGAAGCUCCUGACUCCUCAGUAUAGAAAUGCGUGUAAUCAUUACCCUCUUGUUUGGCAUGACCUGUGCAUACCCAAGAAUGACACCUACUAACCAACCAAUUGAUCCUUAUUGCAUUUAGAACUCAUCUGCAUCCCCUAGUCAAUUUCAGUUUCUGACAGUUAAACCAAAAAUCCCCAGUCUCAGCAAUGACAGUAGUCUCACUUGACAACAUUUUCUGUAUAUGCUGGAACAGAACAUAAACCCUCAAAGGCUCCUCGGGAUCAGACGUAGGAGACUGUCCCUCAGGAACGUAAACUCUAUGGUAGAACUCAUAGGCAGUGAUAUUGCAUUCGAGCCUCUUGGAGAAUGACUUGAAGAAAUCUUUCAUCAAAAUGCACCCAAGCUCAAGCCCAUAAGCACACCAAACACCAUUAUUGGGUUCGUUACAUCACCAUGCUACGGAGUUUAUACAACAGGAAGCUCUAACUGAUGAUGGUUCUGGUAGUGAUUUGCCAAUGGGAACUUGGCCAUCAAGUGAACCCGAUAUCAGAAGCUGAAGUUAUUACCUUGUACUCUUCUAUUCCCCCAUUAUCAGCAAUUCCAAUGGAAACAGUAGGAGAGCCUCAAGACUGUGUAUCCAUUCAAUAACUCUGUUUCUCAGUCAGGAUGCAAAAAACUCCCCAAUGAUUCUACAGCUGCAACCACAGGAGCCCCACUACUACCAGUUCCUUCACCCAUUCUGACAGCAACCAAAACCAGACCAAUGACUUGAACUUUAGACUUCCCCAAUCCAUUAAAUCCAGAAACCACUUGGAGUUAGAAACAUUUUCUACCUCAUCCUAGAACUUUCAGGUAUUUUACAAAGUAAUGGUCGGUAUUUUUCAAAAGCAAAAAGAAAAAAAGGUAAGACUCAAGAAACAGAGCAAACUCAGAAUUCGUUAAUCAAGACUCCAUCUCAUGCUGCACUCAAUGGAUCUAAACAGGUGAGACAAGCAGGGAGCAGUGGCAUGAUUAAUCAAUCUCAAAAAUAAUCCAUAUAUCGGUUAUUGACAGGAAAAAACAAAGAAAGCAGAAAAGAACCCAAACAGAGCAAAUACAAAAACAAACUCAAAUUCAGCAAAUCAAUCCACAAUCAAGAAAAACUAACAAUGCUCAAGUAGCCUGAGAAAAAUGAUGAAGAACAGUGAUAAUGAAAAAUACCCUAAAAAAAAGAACACGAUACUUCAUACCUGUGAAACUCCUCUCCGAUGAAGCUCACCUACCAAACCAAUCUGCUCCCAUCCUUGGCACUAGAACCCCUCUCCGUAGCAGCCUAAGCUCAAGGAAAUCCCUCUCCAGACCGAUCUCUUCUUUCUUCUCAAGUUCUUUUCUCCUCCUCUCAAAAUAUCUCUCCCUGAAAAACGGCAGCCAAAACCUCCCUCUGCAGCUGGCCUGCCCCCGUAACAGAAUACCCCCCUCUAGCUUUCUCACUACCCUCAAAAGCACCCUCUCUCUCCUGCAGCUGCAAGCCUCCACUACCCCCAUGCAGCUGGCAGCCUCUACUCCUCUAACGGCCAGCAGAUUCUCCUUCUAGAAAAUUCUUUCCCUUUUCCAGGUGUCUUUCCCUGAUUGGCCCAUCAAUUCCACUAUAGUGAUUCUACAGUGACCAAUCCUAAGAAGGCACGUGGCCUUAUGAGAUUGCGACACUUGGCAAACACAGGCUGCCAAAAAGUGAGCCCCCAAAUGGGGGUCUACAAUCACAUUUUUAUUUUCAAUAAGAACUCUAAAACUCAUUAAACUAUAAAAUGCAGAUAUACACUCUUGAGAGGACAAUAUGAAGAAUAAAAAGAAAUAAGAAAGAAGCAACAAGAUUUGGAUUUUUAGAUGUGACUCUUAUGUCAUACAUUAUACGACAUAAAUGUUAUUUUAUUUGGAAUUGAGAAUUGUGGGUUUUUUUAUGCAACUCUUGUGUCAUUUGGUUAGCCGGUUUUAUGCAUAUGAAACGUAAGUAUACAUGAAUGUUGGGAUGCUUAACAUUUCUAAAUCAUGUUUUAAUGUGUAUUCACUUUUCUUUUUUAGUUUUGGUGGGUUUGAUAUACUAUGUUUUGUGAACAUUUGAUAUACAAAUAUUAGUGGAUGAUGUAAUGUAUUAUAGGUUAAUCCAUAAGCAUAAAGAAAAUAUAAGUUAAAUGUAAUAUGAUUAUUAUAUUUAUGGACAAAAUUUACACACGUUGAUCUUAUUUAUUAAUAAGCAUUACAAAAAUCUAUAGGCUAGUCAACAAAAAACAACCAUAUCUUCUAUAAUCAUUUACAAUGAAGUGACACCAUAAUUCAAAGGUGAUGCAUUUAACGUGACAUCAUAACUCAAAGGUGAUGCAUUUAAUAUGACACCUUAUAUAUCUCACAUAACUCUAUAUCAAAUUAAGCAUCACUAAAAAUAUAUGGUGUCGCUUCUAAAUGCGUCACAAUUUAUCUGUUUUGGUGUCGCUUCCAAAUACGUCACCAAUUGGUACCCUCUAUGGUAUUGGUGGAUAAGGUGACGCUAUGUUGUAGCGACACCCUAUGUUUAGGGUGACUCGUUAUAAAUGUCACCAUAUAUGUUUUUCCUUGUAGUGUCAUUGGGAAGGUUUUUUCCAUUUUUUAGAGGGGUUUUCUAAAGGCUUCUAGGGUGAGGACACUGUUCUCAUAUUGGCUUUUUUUCCCCCUUUUUAGAGGGGUCUUCUAAAGGCUUCUAAGGUCAACUAGGAGAGCAUGUUGAUUGAUGCUUUGAUAUGGAUACCAGAUGCCACAUUUCAUCUUGUUGAACACUGGUUAGCUAUGGACUUGUUACUGCUUUACUCUUCUGUUUCGAGUUAACUUUGGAAAUGAAUCUGAAUAUAGACUAGUAUUUGCAUCUUGAUGUUUAGAGAAUCAUAUUUUAGUUGUUGUUUAAAAUUCAUUUUGGCAUGUUCGAUUGCUUCAAGCUCAUUUAUACAAUAAUGAAAUGGAGAUUUAUAUAUUUGUUAUUGGGUUGGCUCUCUGUUUGGUUAUCUUUAAGUUCUGCAUCUUUUCUUUUCUCGUUGCCUUAUCUUCUCUGGGGGGUGUCGUUUGAGAAAUACAUAGUGGAAAAAAUGGGAAGCUGAAGGCUUAUCCUGGCAUCGACCUCGCGUUAGGGAACGACUUGAUCGAAGAACAUAUGAAUUUUUCAAAUACCCAGAACUCACAUCAAAAGAAGCAUCGGAGUCAAGGUCAAACACAUCAUCUGACAAGGAAUAUACCUUUGCCUUUGGUGACUUUAUUGACUUCUGCAUGAUGGACAUCCGAGGGUGGGGACUGGAAGAGAAAUGAUGAAUUUGCCCAAGAUAGUUUGUCUAGAAAGGAACUUGUAUUAAAUGAUGAUUACCCACUAUGUCAGAUGUUGAAAUUUGGGUAUGACAACUCCUGGUGGCAUCAGAAAGAUGAGUUGCACAAUCCUUCUCACAGUUGAAAGCUUGACCUCCGAAGUUGGGCUUUUUCAUGGCCAGACAAGAACAGUGAUCACAAUAGUAUGAGCCAAGCCUGUCACGACCCAAAUUCUAGGUGAACUUAACCAUGACUCCAAAUCAAAGGUUUAAACUUAAAGGUUACAUCUAUUCAAUCUAGUAGUCAAUCCUGAUAACUUGAUUUUUUUUUCUUGAUAAAACAAUAUCUAAUCCCAAAUCAAUUUAUUAAGCUAAUAACUUGAUUUUUUUUCUCAAUAAAACAACAUCUAGUCCCAAAUUAAUUUAUUAAGCUAAGAUUUACUAUAUCAUAUUAUUUGAUUUUAUUUUUCAAAAAUCAACCAUUACACUAUCACUUAUUUGCAAGUAUAAUAAAUCUGUCAAACAUCUUAUCACCCAAAAUGAUAACCCAAAUAUUUACAAAAAAAAGUUUUACAAAUUAAUAAAAUAUAGUCUAAGUUAUAAAAGUUCUUAUAAAUUAAAUUAGUAUGUGCUAAAAUAUAAGAUAACUGAAAAAAAAAAAAAAAAAAAAAAAACCAUUAUUAUUAUGGUUCCUUAAAAACUAUAUUUGCAUCUAAAAAUUUUAGAAAAUAAAGGGAUGGACAUUUCCACAUUACUUAGUAAGGUAUUUUACACCCACACAAAUUAGAAAUUCUAAGUCAAUAAAACACAAUCAUAUAUCAAAGUGUAAUUUUACAUCUAAUGUACUACAACUAUAUACAUUUAAACUAAUCAAAAUUAUCACUAACCAUAAUCAGACUCCAAAUAAUACAAAUAACAUUUAUUAUCUCCCAAAAACAUAAUGUGUAAUUUUGUUUCCAAAGAAAAAUAUAAAAUAAAAGUUUUAGGGUUAAACCACCCUACAUCAAAUUUGAAAAUCUAAUUGUUAAAACUAAAAUCAGACUCCGUAAAAAUGUUCUUUAUGUUAAAUAGAGUGUUUUGCUAAAAUCUCAUGCAAAACAGAAUUCAUUUGGCUUGUCGGAUGACAACCCAAAUAUUUGUUGCACCUUCCUUGUUUCUUCUCUUCCUUUGUGUUUCCGUUUGCACUCUUCUCUCUACGGAUCUGGUAAAUAGGGUAGCCCCUGGUACGCUUGGGGCUGGAUUGAAUCCUAUUCGAACUAUAUCUAACUUGAUCUUGUCCAAGCUAGGAAGGUUUUUGGUCUCGAUGACAUUGGAAGUUUCAUCAUUGCUAAAGAAAGGGGCGGCCAAAAAGGCUUAGCGACGACCCUCUCUCGACUUAAAGGAAACGACUUGUCCCAUCCAAUGCCCUACUUUUAAGUGCUCGGUAUGUUCACUUAAUCAAAUCUAGAAGAAGCUUGGCCUCUGUAGAGCAUGAAAAGGCUAGUUUUGAAGCUUUUAAUCGAGGACUUAUUUGCCCUAAAGCCUGACUUCUUAGGAAGAGAAAUGGGCUUGACUUCUUCAUCAACCUCGGAAUCGCAUUCUAUCACACUGGUGGUACUUCUUGUUGAAUUAAAAGAUUGGAUGAGUCUUUUUGUACCCACCCGCCACCCCUGUUUGAGAGUGAUUAAAUAUCAUAACUUCCUUAAUGGACCUACGGACUAGCUAAGGUUUACUUACAUAGUUGUUCUUUCUUUUCUCAAUUUCAAGUUAAAGUUAGCGUUUUUCAGCUUACUGUUUGCUUUGGUUGAGUAGCCGCCUUAUGACCCUUUGCUUUUGAAUGAAAUCAUCUAGAACCUCUCAGAUCGGAUUCCAAUCACCUUAGUGAGUCUCCUAGGUGCGAAGCCAUUCUUUAAGCCCAAAACAAAAGGAGAAGUGAAGUCACUAUCUAGACAAAGGGGCUUGCCUACUUAUAAGGUAGGAGUUCACACCGGGGAAUCGCUUUCUUAAUUAAUUAAAAGCGAGCCAAACUCACCACCUCAUGUACCAAAGUCAAACGGUUGUUCUUCCUUCCCCGCUCCCUUUUUCUCUACAUAUGUGAUGGCGGGCAGAGCGCUCUAUAUGACCGGUGGUGGGUUACCAGAGAAGAUGGGACAACUUCUUUCUCUCUUGCCUUGCUCAAUCUUCCUUUUCUGAUUGAAAGUAGCAAGCCACACCACUACUGGUACAGAGGUCGGAUAGAAGGUUGCUUUUUCUAUAUGUUCAGGCGAAGAACAUCUACGGCACAGUCUUCGCCAAGCAAGAUGAUGUAACUCCUCAAAACAUAAAAAGAGCUCUUAUAUAUGUAAAAACAUGAUAUAUGUGUAAAUGAAUUAUAGCCAUUUUCAAAUAGAUCAGGAUCGUCAGAUGUUUGAAAUGGAAAGUCAAUUUUUCUAUAUGCAUGUAGAUAUCUAUAGGGGAUUAUAUGAAGGGGAUGUUAUUAUUUUAGAUAUAAUCAAUUCCCUUCUCGGAGCCCACUAAGAUCCGGAUCUCCUACGGAAAUGAUUUAGAAGAUCCAAAACCAAAAAUAGUGGUAUUUGCUAGCAACAACAUAAUGGAGGCAGUCAAUCAAUAUAUAUUGAUCUAAAAUCUGAUUCAAAUCCAAUAUAGCACCUAUGGGUACAUAAAAGAAAGGCAAGAGAGAAAAGAAGUCCAUACUUUUCAACAAAGCUUUAAGUGAGUAGGGGUGUAGCAGAUUCAUGCACGUCGAAUAUAAAUGCAGUUGGAUGAGUAGUCGCGGAUUCACAAUGCCGGUUAAAAAGCCAAUCUUAGGGUUGCAUUCACUCCCCUUCUAUAUCUUGCAUCUAUAGUAUUUUUGUCCUGGUGGAUCUCUUUAUCAUUUAAUAAAAGUUUGGAAUCUUGGGUUACUAAUUGGUGGAAUACUAGGCAAUCUAAAACUUUUUUGAAUGAUAUUCAAGAAAACAAUCAAUUUCCCAUCAUUUGCACUAUGAAUGGAAAUGAAAUUCUAGAUCUAGAAUCAGAUGAAUGUGCAACAGUCAAUUUCCUCCCUCACAACCUAAUUGUCCACUAAAAACAACCUUUUUUACUAUACGCUAUUUGGCCGCUAGAAGAACUUCAGUUCUUAUAGGUAAAUGCUCAAUACCCAAGUAGGCCUACAAAGUUGAUCAUGAUCAAGUGCUUUUUGGGUCGUCUUAGACCUUGCAAUAUCUCUCCGGCCCUCUAGCACUCUGUUAUGGCUCAAUCACUUACUCUAGUUCUGGAGUUCUAGGUCCUCUAGCUAUUAGUGCAGGUAGCUCUCCUUCUGGUAAUGCAUUAUAGGUUGUCUUCCUUCCACCUUCCUGUUUUCAAGAAAGCUUAUUUUCUUUCUAAGAAAAAUCAUACAAUCUCGUAUGAGAACGGGAUUGAUGGGAGGCAUAUGCUCCCAGGCUACACAAUGUCUUACAGGGCUUACCCAGUUAGAAGGUAUGUAACUAAAGUCUCAAGAGAAUUGAAAUCGACGAGAAAUCAGAAUCAAUGUUAGAGAUUAGACUUGGCAUGGAAAAAGGAGUAUAGUAAGAUGAUAGAGACCUCGCACGAGAUGCUUACUCGGAUUCAUGCCCAUAAAGAGUAGAAGAUUCAACACAAGUGCAAGAAUAGGUUUCACAGUUAAGAAAGGUUGAGAUUCAGGUGAGUGAGUGAGUCCUCACUGACUUGAGCGAUUUCGAUCACCUAGCAGUUUAUUUGGUAGGUAACAUCGCUAAAGCAUAUCAUCUGAUCUACAAAUGAAGGAAAUCAAAGUGAGACGACACCGUCCUCUGUAACGCAACGAUAGUUGGCCCUUUAUCAUCAACUAUUUGGUAGACUUGGUAAAAGAUGUAAGGCUUUAGCUAGUACACGAAAGUGCAUACCAUGAUUCUUCUGUCUAUCAAUAACUGCAUGCAUUGCACGAUGGAUGUGAAGAAGUAGGCCAUUAUCUCGACAAUAAUGAGCCAAGCUAGUAUUUGCAGUGAAUCCCCCUGUUAAGUAGUCACAUUAAUGGAACAAGAACACAUUAGCGUAUGAAACAGAGCUGAAAGCGCGAGUGCACAAUCUCAAAAACGGCAAAUUCACGUUCUACUUCCUCAAUCUCGAACUCUGUCUAUUGGGAUGAGCUCCCCUUACCUGCGCUAUUCUAUGAACGAACUUCCUUUAUAAACCAUAAAACUGGAACAAUCACUGUUCCAGGGUCUGUCUCAGAGUUCUAUCUCGUGCUUGACAUCAAUUGCAUCCAAACCUUUAAUCGGGUAUACUUUCCACAAUAACAAGCGAGUCAUAGUUAGGUAAAAGUUAUACAGAAAGAUGACAUCGUUGGCGAACUUGAAGCUAGUUAGGUAAAUCCCCUUAUAUUCUUCUUUCUUCUCCCAUAAGACAUUCCUUAUUAUUAUUAUUAUUAUUAUUUUCAUUUUCUCAAUUUCUUUAUCUUUUCAACUUUAAGACACCAUUUUGCACUUCUUCUUUUUUAUUAUAAUUAUUAUUCUUUAUCAACCAUACCAUGUUAAGAAAUUUAUUUAUUUUAAUCCAAAAAUCUACUUAAAUACAAUUUCAUACUUUUCUUAAUAAAUUAUAUAUAUAUAUAUAUAUAUAUAUAUAUAUAUAUAUAUAUAUAUAUAUAUAUAUAUAUAUAUAUAUUAUUUCUUAUUAUAACAAAUUUAAAAUGUCACAUGUAUCAUUUUUUUAAUAAAUCAAAUUAUUAUUCUUUAUUUCAUAUUCUACAAUUAUAAAUUAUACUCAAUAUAUGAUUUAUUGUCUUACGAAAAAUAUACUGCUAUAUUCUUAAUUAAAUUUAUUACAAGUCUACUUUUCAAAAAAAAAUUAAUUUGACUUUAAUUACUUGAAACAUUUUUAUUAUGAAAUUCAUUUAGAACAUGAUUUCAUUAAUUAUAUAUUUAAAAAAAAUCAAUUUUAGAAAAAAAUCUGAAACAUAAAAUAAUUCUUCAACAUCAAGAAGCUGAAAUUCAUAAUAAUAUUUAAUCCUUUAAUUUUACCAAUAUUUAUUUACCAAUAAAAUUUAAGCAAUAUUCUGAAAUUUAAUUCCAUUAGUUAUUUAGUCAUUCAAUUUAUAAAAUCAUAUUCUCAACCUUUGGUAUAACUUUUAUUUAAUUUACUUCAUUUGUCAAAUUUCUCAAUUGAAUCAAAAUUUCAAAAGUUAAAUUCACUAAAUUCAUAUUUAAUUAAUUUAGCCUUUUAUAUUCCCUAAAUUAAUAUAUCAUAAUUUACUCUUAAUGUAAUUUCAAUUCAAUUUUAUUUGAUGUUUUGUAAUUCUAUAAGGUUUAAUUCUAAUUAUAAAAAUUAUUGAUUUCUUAUAAAAUUAAAUUCAAUUUCUUUUUAAUUAUCCAUUAUAACAAUUUGAUAUAAUCUAAAUUUUUAUCAAGUUUUUCUUACUACAAUUCUCUAUAAUUAAAUUAAUGGUCAUAAUAUACUUAAUAUUCAAUUUUAGAGACUAUAAUAUCAAUAAUUAUUUGAUGGUUGAAUUUUUUUCCAAAUUUAAAUUUAAUUUUUGAAAUUCCUACUCUUUGCAUAUGACGUGAUGGAAUUUUUAUACUAUUGACUUUUUAUUAACUUUUUCAAAAAAUUUCUUAAUUAAAUAUUAACACGGGGAUUUUCGUCAUUCUUUUUUAACAUUUGACUAAUGAUUUUAUGAUAACUUUAAUCUGACAUGUCAUUAAAAAUCCGGUUGUUAUAGAGCCAGUCAAAUUAAGCCUGUUAUCCGAGGAGUGAAGCCACUGCCUUGUUCUAUCUCCGAUGGCCUGCUCAGCUCCUUCAACCCCCAUCGCUCUCCUCUUUCCAAGUUCUCCAUUUUCAGUUUAGAGCCAACAAGGAUCGCAGAAAUCCUUAAAGAUUGACCUACAUGGUAUCGUGAGUACCGCGAUGUGGAUGUUCUUAAUGUGUUGUCUACUAGAGCCAAAUGGGUGUUUGAUAAGACCCAGUGAAGGUGUAAAAAUUAUAUGACGAAGCUUGCAGAAAGACUUUGAGUUGAGGGAAGGCAUCUCAACGAAGUUGGGCUUUUGUAUUGUGAAUCUGGCAAAUUACCUAUACUGCAUGGAUCAUCACUCUUUUAACGUGGAGGUACACAGGUCCUUUGCAAUGUGACACUUGGGGCACCACAUCAAGCUGGUGAUGCUCAACGACUGGCUUCUCUGGACGGGUCCUCCAACAAAGCGCUUCAUGCUUCACUGAAAUUUCCCGGAGUUCUCAAUUAAUGAAGUUGGCCAACUCCUUAACCUGCACUGUUCCGCAGCAGUCACAUAAAGAUUUGACAUUGAAAUUGAUCAGGUUUUUCCUCUGCCAAUGGUGGUGGGCGCGCUUUGUAUGUAGAUUCCGAAGGAACUUCCAACUUGAUGGCUGUGAGUGGUAAGGUUGGAGAAGAUACUACUGGGUCUGCCCCAUUAGUUUUCCAUUGUUAAGGUAGUUUGGUGCACAGCUUCCUGGAUCAUCUACACCACGAGCACCUCCAGCCGCCUGUUUUGAUCAGUUUCUGGAUUUCCAUCUCCAAAUUGUGCAAGCAGUGACUGAUAUGGUGUCCAUACAAGCGGCUACUGAAAUGGUUCAAACCCCAAAUGCUGAAGGGAAAGGAGCUUUUGGAAAAUAUCAUGAAGAAGACUCACCCAUCUUACAUGAAAUUAUACACAACUCCAUGGACCAGAACCGGAACCCAGACUUAAAUUUGUCCAAGAGAAGAUCAGUGUAAUACAAGUCAACUGCAGUCAUUCCUGAAAGAAGUGAUGAGAAGAGUAAACCUGGAAAAGCAGUGAGUGAAACAAGUUUUGUGACAUUGAACAAUUUGCAGAUGGGUGUUCCCACAAGCUCCUCUCCCCUCUUCCUACGUGCAUGAAAUUCCUACGUGCAUGGCCACCUUCUUAGGUGUGCAAUUCUGCGCAUAAUUCUCAAGCGUACUAUCACCCUCUUCUUUUUUGAAAAAUUGAUUUUAAAUUUAAAAUUUUGACAAAUUCAUUUCCCUUUUAAAAUCCCUCAGUAAUUCUCUUCAAAUUAAUAAAAUCUAUUUUCAAAAAAAAUUUGCUGCCAUUUUCCUUUUGGCAUAGACCUUUUUCUAUUUUCUUUGAUUUUUAAUCAUUUUCCAAUUUUUUAAUAAAUAUGAAUAAAUUCUAUGUUUUUAAAAAUAAUGGAAUUUUGUCCAAAUUUCUAUUAUCUUUUUCUCCAUGAUCAUUAGAAAGAUGAAAUUCCUAAAAUUAAUUCAUGCAAAUAAAUUGGACAUUGGUAGGCCCAACAUAUGAAUUUUUCUCCUUUGAUUAUUGUUUUUAAUUGCUACACUUGAUUGACUAAUGAUUGAUCUCUGUCUUGCUCUAGCAUACAUGAGAUUAUUUUGUGCUUGUUAUUGUACACUAACCAUGUUUCUCACGAAGCGCUCAACUUAUUCUCAAGUACGUUCUUUCCUUUUCCUAUUCGUUUAGUUAUAACCAAUGUUUUCAAAAUCGGACCGAUCAUUGAAUUGGAAAAGUUACUGGUUCACGGUUCACUGGUCGAAUCGGCGGUCAAAUCACGGUCAAACUAGUGAUGUCAUAAAUAUAUAAUUUAUAAAUUAUUAAAAUUUAAAAUAAUUAUAAAAAUAAAAAUAAUAAUUUAUAUAUUAUUUAAAAAUUAAAAUUUUAUUUAAAAAUUAGAAAAUUAGUUUCAAAUUAGAAAUUAAAAUUAAAAUCAUAAUUUUAAUUUUAAUUUUCAAAUUUUCAAAUUCAUUUUUAAAUAAAAAAAAACUUAUUUUAAAAUCAUGAAUUUAUUUAAAAUUAUAAUAUUUUCAUUAAUUUAAAUUAAAAUCAUAAGUUUUAAACAUCAUGAAAUAAAAAAUAAUAAAUAUAAAAGAAAAUAAAUUAUACUGAAAUGAGGUAAAAAAUAAUUUAAAAAAAUGGAAAAAGAGAGGAGAGGAACAAGCAAAAAAGGGUUCCAACAGGGUUUUGGGGGGUGGGGUUUCCAUUUCUAGCGCCAGGUGGGGGCCCUUCCGGUGGGCCAAAAGGGGAAAAGCUUUUUGGCUUUUCCAGUGCAAGGGGUGCCGAUGGGGUGGGGGGUUCCAAUGGGCAAGAAGAGCUCUUCCAGCGCACGCGGGUAGGAGUGGCGACAAUGGGGAAAAAAAAAAAGUUGAACCGGAUGGUUCCAUCCGAACCGUCCGGUUAGUCGGCCGAACCACCGAUUUAACUAGUCCGACCACUUUCCAGCCCAAUUGACCAAACCAGAUUGAAACCGUGACCAGCCGAUCCAAUCCAAUUUUUAAAGCCAUAAUUAUAGCUCAACCAUAACACAUCAUUGAUCAUUACUUGGUAUUUGUUGACUUUUUGAUCAAUUGUCAUUCUUAUAUUAACUUGAUUAUUAGAGACCUAAUUUUAGGGUAUAAAGGGGUAUUACGAUUUAUCAUCCUACCUUCUCAACAAGUAACCUGACCCUUGAACCCAGACUUGGUUUUUCAUAAACCCGUAUUUUCCUUUCAAGUUUCAUACUUAGAAUUUUUUUUUUUCCAUUUAAAAAUAAAAUAAAGAUACGUGGCCUAAAACCAUUUUCAUCAAUCCAAAGUGAGUCUUGUCUUUUUUUUUUUCAAGUAAGGACACGAUCACAGGUCUACAAUACUAUUUUAAUAUAUAUAAUGAAAUAUAGAUAUUAACGCCAUCUUAAAGAUAUAAUUAAAUUUUUUGUUUAAAAUAAAUUAUAAUAAUUUAAAAAUAAUAUUUUAUUUAAAAUAAAUUUUAGAAUAAGCAAAGUUGAUAUGUGGACAUAGAGAAUCGUGAACCAUUGUAAAUGUAUUGAUUAUAUCUCUUUCUUCCCAUUUCAUUUUUACUUUAGUUUUUAUUAUUCGUAUCUUUUUCUACUAAAAUUUGAAAAAGAAAUUCACAUUCACUUCUUCUUGGGUGUAUAUCAUAGGAUUCAAAAUGUUUUUAAAAAUUAUUAAAUUUGUUAAUUGUGACUAUAUGCUUAUUUAGGAUCCAUUGAUCUUAAUAACUUUCUUCCCGAUAUAGGAAGAAAAUGACUAUUCCAUUAAUGCAGCAUGCAUUGCUGCUUAUUUAUCAAGCAAAUUACAUUAUUAUUUUCACACCAAACCUCCAAAUUCUCCAUGCAUAUACGCAUCCUAUACUGCAUGGCCAACUUCAGAGAGCUAAAACAAGCUCUUAUUGAAUACAUGAUAGAUAAUGUCCCACUGACCCUUUUACUCUGAUACCCUGAAAUGAGAAAUUUGGAGGUUUUCCACAUCAAGCUUCUUGAAAUUACUGCGCCUUCUCGUAACAAAGAACUUUCCCCAGUUGUAUGCUCUAUACUUUGGCUUUUCCCCCUUCGUCAGCUCCUCCAAGGGCUUCACCCAAACAUGGUGCCCGGGACUCAAAACGAACGGAAUCGAGAACCUUUCCCUCUCUGAAUUCACCAUCACCCUGUGCUCCACACUUUCAUAAGUAUCGUUGCUCCAGACCUGGUUUAAUAUCAGUAGAAUUAACCAAAUGAGUGAAAAAUUCCUUGAGCCAAACACUACUGAUAAGCAUGUACUUGUAAUUCAAAGUUCUUGGGUGGUACCUGAACUAUAUCCCCAACAUUGAUGAUAUAAGCAUCUGGGGUGGGCUUAACUCGAACCCAUUCUCCAUCAGUUUUUCGCUUUACUUCCAACCCUCCAACAUCAUCCUGAGCAAGGAAAGUUAAGGCUCCGGAAUCCUUGUGGCGACCAAUGCCCAGAGCUAGGUGAGGAAUGGAGCAAGGUGGGUAGUGAUUGAGGCGGAUGAAGUUUGUUGAUUCUUCAAAGAGAAGAUUGAAUCUGUUCUCUGGCAAACCUAAGCUCAGAGAGAGGAGUCCCAACAGAUUGACAGCUAGUUUUUCCAUUUCUCUAGCAUAUUCUUCACAUACCUCCCUGUAUAAAUCAGCUCAAUUAGAACAAAAAAACUUAAGUAAUUCACUGUAGUGACUGUGCCUUAGCUGGUGGAAUUUGUACCUUAAUUCAGGAGGGUACUGAGGCCACUGAUUGAUCAGCUUUUCGAGCUCCUUGUCGUCAGGAUUAGGCGAAGCAGGGAUGAAGGCGGGGGAUGACGCCACGAUAUCAAAGACUUCCUUCCAGUCCCUAACGUUCUUGGUAUGCUCAGUAUCGAAAUACCCAAAAGGAUUCACCUCAUCUCUACUCACCUUCCUCUUCUCCUCCAAUGGCAGAGCGAAGAACUUCCUCGCCGCAUCCUCAAUUUUACGACGAGACUCGGAGGGCACCCCAUGGUUGAUGACUUGAAAGAAGCCCCAGUUCUUGCACGCAUCAGCUAUUUGAGAAACAUGGUUGGAAGCAUUGGCGGAAGAGAGAUCAAUGAGGGGGAUGCCUUCAGCUUCGAUAACAGCGAGCUUAGGCCUAUGUUGGGUGUCUUGGAUGAAAGCUGGAUCGACCUCUCCCAUGGCUGUGGUAGUGGUUAGAACUUAGAACUUAGAAAUGGCGGUUAUGCACUGCUGGUGUUAGCUGCACGUGAAGAUGGUGAGGGGGACUUGGCCACUUAGCAGGUGGUUUUUGUAGUGUAGUGGGGUUGGUUUAGUACAUUGAACCUGGACAUAAUUGGGGUUACGUUUUAAGUUUUGGUUGGGGGUGUGGGCUCAUGGGUUGCGCAAAUGUCAAUGAUAAUUGGUCAAGUGAUACCAAGUUAUUUCCAAAAUCUGCAGCCGCAAAGGGUAUCUCUCUCGAUGAUUUUGGCAACGUACAGCACUCUCCACAUUCAAAUGUUUGAUCAAAGAUACGUUUUGUUUAGUGUCGUGUAUAUUUUCGAAUUAAUUACUUCAUAUUUAGGGAUACGUUUUGUUGAGUAUCGUGUAUAUUUUCGAAUUAAAAACUUCAUAUUUAGGGAAAAGUGUGCUUCAAUACGCUAAUAUAAAAAUAUCAGCAAAAUAAGAUCCUAAUUUUUCAUAUUUUAAGGUUUAUAAUGCAAUUGGAAAUUAUUUGGAGAAUUAUGCAUUUUCAGCUCAUGUGUAUUUCAAAUCCAAAAUGCUCUCCACCUUGCCAGCCAAGUCUUACACGUUGAAAGUAAAGAGAGAAAAAAUCUUCAAAAAGCCACCAAAACCAAUUUCUCUUUCUUUUUGAGUUAUUUGAUUCAAAAGAUCAAUAAAAUCCAAUUUUUAAAAUUUAACCCUUUGUUCUUUUUUUUUUCAUUUUGAUAAAAAUAUCUUUACCAUUUUCUUGUAGAAAUAACAUUUUUUUUAAACCUAUAUGUAAAUACUUGAAAUGGUAAGAGACGUGUACAUUAAAAAAAAGUUAUUUUUCAAGUAAAAAUAUAGAAAGGAUUAUUUCAUCCCUUUUAACCAAAUAUUUAACAUGAUCAAGGACUAUUCCCUAAAUGAAGGCAUACGGUAGCAAAUACCCUUAAUCUAAACAUUAAAAGUACAACUUAUCUAGUAUCAAACACUCUGUUUUAAAACCCAUAGCCACUCCAAAUAUCCCAAAUAUUCUUUUCUAUGCAACCUCUCUCUCUCUCUUUCUCGCACAAACACACUAAAAUAUUUUCUCAAACUUGGAUUUUUCUCCACAACUCAACCCUAACUUCCUUUCUAUUUGUACCAAGGCUAGAGAAUAUAGUUUAUACUUGUAUUCCUUCAUGUACCAAGCCCACAAGAUGAUCAAUAAGUUUCUCUCUAGAUUUUACAUUGGAGUUGAUUGAUGAUAGUACCCUUAUUAGGUAGUAUAUUAUCUUCCUUAGGUACUGCUUUUUCCAUCCUUAGAUACUACCUUUGUAACCUUGGGUGCAUGAUUGAAUCCAUUGUUUCAUGGCUACUUCAAGUAAGUCAGGAACUUAUGUACAUGUGUGCUACAUGUCUUAUAGAUACUAAAUUUACAUUCUUUAGGUACUACCUUUACCUUCCAUGGGUACAAAUACGGUUAAUGAUAAGAAUUUUAAUAUAAAAAAGGGAAAAACCCUGCUUGAUAAUAAAAUUGCAUAUAUUUUCUUUCUUUCUUUCCUUUUUGAUUGAUUUUUUUUUUUUUUGGUCUUUGCUUUGGUUUUUAUUUAUGUCUUUGUUUCUUUUAGUCUUUGUGUGUGUGUGUUUUAUUUUAUCUUAUUUUCAUCUCUAUGCAGAAGAUGUAGAAGAAACAACAUCACAUCAUAAGGUGCAUUUUUCCGUUCAUUUAAGACUAAAGGUUUUGGAUUCACAAAAUGGUGGGAACUAAGGGUGAGAAGCUGGAAAAAUGUUGGAUUGAGCUACAUUUGAUCAAUGGUGAAUUUGCAAAAAAGAUUGUAGGAGAGUGUAGACCCUCAAUUUUGUCCCUUUAGCACAUGUUUUAAAGUCCAUUACCAAUACUUUACAGUAAUCUCUUGGUAGCCCAUAGCUACUCACGCUACUUACCUUUCUUGAGCCACCUCGGAGACUCUAGUUGAGGGAUUGCCUAACCCCUUAUUGUGACCCUUGGCAGUUUUGAUUUAGACUUAAGGUUUUCAUUCCUUCUUAGGAUAGCUCUUAGGUGCACUUUUAGGUCCACUUAGGCAUCACCCUUGGCUAAUUUAGACAUUUUGGGCCCGUUUAGACACCUUAAACUCGCCUAGAUUCACCUUAGACCCGCUUAAGCACUUCAUUGGGGCUCAACAUUUUUAUAUAAUCUCUUGAUCAUUAUUGCAUGCAUUUGAUGAUUAUAUUUUCUUUGUUUAUUCAUUUAUUUGUUUGUUUAUUUAUUCAUCCAUUUAUUUAUUCAUUUUUUAAUUUCUAUUACGUCUUGUUUUUUUUUUUCUUUCUUUCUUUCAUUUAUUUACCUACUUAAUAGAGAAUUGUUUAGAUAUUAAAUAUGCAUACAACCCCCUUAUUGAAUGAUGGAAUUGUACAAUCUGAUAUCUCAUUUUCUCUUUCAUUUUCUUUUAAUCGUAUUUCACUUUAUUACCAAUUUCAUGACUUUCAUUAGUUGCUUCUCUUUUCCUUUGAUUUUUUAAUCUUAUCUUAUUUUGUUUUGCAUAAGGAGCACCAUCUUGGGGAGUACAAGAGGAUCUACAUUACUGGUUUGAUCAACAUAUGUUUGAGACUAAAAGCCUUCAAGAUGGCAAAAGAUGGUCAUCACAGCCCCAUGCUUCUUCUUCCCAUCUCUCAUAAUUGAAGCCUCUGUACAAAACUUCAUCAUAUCCUGAACAAUAGCAGCCACAGCAGUUGCAGCCACAGCAGCUGCAGCCACAGCAACUGCAGCCACAACAGCUGCAGCCACAGCAGCUGCAGCGACAGCGGCAACCACAGUUAAUGCUGCAACAGCAGCCACAGCAGCAUAGACUGCAUCAUCCAGUUCAACCUUCAUUUGGUCAUUUAUCAGGGUUGCAGCCCCAACUAUUUAAUCCCCAUCUUUCCCCAGCUCCACUCAUCAUGAACAAAUAUGAAGCAAUGCUUGGGAUAGGUAAUCUGAGGGAUCAAAGACCCAAGUCAAUGCAAAAAGGUAGACCAAAUCAUCGGGUUUCUCAACAGGGCUUGGAUACUAGCAGUCGGAAGAGUGAUGUUGGUGGCCACAGUUCAGAUCCAAGUAUAUGACAGCUGAUGAAAUCGAAAGUAUCCUUAGAAUGCAACGUUGCGGAACAGAUGGAUGAGUAGAAAGGAAAAUAGCAUGAAAAUAGAAAGGAAGUGACCACUUUGUGCACAACACGCAUAUAGUGGGCUGUAAGGGGGAUUCUUUUUUGUUUAGAAAGAAAAGUCAACUUGUAUCACUUACUAAACGAGAUGUGGCUGCAUCCUUGAGGGAAUCUCCCAAUGAGCCACCAUGUAUGCACUUUCCUUAUCCAUGUGCAUUGAAAAAGGAUAUAGAAUAUUCAAUAGAGGAAAGGUGCUGCCAUAUAGAAGGAAGGUGCUGCCAUAUAAACAUGUCACAGAGAGAACACACGGUGGACUUUUCUUUUGGGAGCAGAAAUUCACAUACAAAAAGUAAUCUUUUUUAGAGGAGAUGAACACACGCAAGAGUUUUUUUUUGGGAGCGGUAGAGGACCUGAACGACUAAUUGGGCUGCCAUUUUGACACAUCAAGAAAGUAUUUUUCCAAUACAAUACAGGUUAGUUUUCGAUUUUUGAUACCGUAUUUCCUUUUUUUUUUAGUUUGGGUUUUAGUUGUUUGGUUUAAUUAAUUGUUUGUGAUAAAUUCUUUUAAAUCUCGAUUUCGAACAAUCUUUUAUUUUUCUUAUAUUAAAUGUCUAUCUUUUAUGAUUGCAAUUCAUUAGUUCUAUGCUAGUUUAUUUUUAAUUUACAUGAAAGUUUAAAUAAAGUUUAUAUUUUUAAUUCCAAUUAGUUUAUUUUUAAAUUUGAAUGAGUUAUCGAUCUUAAUUAUUUAGUUUAAUUGACCUUGUGAGAUAAAAUUUAUAUUUUUAAUUCUAAUUAGUUUAAUUUUAGUUUAUUUUUAAUUUGAAUGAGUUAUCGAUCUUAAUUCUUUAGUUUAAUCGACCUUGUGAGAUAAAAUUUAUAUUUUUAAUUCCAAUUAGUUUAAUUUUAGUUUAUUUUUAAUUUGAAUGAGUUAUCGAUUUUAAUUCUUUGGUUUAAUUGUCCUUGUGAGAUAAAAUUUAUAUUUUUAAUUCCAAUUAGUUUAAUUUUAGUUUAUUUUUAAUUUGAAUGAGUUAUUGAUCUUAAAUCUAUUAGUUUAAUUGGACUUGUAAGGUAAAGUUUAUAUUUUUAAUUCCGAUUAGUUUAAUUUUAGUUUAUUUUUAAUUUGAAUGAGUUAUUGAUCUUAAAUCUAUUAGUUUAAUUGGACUUGUAAGGUAAAAUUUAUAUUUUUAAUUCUAAUUAGUUUAAUUUUAGUUUAUUUUUAAUUCGAAUGAGUCAUUGAUCUUAAUCUAUUAGUUUAAUUGGUCUUGUAAGGUAAAGUUUAUAUUUUUAAUUCCGAUUAGUUUAAAUUCUAGUUUAUUUUUAAUUUGAAUGUGUUAUCGAUCUUAAUUCUUUAGUUUAAUCGAUCUUGUGAGGUAAAGUUUACAUUUUUAAUUCCAAUUAGUCUAAUUCUAGUUAUUCAUGUGUUUCUUGAAAUCUAAAUGUUAGUUUUUGAAUGAUAAUUUUGUUAGUUUGUUUGAUUAGGAAGUCAUAAAUUUGUUGUCUUAGUGAUUGUUGGUCAAUUUUUUUUUAGGACCACUGGAAACCCAUGAAGGUUGGCCUUUACUCUCACCACUUUAAUUGAUAAGAUUUUCUAAAAUCUUUAUUUCGUGAUCUUUGUUUCCUUUUGUUUUGAUUGAUAUUUUGUUUUCUAUUUUUGUUAUUUUAAAAAUUAAUUUCUUUUAUUUUAAAACAAAACUCUUUUUCUCAAAAAAACCCUUUUUAAAAUUUUUUUUUUAUUAUUCAUUUAAAGCCUCUAGAAUCAAAAUCUAUUUUCUUUUUUAAAAAAUAACAUGCAACCAUAUCUUAAUCAGUUUGCAUCCUUCUCAAUUUUCAACAAAAAUAUCCUUCUCAAUUUUCAACAAAAAUUUUGGUUUUAAACAAAACGCGAAUCAAAGCUUGUGGUCCCAAAUAAAUGGAACAAUUUUAGGCUAAAUUCAUGUAUAUUAAUUUGGGGAAUUGGUGAAACCCCUACAUAAGAAAAUCUUUUCAAAAUUUACUUUUGCUACCACCCUACUAUUUAUCAUAAUCAUAUUUACUUUUUUUCUUUUUAGGAAUUGUAUACAAGAUAUGUAUGAUAAUUAAUUAUUCCGAGUUCUGAUAAUUUUUGCUAAUUAAUUAGAUAAGCAUGCUAGGAUUUAUUAUUUAUUAUCUAUUAUCUAUUAUCUAACCCUCAUGUUCUGAGGAAGUGCAUUAGGAGUUAUAUAUGCUAUCCAGGUACGUUCCCAAAAUCUCAUGAAUAUGCAUGUCAUUACCCUUGUUUGAUGCCAUACUUGAUUGCCUCGAUGCUUGUUUGAUCAUCCUUGAUAAAAUGCAUGUCGUGUGUCAUAUUUCUGAAUUAACCAUUGAUGUUUAAUGAUAGUGCUUAAGAAGUGGUUCAGGUACGCACCCUAACUCUCCUUUAUUGUGAUUGAUCUCCUUAUUUAGCAUGCUACUUUCUGAAAAUCACCUAGCUUACUUAAGUAUCCAUAAUUAAUCAAUUAAUUGCCUCAUUUCCCCAAUUUAGUCAGUAAAGACCUCUUUAGGGCUUAGAAGGGUGCUACCUCCUAGAGGUACCUUCCCAAUAAGUAACCUGAUCCCCGGACCUAGACUCGGGUUUUUCAAAGACAUGUUUUUUUCAAAAAUUAUGGAGUCACAUUUUAGGGUUUUUCUUUCUUGUUUUAUUUUCCCUUUAAAAUAAAAAUAAAAUAAGUGGCGGCUCCAACUUUUCCAAAACUAAAUAAUUUUUCACAAAUAAAAAAAGAGUCUCGCCAAUCGAGUGGGGACGCAUGUGAAAAAUGCAGGUCCACAGAGAGGUUUCUUGAGGUGGACAAGGUCAGAAGCAAAGAGCCUUUCCCUACUUUUUGGGGUUGGUUCCUUGAGUUCUUAGGAAGAACUUAGUUAACGUGUGAAUUCAUUCAGGGUAAUUUAUGUAAGAUUUUCUAGAUUUUGCAAGUGAAUGCACCUUAGCUUUUCCUAUUGUAUUUGUGUUUUUUUAGGUUGAUUAUUUUAUUGAUUGUCACCACUCAAGGAAUGGAAGCAAUAGGGUCUCUAGAUGUAGUGCCUAAAGGCAAGCAUACAGGCGUUGUUAGGAGUGUGCUUCCCAUGUCCAACAAGCAUAUUGACACCACCCAAAGCCAAGGCAUCUUUGGACUAGGAGUUCUAGCUUCUACUUAUGUGGACUUUGUAGAUGCAGUCUGGCUCUUCGAAAUAUUUAUUGUUAUGUAGUAGUUAUACACAUGUACUUUGUUUAAGUGAAUUGAUUUUUGGAUUUUUACUUAAAUCAAAUUUAAGGGUAUGUUGUUUAAUUUACUAGAGAUCUCUUGUUUGUAAUUCUCGUUAUCAUAUAUAGAUCUUUGUUAGUAUUUGCCAAUUUCCUCAAUAGCAACUGUAUUAGUUAUCAAUGGAAUGAAUCUUGAGUAACUUGUAGUAUCAUUUUUGGUUUUGAAUUGGCUAAUCUUUUUUGGAAGAAUGAAUUAGAUAUAUGAGCUUGAUUGCAAGCAAUAGUUGAGUUUGUUUUGAUCUUGGGGUAUUUGCCUUAUUGAUAGGACAUAGAUUUUGGGUCCAAAUAGUUGGAAAUUGAUGAGCUUAACCAGGACAUAGAUUUUAUCCCCUUGGGAGAACCACAACACUAACCAGUGUUCCUACAAAAGCUAAUAACCAUGAUUUAGAAAUGUGAUUUCCCUAAAGGGAAGCAUUUCUAAUCUUAUUUGAAGGGAAACUUUGAUGUCUUCCUUAAUACACUAGAAUAUUAAUUUAAAAACAACAAUUAAGGUUAUAUUAACUAUUAUAAUAAUUUAUAAAUUACAUAAAUAUGAUAAUAACUAUUAAAAUAAAAGUAUUAAACAUAAAAAUGUUUAAUUCUGUUGGGUAAAAACUUCAUAAAUAUUUUAUUAUUGAACUUCUAUCAUAUGAUCAAACAUAGUGAUGAUCCUUAGUUGGAUUAAUUAACACUUGUUUCAUAAAUUGAACAACAUAUAACAUGAUCAAUAAACAAACAAGUAAACAUCAUACUAGAUAAAACUAUCUCUUAAGAUUUCAAUUAUUACAUGUUUAAAUUACAAAUCAUAUUUUUGCAACUUUCGUAAAGUUAUGCAAUAGAUAUAAUUAAAAUUAUGAAACAUUGAAAAUGUAUAUUGAUUCAUUAUUCAAAUUCAUCAUAUCAUAUAUAUACUUUAGUUGUCCAUAAGAUCAAAUAAUAACCAAAAUUCGAAAAAUAUGUUUUAUGAUCCAAAAUUGAUUGACACUAAUAUCAAUUGUUACAUAAACUUUAUGUGAAAUAAUUAUUUUGGAAAAUCAAUUUGGAUGCAUAAAGCAUAAUAGUUAUAAGAAAUAAAGAAAUGACAAAAUAAUAAUUAUAUUUUUGUCUUAAUCCAUGAUACCGAUAACACUUUUAAAGUGAGUUCGAGUCACUUUGUGAAUUGUUGGGUCAAGGUAUUCAACUCAUCAUUCUCAUUUAGUAGAUGAGACAAUUGUGUGGUAUAUGUUGUUAUAAGCAAAACAACUAAAAACAUAAGAAUACAAUACAACUUAGGACCUUAACUUUAAAAAAAGAUUUAUAACUCUUAAUCUUCUCAUAAAAGAUUAUAUGAGAGUUAUACUCAUUAUUUUUAAACAUUAUAUAUAAAUUAAUGGACAAUAGUAAACUACCAACUUGAAUACAUUCAUGUAAUUAUAUAAAUUACACUUUUUCAUCUUCCUCUAUUAGUCAUAAACUUUAUAUAUAAAUUAAAUCUCAUAAUGAUGGAGUUACAAAAGUUGUAAUACCAUAUUCGUAUAAAUGAAAAUUUUCUAACUCCAUAUUUAUAAUUUUAAUUUUCUAUGUUAGAAGUUGAAUUUGUUCCACAUCGCCAAGUUACCGGGUUAUUAUGUUGUUUAUAUAUGUGGAUUGGGCACCCUCUCCCUUUAAGCAAGCUUUUAGGGAUGAAUUAUAUUCAAACCCAUUUAACAUGGUAUCAGAGCUUGGUUUGACUGGGGGUCGUGGGUUCAAGCCACCUCUUCGCAAUUCGUAUGUUUGUUCCUCAUUUGCAUGUUUGAAAGUCUAGAAAAGGGUAUUUGCAUUUGUUUGUUUGUCCCUUCACGUGUGGAUAUGGGGCCACACAUAAGAUAUGGUGUUAAAAAGCAUGAAAUGUAUAUUGAACCCAAAUCUUAUAAGUUUAAGCUUUUAGGAAAAUUAGUAAUUCAACAUUCUAUACAUAAAAUUAUUUGAUGUCCAAUCAAUUGAUUCACCUACCUAUCAAUUAAUAUACUUUUAAAUAAAAUAUAUUUCAAUCCAUUACACAAAUAUAAUUAAAACAAAGUACUAUAAUAAUAUGAGUAUGUGACAAAUAAAUAAAAUAAAAAUAAUCACAUGUUACAUGUAAACUAUAUUCAAAGGAAAAACCACAAGUCAUCCCCACUAUUAAACAAUCCAUUGUAUAAUGAUCAAUUACAAAGACCAAGUAUUACCAAACUUAAAAGUAUCUAAAUCAUACUCACUUUGCACAUUUUCUUUAUACUUGGAUCCUUUAAACUCAUUUAUCCCAAUGUGGAAGCAUCUUGAGUUCUAAUCAAGGAAAUCAACCUUUACUUCAUCAAGUUAAAGUCUCUUUAUAUCAUUGACAACCAUAUCAAGAUUUCUUUUGUUGGUUGCUUUCAAAGUCCCACUAGAAUUAGAUUGAAAUUUUUAUAAUCUCUAGAACUUUAACAUAUUAAUUCUUCAAUGAGUCAAUCAAAUAUUAAGUUUUAUCUCCAUAGAUGGACCUCAAUGAAUUUUUCGACAAAGGUGUUAACACUAAUUUCAUAUUAGUAAAAAAAAAUCAUGUGACACAUAUUGAUAUAUAUAUAUAUAUACUAAUUUCAUAUUCAUAGAUUGAAUUCAUGAGAAAAUUAUUCUUAAUUUUGUAAAAAUUAUAUAUAUAAGAAAGUUUUUAGGCUUACUAAAACACAUUACUAACCAAGUGGCAAUAUAUUUAUAAUUUAGGUCUCAUUAUUUUGUAAUCAAGUUUCAUUCAUUUGUAUCAUAUAUGAGUCCUAUUAUGUCAUACCUUACUCUUAUUACAUUGUACUUUGAUCUUAUUUGUUUAAACAUCGAUUUCAUUUCUUUAUAUGUACAUCACAUUUAUUUAUAUCUCAAUCUUAAUUAUUUGUAUCUUUAUUUAACAGUUUAGAUUUCAUUACAUAUUUUUAAAAUUUUAAUUUGAAAUUCGAUAUCUUAGUAUUUUUCUAAAAUAGCUACCUAUAAUCCUUGUAGAGUACUCAAAAUUCACUCCAACCCAUAAAAAAAAAUGACCUCUCUUCGUAAGUUGCUAUACUCAUUGCUAAACUAUAAUUCCAAAAUUAGCAGAACUUUUCAUACUUAUUCUAGGCAAUUAGAGUUGAGAUGUUCCGGGCAUAUACCAUAUUCUUUCAAGAUUUGAAAGAAAUGUUACGAUUUCAGCAUUAAAUAAUGCAUGUCGAUUAACAAUAUUGCUCAGAUUCUUUAGGCAAAGGUCCACAGACAAAAAAAUUAUUUAUUUAUUUUCUGAACCACCCCUGAAAUUGACACCUCCCAUACAGUCUGAUCUGCAUUUCUGUGGCACUAUUUCCCUUAUUCCUAACCAUAAAUCUGCUGCCAUCUCAAUAAUUCACAUCCUUAUCCACUCCUUAUCUAGGGUUGUAACACUUUUUUCAAAAAGAUUUUUUUUUUUUUUUUUCGAAGGGGUGGAUAAGGGUCCUGAGACAAGCUGUGGUAUAAUUAUAAACCCACUUGGGUAAUGGUUUCAUUGUCAGGGUAAUUCUAUUUAAGGUGAAAAUCAGCUGGGUCUAUCAUUCUUGUUUCCAUGUGACUGUUUCCAAGGAGAACUCAACCCUCAAAUCCAUCGAGCAGUCAUAUAAAAAUACACGCAGAUUUCAUAUCUUGAAGCUUGUCCUGUGUUCAGAUCGGAUAACUCACUCAUAUGCCUAAUCACUAAUCGCCAACUUGAGUGUAAAAAAAGCGUGGGGCGAUAUUAUUUGUAUAUGGGUUUGACUGUUUGAGAGAGAAAGGUGGGGUGUCCCUUGGAGGAGUCCAAAGGCCAUUUUUGAACCUGCCUUUGAUUAUCGCCAUGGCAAAUCAACAGCUUGUAGUAUAUAUAUAUUAAUGGAGACCAAGACUCAAAUAGAGAGAGAGACGCGGGGAUGCGAUAAAGAGAACAGUAUAGCCAAGAGUAUAUAAGCAUUUCUCUUGCUGUAAUGGUGAUUCAGAGACUGGAAAUGUGUAUAUCACUGCUGAAAAUGGCAGUAGAGUUUGUGCUUGUUUUCGCGGAGGCAGUCGGGCUAGUCAUCAACCACAAUGCCACGCCGCUUUUGGCAAACUCAGCCUCAGUUGGCAAUGAUGUUUCUGUCCCUUUUAUCGGUUUUCUUCUUUGAAUUCUUCGUCUUGUAGUUUCCUUCCUUACCAGAAUGCUCAUUGGCCAUUGUAUAUGUUGAGGGUUCUUUUUUGCCUUGAUAGAUUUUCUAAAGGAUGUGCAUGUUUGAUAGGAGAGAGUAUAUAUACACAUCUAUGUAAACUUUGAUUAAAUUUUGUUCUGGGUGAGCUUCAUUUUCUGCAAAUUCAUUUGCUGAUAGCUUUGGAAACGAAUCUUCAGUUGUUUGGGUGCUGAUUAUUUGCUUGCUUCACACGAUUUUAUGUGCUGUUCCUUUGGUAAUAAUCUUGUUGGGUGGAUCAAGGAGAAGAGCGAAGAUCUGAGGGAAAAUAGAGUCUGGAGAAAGAAAAGAUGUAAUGAUGAUUAAGAAAGGCUUUAAUAUACUUGCAAGAUCAGGAAAAAAUAUUUCUUGGGUAUCAAUUAUUUUCUUGCUUGAUAUGGGUUUGAUACUCUUUUUCAAUUGGUGAUCAUUCUGGGAAGAUCAAGAAGAAGAAAAUGGGGUCUAGAUGAAGAAAAGCUAUAAUGGCGAUUAUUAAGUGGAAUCAGAUGAAAUAAAAGUCUGUUUCCAUCAUUCUUAAUAUGGUUUCUUUUGUCAAAAAUGGAAGAUGACUUGAUUUUCAUAGUCCCAGCAGGACUUUAGUACUCAUCAAACUCAUAAAUUUUGAACAACUUUGAGCUAACCUUCUGCAUUAAUUUGGUGCAUCUGCGCAGUUGCAGAGUAUGAACACCCACAAAAUCUUAAUAUGAAUCUUUUGGGGCAAUAGCUUCUAUAUAUGAUGGAUGAUAAGAACAAAGCAAAUCUUGGGUUCUCCAUGGGCACGAUCAUUUAUCCGCCAUAUAAAAUGCAGAUUUUCCUAACACCAACCCCUUAUUUUAAUAAAGUCAAGUUAUUUUAAGGCCCCCAAUAUUAGACAUGCCUUAGAAUCAUUGGGUCUGUGAUUAAAAAUGUAGUAAUAUCAUUUAAAAUACCUAACACUGAAAUUUUGAUAAUUUUGAAUGCCAUAGUGUGGAUUUGAAGAAAGAAAUCGCAUCCAAGAUCUCUUCCUUUUCCUGGGAAACAUUAGUCUUGGUCAAUUAUGAACUGUUACACGUUGCCUAUCAUGGUCAUAUUUAUAUUAGCUUUGAUUUCUAUGGGGGAUAUAAUUUAUUUGUAUGCUAAUCAUAGAGGUGAUACAUGUGAUCCACAUGUCAUAUUUGGACUUGGAAGCAAUCAUUGGAUUCCUUUGAUGAACUGGCAAUGGAAGAAUACUAAUUGCUCCGGUCCCUUUCUUUUUUCAAAGUAGGAUGAUCAGGUCCUUUGAUCCCUUCGACUCCCUCUGGCUGUUUUUCUUUGUUCUUUUUUCAAUCAUCCAUAGCUUAAAAUUAAAGCCUUGAUGCCCUCCUCGACUUUCCCAAGAUAAAACACCUUAUCUUCACUUUAUUUCUCUUCCCUUUAAAUUUGAUUUUAGAUCUGAAAUCCAGGGCUUAUGACCCUGUAGAAGAAAGACAGAUAUGAAGCUUGGGAUGAUUUGAACUUCAGUUUGAUUUUCUGCACACUCUGUUAAAACUCCUGAAAUAUAGUUGUAUAUUGCAAUACAUUUAAUUGUUUGAUACAUCUGAACUAUGAUGUUCUAUUAGUAAAAAUUUCUUUGAAUCAAUCCACGGCUCAAAGUACCAAUUUCUAUUGAAACUUUUUUUCUUUUCCUGCUCAUUCAAUUGUUUCAUUUUCCACAUAAUGGUAUGACAACAUCAAGAAUACUUCUCAGCAAUUGCCUGCAGGUGAACCCAAAGCUCUUUUGGCUUAGAGAUCAUGACCAUGUGAUCAGAUCCUUUAAUCUCUUUAACAGCAUCAGGUGGGUUUUUUUCAAUCAUCCAGAGUUGAAAAUCCCUUUUCCCCAGCUUGUCUUCCUCUGAAAUAAUAAAGACACGUUUAACCGAGGCAUAUUUCUUCGACAACAUGAGCUCAUUUGACAUGUCUUCUUCAAUGAACAAGCGUACGGGUCUCAUCAACACAGUCCCUAGUGCCAAGUCCUGGAAUAUUUGUGCCCGAAAUGAUAUGACAACAACAAUGAAGGUCUCAUGAUUUUGGUUGUAAGGCCUUAAUAAAUGGAGUUCUCACCUCAGUUGGGCUCAACUGAUACACAUUCAGUGAUAAGAACAAGGGGCCAAAGCUGAAAGUGGUGGGAGGAUUGUUGGGGCCAUUAUCAUAUGUGAACUGGCUGUCUAGUAGAGGACCUUGUCUCCUGAGUGACUUCAAUAAGAAGUAGAAACCAGGCUAAAAGUCAGAAACAGGGGAAGCCUUCCCCUCUUAAUCAGCAAGUAAAUUUCUGUAAAAGAAAAAUAGUAUGUAUGAAGUACCUCUUGAUUGAGAGUGGAAAUGUUGAGAGUGGGACCAGGCAUUGAGGCAGUAACAAAAACAGCUACAGAAACCUUUUCUGGGAACUUCUCCAUGGCCUGAGAAAUGGCCAAUCCACCCAAGCUGUGUCCAACGAGAACCACCCUCUCAUCUGCAGGGAGUGACUCCACGAAGUCCCUCAGUGGCUGGAAAUACCAAGAAAUUGAUCGCAGAUCACCCACUUGUUUUGGGUUAAUUCCAGAAGCAGCCAAGUCCAGAGCAGUAACUUUGUGGCCAGAUGAUUUUAGUAGUGCCACAAUCUUGUACCAAGACCAGGCACCAUGGCAAGACCCAUGAACUAGAACAAAGUGCUUGACGGGAUUAGCCUGUCUCCCCUCUGAUGCCAUUGGAUACACUGAAGAAACAAGAAAAAUCAGAAAGGAAACAAAAAUCAUAUGCUUCUUCCUUGCUUCCAUACUCCUUUCCUGUUACAGAGAUGGUCAGCACCCCAGCAUUUUAAAGGGCACAAUUGGGUAGGUUUUCACUACAACUACUAAUCUAAUUGAUUAAAAAUUUUCCCGUGAAAUUGACUCUAGAAAUAAAAUAAGGACUAAGGAUUCAAGAACACGUACACUUUGACUGCCAGAGUUUAUGUCUUUUCAUAGAUGACACAUGCACCUGCGUCACACUCUUUUUCAAUGAUAAAGAAGUUAUGCAAAGGAAGAAAGAAUGAAAUAUACAGAGUCAAGUAGUUAACUCCUCCCCUUGAAUUCUUCUCUUGCCCGGAUUGGUUUGUAACUGCAAACAUUUUCUUUUCCCAAUGUGAUCUGUGGAUUGAGUUCUGAUCUCAAUUUGUUUUUGGCAUUUUUGGUUUUGCUUCUGCAAAUCUUGAGAUGUAUCUUUCAAUUAAUAUAAGUUGUGCAGUUAAGGUUUUUGGACAUAUAAAAUGUUAGCCAAACCUUUCCCGUGGCAGGUUGAAGGUACUUUGGGGUAGGCUUGGUCAUGCUUGAUACCUCAGUCUGACUCAAACAUGAUGUUUUCACCCAUUUGAAUUGAUCAAAGUUGUGUUGACUGGCAUGAUUCCUUUAAUAAAGAAGUUGUUUUAGGAUUAAGGCGUACAACACAAAUUUGACUUAAGUAGAUCUAUUUAAUUAUUGUGUAUUAACAUAAUUAUAAUCAAUUGAGUCGAAAAUGAAUUAAAUUAAAAAGUUAAUUUUAUUGAUUUAAAUAAGACCUAAUUCAACCUGAUUAUUAAAUUACUCAACUUAUUAUAUGAUUUGAACACUGCCCACCAACAUUAAUUGUAACCCGUGCUUUGAGUUCAGGUGGCAGCAAGAGUUUGGCCUUUGUUUUGAGUGUUGGAUGAAUGUUGGAUUAACCUUUCCCAUGGCUGUCAAAUUCCUCAUAAAUUAUUGGUGAUUGUAAUAAUUUCCUCAAAAAGUAAUGGUGCUAUAUGCUUCUUUAGGAUCCAUUGAUCUUAAUAAUUCUCUUCCUGGUAUAGGAAGAAAGUGACUAUUCCAUUACUGCAGCUUUCAUUGCUGCUUAUUUAUCAAGCAAAUUACAUUAUUAUUUUCACACCAAAUCUCCAAAUUCACCAUGUACUUAUCCUAUAUACUGCAUGGUGAACUUCAGAGAGCUAAAACAAGCUCUUAUUGAAUACAUGAUAGAUGAUGUCCCACUGACCCUUUUACUCUGAUACCUUGAAAUGAGAAAUUUGGAGGUUUUCCACAUCAAGCUUCUUGAAAUUACUGCGCCUUCUCGCAGCAAAGAACUUUCCCCAGUUGUAUGCUCUGUACUUUGGCUUUUCUCCCUUCGUCAGCUCCUCCAAGGGCUUCACCCAAACAUGGUGCCCGGGACUGAAAAAGACCGGAAUUGAGAACCUUUCCCUCUCUGAAUUCACCGUCACCCUGUGCUCGACACUUUCAUAAGUAUCGUUGCUCCAGACCUGGUUUAAUAUCAGUAUAAUUAGCCAAAAGGGUGCAAAAUUUCUUGAUCCCAACAGUACUGAUAAGCAUGUACUUAUAAUUCAAAGUUCUUGGGUGGUACCUGAAUUAUAUCCCCAACAUUGAUGAUAAAAGCAUCUGGGGUGGGCUUAACUCGAACCCAUUCUCCAUUGGUUUUUCGCUUUACUUCCAACCCUCCAACAUCAUCCUGGGCAAGGAUGGUUAAGGCUCUGGAAUCCUUGUGGCGACCAACGCCCAAAGCUAGGUGAGGGAUGGGGCAAGGUGGGUAGUGAUUGAGGCGGAUGAAGUUUGUUGAUUCUUCAAAGAGAAUAUUGAAUCUGUUUUCUGGCAAACCUAAGCUUAGUGAGAUGAGUCCUAACAGCUUGAAAGCUAGUUUUCCCAUUUCUCUAGCAUAUUCUUCACAUACCUCCCUGUAUUAAUCAGUUCAAUUAGAACAAAAAAAAAAAAGUAAUUCACUGUAGUGACUGUGCCUUAACUGGUGAAACUUGUACCUUAAUUCAGGAGGGUACUGAGGCCACUGAUUGGUCAGCUCUUUGAGCUCCUUGUCGUCAGGAUCAGGCGAAGCAGGGAUGAAGGCGGGGGUAGGCACCACGAAAUCAAAGACUUCCUUCCAGUCCCUAACGUUCUUGGUAUGCUCAGUAUCAAAGUACCCCAAAGGAUUCACCUCAUCUCUACUCACCUUCCUCUUCUCCUCCAGUGGGAGAGCGAAGAACUUCCUCGCGGCAUCCUCAAUUUUACGACGAGACUCCGAGGGCACCCCAUGGUUGAUGACUUGAAAGAAGCCCCAGUUCUUGCAUGCAUCAGCUAUUUGAGAAACAUGGUUGGAAGCAUUGGCGGAAGAGAGAUCAAUGAGGGGGAUGCCUUCAGCUUCGAUAACAGCGAGCUCAGGCCUGUGUUGGGUGUCUUGGAUGAAGGCUGGAUCGACCUCUCCCAUGGCUGUGGUAGUGGUUAGAACUUAGAACUCAGAAAUGGUGGUUAUGCACUGCUAGUGUUAGCUGCAGGUGAAGAUGGUGACGGGGAUUUGGCCACUUGGCAGGUGGUUUAGUACAUUGAACCUGGACAUAAAUUGGGUUACGUUUUAAGUUUUGGUUGGGGGUGUGAGCUCACGGGUUGCGCAUAUGUUAAUGAUAAUUGUUCAAGUGAUUUUACCGACAUAAAACAAAAUCUGCCGCCCCAAAGGAAUCUCUCUCAAUGAUUUUACCGACAGCACUCUCCACAUUCAAAUGUUUCAUCCGUAUUUGAAUUGGAGUCUAAUACUCUCAUUGUUUAAUUAACUCCAGCUUGAUUAAUGAAUCCAGUGGUGUCGUGUAUAUUUUCGAAUUCUCUGCUUUAUAUUUAAACCUUCUUGGUUUUUAUGUUCUCAUCCAAUGGUUUAAAACCCAAAAACGAUGCAAAGAGAAAAAGAGAAAAAAAAAAAUAUACAACACAAUUGGAAUUAAAAUAUAUGUAAUAAAAAAAAUAAAAACUAAUUCAUUUUGAGUUUUAUUUUUCAAAAUAAUAACUCUAAUAUAAUAACUAAAUAAAUAAACAUAUAGUAAUUAAAUACAUAAUAACUAAAUAUAUUAAUGUCUUCUCAUAAUUGAGACUUUACAACAUAUACUCAAUUUUUAAACAAUUCUAAAAAAAUAAGUGAAAAUAAUUAAAAAUACUUAAAAUAUGUUACCAACAAAUACCUUAUUGUCCUAACAAAUCUCAAAAACCUUAUUUAGGACCAAUUGAAAAUCAAAAAAAAAUUCAUAUUUCUUUACUCUUGAAAAAAAAAAAUGGUUCUUGAUGACAGUCUCAAACAUAUCCUCCCAUUUGGUUAUUUUAUUGUAUAAGUUUUUCAAUAAAAUAAAAUAAUUAAUGAUAGUGUUUGUAAGGAAAAAUCAAAAUAUCAUACAAAAUUAAUACACAUCUUUUUAUUAUUCAAUAUUUCUAUAUCAUAUUUACAUUUUUUUUUAUAAAAAAAUUAUAUAUAUACAAUGUUUUAAAAACCGGAUCGGAUCGGCCGAUCCAACCGAUGACCGGUCACAUUUUCGGUCCGAUCCACUCUAUUAAACCGUUUAACUAUUGGAUCGGUUACGAACCGCCUAAACCAACGGUCAAACUGGUGAACCGAACAGUCCAUAUUGGCCCAUCAUUUUGCAAGUCCAUUGUAUAAAAAAUUAAAAGUUGUAGGCCAAAAACCAUACUAGGCCAUGUCUUAACAUGACAAAGCCCGCACCCAAACCAUUUAAGUAGGCUCAGUUUUGAGCCCACAAGGUGGGCAUGCUGUUGCUUUCAAUGAGGAUACUUUUUAUAGGCAUCCUUUGCACCCUUAUUUCUCUCACAAUCCGAUGUGGGAUUGCAAACUAAUAUGAUAAUAUCAAUGAAAAAAAUUUAACAAAUGCAACAAGAGGGAGGAUUUGAAGUGGGACCUCAGGUUUUGUAAAUAAACUAGGACACCACUCGGCUACUUAUUUGAUAUGCCAAACAAAACAAUAUAUGUUGGAUUUUAAUUUUUUUUUAAUAUUAAAUAAAAAUAAUAUAAUAUUUUUAAAAAUUAUAAAAUUAGUUAAAUUUUUCAUUUUGAAUAUAUUCACAUUUAAAUAUUGUACACAUUUCAUUUAAUAUGAUUUAAUUUGAUAAUAUCAAAUAUAUAAAAUAAUAUUAUUGAUUUUUAAUUUAUUCAUAUAUAUUUUAAAAUUUUUAUAAUUAUUUUUAAUUUUAAUAAUAUAUAAAUUACAUAUUUAUGACGUCAUCGGUUCGACCGCGGUUCGACCAUCGAUUCGACCGCGGUUUGAUCGGUAAACCGUGAACCGGUAACUUUUUCGAUUCAAUGACCCAUCCGGUUCUGAAAACAUUGUAUAUAUACAUAAUUUUAUCAUUUUUUUAAGUUAUAUUUAAAAUUUUCAUAUAUUUAAUCAAUUUACUAAUAUCAAUAUUUCCUUACAUAUUUUAAUAGUCGUAACCAUACAAAAGAUUGUCAAAUUAAAGGAAACAACACAUGAAAUGAGGAUGUGGAAAAAAAAAACACGAUAACAACGAAAUCAUGAUUUGUUUUUUAUUAUUCAAUAUUAUUAUAUCAUAUUUACAUUUUUUUUAUAAAAAAAUUAUAUAUAUACAUAAUUUUAUCAUUUUUUUUAAGUUAUAUCUAAAGUUUUCAUAUAUUUAAUCAAUUUACCGAUAUCAAUAUUUCCUUACAUAUUUUAAUAGUCGUAACCAUACAAAAGAUUGUCAAAUUAAAGGAAACAACACAUGAAAUGAGGAUGUGGAAAAAAAAAACACAAUAACGACGAAAUCAUGAUUUGUUUAAGGCGAAGGAAAUAAUAGUGAGAUAGACAAAGCUUAUAAUAACAAAGUACUGACAUUAUUAAUAUGUGGAAUUUGGUUUUCAGUUUUUUUUUAGAUUUUUAUAUAUUAUAUCUAUAAAUCUUAAUUCAAAUCUAAGUAAUACUUAAUAGAACUAUGAUGUUUGUUUUUUUUUUUUUUUUGUUUCUUUUAUCUAAAUCUUAAAGCAAUUUGCUUAAAAAUUGAAAUCAUUUUUAAAAUUAUUUGUUUAUUUCAUUUUAAUAGGAAAAAUAAAUAAUUUUACUUUUAACUAUGUAUACCUUAGUGAUGGGAUCAAAUUCCCAACGCAAUCAGUUUGAAUAACAACAUAUGAUUGAAGACGAUCAUCGCUAAAAGCUCUAUAUUCCCCAACCCAAUCAGUUUGAGCUCAAAACCAAGCUGCAAUUCAACCUAGUUUUGCAAUGGAUUGCAUCAGAUUUGUUUCCAAGAAGAUAAAAAUAAAACGAAACUUGGAAUAAGCAUCAAUGAAGUGAAUGUGAAACUGAUAGCCAAUAGAGGAUUGUGUAUUUGACACUCCCCAAAAAUCUGACUGCAUUAAUUUGGAGCAGUUCCGUAUAUUGAGUUGCAGAUAAUGGAAAUGGGAAUUCAUGGAUUUUGCCCAGACAACAUGUUGAAUUGAAACUACUCAAUUCAACAGAAAAGAAGCUACCAUGAUGGAGGUUGAGGAGUACUCCAUUGUUGGCAGUGGAGGCUCUCAUACCGUCUGAAGAAGCUAAACCAAAAGAAAUUCCAGCAGAAAAGAAAUGCUUUUUCCCUCAUCUAAAUAAUUGAUUACAAAAUUCUAUACAUAGCUAAUUGUAGAACAAACUUUAAUUAUCUGGAACUGUGAUAACAAACUACUAAUUGGGUCAACCAACUCUCUUGGCAUGAUUUAUUUAGAGUCCAACACCAUGAUUUUUCAGGGACUAAAAGUGGAAAAUGGUCUUACAACAUCAUUGUUCGGAAACUCUGAAAUGAUGAAUCUGAAUGUUUUCGACAGUUUGCUUCUUGAAAUCACUCCUGUUUCUAGUUGCCAUGAACUUUCCCCAGUUGUACUCUUUAAAUUUAGGGGGGUUUUCCUCAUUGGUCAACUCCUCCAAUGGCUUCACAUUCACAUGAUGCACCGGUAAGAAAAAGAAUGGAAUCGAAAACCUUUCCUUCUCACUAUUCGCCACCACCAUGUGCUCCACGCUCUCAUAUUUAUCAUUGCUCCAAACCUGUAUAGUGUUGGAUAAAUAUUGAGAAAAAGUAACACCAAUUUCUCCAACAUGUUUUUCUUUUUUUUUAAAUAAUAAUAAUAAGAUACAAUAUAUAAGACCUAGCUAUUAUAAUACCUAUAAAAAAAACUCAAACCAAUCACAACAUGUCAUGUAUAUAAUUAAGUUUAUUUACUUCGUAUAUGAUUUCAUUUUUCUAGAUCUAGUCUCGAUACUUUUAUCCCUAUCCAAUGCUCUAGAUUUUAUCCUAUACUUUUGAGGAGGUUUUGAAUUGAUAACCUACAAUUUUCCAAUGUGUACAAAUGAAAUUGAAGUCAUUUGAUGGAUCAUACCUGAAUAAUAUCACCAACAUCAAUGAUAUAAGCAUUUGGAAUAGGCUUUACUCCAAUCCAUUCACCAUCAACUUUUCCCUUCACUUCCAACCCUGUGACACCAUCUUGAAAGAGAACGGUUAAAGCUUUGGCGUCCUUGUACCGACCCACAACGAGAGAGCUUCGGCCACGAGAACGGCGGAGAGUGAUAAUUGAGUCGGAUUAAGCUGGUUUGCCAUUGGAAUAACUCAUUCAACUAGUCCCCGGCCAAGCCUAAGCUUAAGAAGAUGAGUUCUAAGAACUUGUUGGCUAAUUUUUCUAUUUCUCCAACAUAUUCUUUCCAAAUUUUCAUGAAAAUAAGUCAUUAUAUAAAAUAUAUCAAUACUCAAAAUGAAUUUAAUAAAAUCUUGCCAUGCCUUUACGUCUCUAUUUGAGUUUGUUUGCCUUUGAGUUGUGCCUUUACGUCUCUACUUGAGUUUGAUCGACUUUGAGUCGCAUUUUUAUGCCUCUAGUUGAGUCUAUUUAGCUUCAAGUCGUGCCUUAACAGUUCGAGUUUAGUCUAUUCGGCUUCAAACCGCACUUUUACAUCUCUUUCAUCUUUGAGCCACGUAUUUAUGUCUCUAGUUGAUUUUGUUUGACUUUAAGCUGCACCUCAUGCCUUUAGUUGAGUCUGUUCAGCUUCUAGUCGUGCAUCUAUAUUUCAAGUUGAGUUUAUUUGGCUUCAAGUUGUGUCUUUACGUUUCAAGUUGAAUCUAUUUGGCUUCAAGUUGAAUCUAUUUGGUUUCAAGUCGCACCUUUACAUCUCUAGUUGAGUCAGUUCAACUUUGACCCACGUCUUUACAUUUCUUGUUGAGUUUGUUCAACUUCAAGUCAUGCUUUUAUGUCUCUAGUUGAGUUUGUUUAGUUUCAAGCCACAGCUCUACAUCUCUAGCUGAGUCUAUUCUGCUUCAAAACAUGCCUUACAUUUCAAGUUGAGUCUAUUCGGCUUCAAGUUGCGCUUUUGCAUCUCUAAUUGAGUCUAUUCGACAUUGAGCUACGCCUUUACUUUUCAAGUUAAGUCUAUUUAGCUUCGAGCAACGCCUUUAUAUUUGGAGUUGAGUCUGUUAGGUUUCAAGCUACGCUUUUACAUCUCUAGUUGAGUCUAUUCGACUUUGAGUCAUGCCUUUAUGUUUUGAGUUGAGUUUAUUCAACUUUGAGUUACAUUUUUGCGUCUCUAGUUUAGCAUGUUCAACUUGAAGCAAUGUCUUAACGUUUCAAGUUGAGUUUGUUCGGCUUUGAGUUGCGCCUUUACGUCUCUAGUUGAGUUCGGCUUCGAGUUGUGCCUUUUUGUUUCGAGUUGAGUUUGUCUUAACUUUGAGUCACACCUUUACGUCUCUAAUUGAGUUUGAUUGGCUUCAAGCUGCGUCUUUAUGUUUCAAGUUGAGUUUGUUCGGCUUCAAGUCGUAGCUUCAAGUCAUGCCUUUAUGUCUCUAUUUGAGUAUGUCUGGCUUCAAGCCACGUCUUUAUGUUUUGAGUUGAGUUUGUUAGGCUUUGAGUUGCACCUUUACGUUUCGGGUUGAGUUUGUUCAGCUUUGAGUCACAUUUUUAUAUAUCUAGUUGAGUUUAUUCGACUUCGAGCCACACCUUUGAGUUUCAAGUUGAGUCUAUUCGGCUUCAAACCACACUUUUACGUAUCUUGUUAAGUCCUAUUCAGCUUCGUGCUAUGCCUUUACAUUUCUUGUUGAGUUUGUUCAGCUUUGAGUAUCGUCUUUAUCCUUAUUAAGUUCAUUCGGCUUUAGUCGUGCCUUCACCCUUAUCCUUAGUUUUGAGCCUAUUUGACUUCAAGCCAUGCGUUUGUCCUUGUUAAGUUUAUUCGGCUUCAAGUCGCCUCCUAGUUUUAAGUUUGUUUGGCCUCAAGCCGCACAUUCCCCUCUAUUUGAGUUCAUUUAGAAUUUUCCCCUUCCUCGAGUUUAUUAUGACAUUCUCUUCCUUCAAUAUCAUUUUUUGUGAGUUAAUCACUUCUUAUCUUGGUUGUCCUUGAGUUGUAUGUUGUGUCACGAUCUAGUGUUGUUCAUUGCAUAUACACUCCCCACAUUAUUUGUAUCUUUAUCUUAAGUUUCUUCCUUAGUAUGUGAUCCUGAUCUUUGAGCUUAGCAUGCCAUGUGUUAUGAAAAAAUUAUGAGUUCUCUUUUGUUCUUCAAUGCAAUUCACUUCAUACCAUUCAUCACUCAUGUUUCACUCUUCGUGUUCAGUUCACUCAUGAACUAUAUCAAAUAAGGGCAUAUUUAUAGACCCUCCAUUUUGUCUCAUAGCACGUAUGUUUGCAUUUUUUAUUUUCCUCUCGCCCCAUGCCCAUUUUAAUUUGGUGUCCGUUUGGAUACUUCUUGCUUAAUCAUUCAUCAUCCCUUAUUAGUUCACAUUUACUUGGCUCAUUAAUCAUUUUUUAGCCACAUUUUGGAGGCCAUUUAGGGCGAUUUUGGGUCUAAGCUUUUUUUUUUUAGAGGCUCUCAGUAGAUGGCUCAUAAUGAGGACACGUGUUUUUAAAGGGGUCUUCUAGAGGCUUCUAGGGUCAGUUGGGAGAGCACGUUCUUAUUUAUAUAUCUAUUGUUUUGGAGGUGAGUUGUACACCAAGAGAAUGAGGGAGUAGAUGGAGGUUUUUUAAACAUUGUAAGAGGAGAUUCGUUUUGAUUGGCAUUUAUACCAAUAAAAUCUUGGGAUUACUGAGAACUCAACGGGACCUUCCCUCUCAAAUCAUACAAACUUGGCCAAAGAGGGGUGGGUACCAUUGAGUUCUUAGGCUUUCAUGUCGAUAACUCAAUUCAUCUUAUUACUAAAGGGAUGAACCCAAUCCGGAAUAUGAACCAAAAAAGAAAAUGUCUAUUAAAUUGAUGACAGGAAUACCAGUUACAGUAGCUAUUAGCCAAAAGGAAUCCUUCCAAGUUGGAGGUGGUUAGAGAGAGAGAAGGCUGGGCGAGAGAGAGAGACACGUAAAGAGAAUAUUCUCUCUGGUGAGGGUUUGUUAGACGGGAAGCAAGAAGCUUGAGGGUAGAGAGGACAAUCAGAGGAGGAGUUUGGAGGAAGAGGGGAAGGGAGCUCGAAGGCAAGCAGAUCAGUGCUUGAGGGGACGUUUUUCCAAGUAUGAUUAUUGGGUCUCUCAUUUUCCGCUGUUCUCCUUUCCUUCCCGGUUGAUCUCUGGAUUUUAGUUGAUGCUUUGAUAUGGAUUCCAGAUGCCACACUUCAUCUUGUUGAGCAUUGGUUAGCUAUGGACUUGUUACUGCUACUCUUCUGUUUCUUUUGAGUUAACUUUGGAAAUGAAUCUGAAUAUAGACUGGUAUUUGCUGCUUGAUGUUUCGGGAAUCAUAUUUUAGUUGUUUAAAAUUCAUUCUGGCAUGUUCGGUUCCUUCAAGCUCAUUGAUGAAAUAAUGAAAUGGAGCUCUAUAUAUUUGUUAAUGGGUUGGUUCUCUGUUUGGUUAUCUUUUAAGUUCUUCCUCUUCUCUUUUCUCGUUGCCUUCUCUUCUCUAGGGGGGUGUCGUUUGAGCAUAUGCAUACUAGGAGAAAUGGGGAGCUGGAGGCUUAUCCUGGCAUCAACCUCGCGUUGGGGACGGCUUGAUCGAAGAACAUAUGAAUUUUUCAGAUACCUAGAACUUACAUCAAAAGAAGCCUCGGAGUCUAGGUCAAACACAAACACAUCCUUUGCCUUGGUGAUUUUAUUGACUUCUGCAUGAUGGGCACCCGAGGGUGGGGACUGGAAGAGAAAUGAUGAAUCUGCCUAAUAUAGUUUGUCUAGAAAGGAGCUUGUAUUAAAUGAUGGUUACCCACUGUGUCAGAUGCUGAAAUCUGGGUAUGAGGACUCCCGGUGGCAUCGGAAAGAUGAGUCGCACCAUUCUUCCCACAGUAGAAAGCUUGACCUCCGAAUUUGGGCUUUUUCAUGGCCAGACGAGAGGAGUGAUCGCAAUAGUGCGAGCAGAGCCAGUCAAAUUAAGCCUGUUAUCAGAGGAGUGAACCUACUGCCUUGUUCUAUCUCCGAUGGUCUGCUCAGCUCCUUCAACCUCCACCGCUCUCCUCUUUCCAAGUUCUCCAUUUUCAGUCUAGAGCCAACAAGAGUCGCAGAAAUCCUCAAAGAUUGACCUACAUGGUAUCGUGAGUACCUCGAUGUGGAUGUUCUUAAUGAGUUGUCAACUGGAGCCAAAUGGGUGUUUGAUAAGACCCAGUGAAGAUGUAAAAAUUAUAUAAUGAAGCUUGCAGAAAGACUCAAGGGUUGAUGGAAGGCAUCUCAACGAAGUUUGGCUUUUGUAUUGUGAAUCUGGCAAAUUACCUAUACUGCAUGGAUCAUCACUCUUUUCACGUGGAGGUACACAUGUCCUUUGUACUGUACACUUGGGGCAUCACAACCUGGUGAUGAUCAACGACUGGAUCCUCUGGUUGGUCCUCCAACAAAGCGCUUCAUGCUUCACUGAAAUUUCCCGGAGUUCUCGAUUAACGAAGUUGGCCAGCUUCUUAACCUGCACUGUUCCACAGAAGUCGCAUAAAGAUUUGACAUUGAAAUUGAUGUGGUUUUUCCUUUGCCAAUGGUGGUGGGCGCGCUUUGUAUGUAGAUUCCGAAGGAACUUCCAACUUGAUGGCUGUGAGUGGUAAUUAGGUUGGAGAAGAAACUACUGGGUCUGCCCCAUUAGUUUUCCAUUGUUAAGGUAGUUUGGUGCACAGCUUUCUGGAUCAUCUACACCACCAGCACCUCCAGCCGCCUGUUUUGAUCAGUUUCUGGAUUUCCAUCUCCAAAUUGUGCAAGCAGCGACUGAUUUGGUGUCCAUACAAGCGGCUACUGAAAUGGUUCAAACCUCAAAUGCUGAAGGGAAAGGAGCUUUUGGAAAAUAUCAUGAAGAAGACUCACCCAUCUUACAUGAAAUUAUACACAACUCCAUGGACCAGAACCGGAACUCAGACUUAAAUUUGUCCAAGAGAAGAUCAGUGUUAUACAAGUCAAUUGCAGUCAUUCCUGAAAGAAGUGAUCAGAAGAGUAAACCUGGAAAAGCAGCGAGUGAAACAAGGUCUGUGACAUUGAACAAUUUGCAGAUGGGUGUUCCCACAAGCUCCUUUCCCCUCUUCCCACGUGCAUGAAAUUCCUACAUGCAUGGCCACCUUCUUAGGUGUGCAAUUCGGUGCAUAUGCUCAAGCGUACUACCCCCCUCUUCUUUUAAAAAAAAAAUGAUUUUAAAUUUAAAUUUUUGACAAAUUCAUUUCCCUUUUAAAAUCCCUCCUCAGUAAUUCUCUUCAAAUUAAUAAAAUCUAUUUUCAAUAAAUUUCUGCUGUCAUCUUCCUUUUGGCGUGGACCAUUUUUCUAUUUUCUUUGAUUUUUAAUAAUUUUCUGAUUUUUUUUAAUAAAUAUGAAUAAAUUCUAUGUUUUUUAAAAUAAUGGAAUUUUCUCCAAAUUUCUAUUAUCUUUUUCUCCGAGAUCAUUAGGAAGAUGAAAUUCCUAAAAUUAAUUCAUGCAAAUAAAUUGGACGUUGGUGGGUCCAACAUAUGAAUUUUUCUCUUUUGAUUAUUAAUUUUAAUUGCUACGCUUGAUUGAUUAAUGAUUGAUCUCUACCUUGCUCUAACAUACAUAAGAUUUAUUGUGUUUGUGAUUGUACACUAACCAUGUUUCCCACGAAACGCUCAACUUAUUGCUAUUGUACGUUCCUUCCUUCUCCUAUUUGUUUAAGUAUAGCUCAACCAUAAUACAUCACUGAUAAUUACUUGGUAUCUAUUGAUUUUUUGAUCAAUUGUCAUAUACCUUAACGUAAUUAUCAGAGACCUGAUUUUAGGGUAUAGAGGGGUUUUACAACUUAUUAUCGUACCUUUUCAAUAAGUAACCUGACCCUCGAACCCAAACUCGGUUUUUUAUAAACCUGUACUUUCCUUUCAAGUUUCAUAUUUAGAGUUUUAUUUUUUAUUUUGUUUUCUAUUUAAAAAUAAAAUAAAAAUAAGUGUCAAAUUUAAAACCAUAUUUUCUAAAAAUCAAUUGUUCAUCAAUUUAAACUGAGUCUUGUCUUCUUUUUUUUUUUUCAAGUGAGGACAUGAUCUCAGGUCCACAAUACUAUUUUAAUAUAUAUCAUGAAAUAUAGAUAUUAACGUCAUCUUAAAGAUAUAAUUAAAUUUUUUGUUUAAAAUAAAUUAUAAUAAUUUAAAAAUAAUAUUUUAUUUAAAAUAAAUUUUAGAAUAAGCAAAGUUAAUAAGUGGACAUAGAGAAUUAUGAACCAUUGUAAAUGUAUUGAUUAUAUCUCUUUCUUCCCAUUUCAUUUUUACUCUAGUUUUUAUUAUUCGCAUCUUUUUCUACUAAAAUUUGAAAAAGAAAUUCACAUUCAAUUCAUUCGCUUCUUCUUGGGUGUAUGUCAUAGGAUUCAAAUUGUUUUUAAAAAAUAUUAAAUUUGUUAAUUGUGGCUAUAUGCUUAUUUAGGAUCCAUUCAUCUUAAUAACUCUCUUCCCGAUAUAGGAAGAAAAUGGCUAUUCCAUUAAUCCAGCAUGCAUUGCUGAUUAUUUAUCAAGCAAAUUACAUUAUUAUUUUCACACCAAACCUCCAAAUUCUCCAUGCAUAUACGCAUCCUAUACUGCAUGGCCAACUUCAGAGAGCUAAAACAAGCUCUUAUUGAAUUCAUGAUAGAUGAUGUCCCACUGACCCUUUUACUCUGAUACCUUGAAAUGAGAAAUUUGGAGGUUUUCCACAUCAAGCUUUUUGAAACUACUGCGCCUUCUCGUAACAAAGAACUUUCCCUAGUUGUAUGCUCUAUACUUUGGCUUUUCCCCCUUCGUCAGCUCCUCCAAGGGCUUCACCCAAACAUGGUGCCCGGGACUGAAAAAGAACGGAAUUGAGAACCUUUCCCCCUCUGAAUUCACCAUCACCCUGUGCUCCACACUUUCAAAAGUAUCGUUGCUCCAGACCUGGUUUAAUAUCAGUAUAAUUAGCCAAAUGGGUGUAAAAUUCCUUGAGCCAAACAGUACUGAUAAGCAUGUACUUAUAAUUUAAAGUUCUUGUGUGGGACCUGAACUAUAUCCCCAACGUUGAUGAUAUAAGUAUCUGGGGUGGGCUUCACUCGAACCCAUUCUCCAUUGGUUUUUAGCUUUACUUGCAGCCCUCCAACAUCAUCCUGGGCAAGGAUGGUUAAGGCUACGCCAUCCUUGUGGCGUCCAGCGCCCAGAGCUAGGUGAGGGAUGGGGCAAGGUGGGUAGUGAUUGAAGCGGAUGAAGUUUGUUGAUUCUUCAAAGAGAAGAUUGAAUCUGUUCUCUGGAAAACCUAAGCUCAGAGAGAUGAGUCCCAACAGCUUGAAAGCUAGUUUUUCCAUUUCUCUAGCAUAUUCUUCACAAACCUCC